This 90168-nucleotide long non-coding RNA is filed under the name Setaria italica (foxtail millet). RNAcentral describes it as "long non-coding RNA (SITA_LNC002727)". The record is from RNAcentral. Lineage: Eukaryota; Viridiplantae; Streptophyta; Magnoliopsida; Poales; Poaceae.
GACGGCGGGCGACUUCAACUGAACGCGUUACUAAAGAACAAACCAACCACUCAACCCUAGUCCAGACGAACAGCAGCGUCGACAGCGGUAACACCGCGGCCUUCAUCGUCCUGUCCGUGCCCGACCCCGCGCGCACGGGCUGCGAACGCACGGAGGAAGCGGAAGGUCAGCGCCAGGAGCGCGGCGUACGUGACGAGUACGGCUGCCGCGGAGACCACGUCGCCGCCGCGGGCGUCGUGGACGGCGAGCGCCGAGUCGCAGGCCAUGGCGCCGAAGGCUGCCAUCAUUAGCGCCGCGACUUGCCGCUCCAUGGGAUGUCCAGCUCCAGCAGCUCCAGCUUGUGGAGAAGAGAACGCCACCGUGAGCAGCGUGCAGUGGUGAGCGGCCACACGGCGCGCCUCGCCCGCUCCCUCUCCGGGGACCCGGGCGGAACGCGCUCGUAGGCGCGGAGGCAGUGGAAGAGGAGGAGCAGGGCGAGGUACGAGCCGACGACGAAAAGGACGGAGGCGGGGUCGCCCCUGGCGCUAUAGAUGGCGAGGCCGGAGUUGAGCGUGAAGAAGCCGAAGGCAGCCGUGGUGACCCAGGUCGGCGCGAGGUUGCGCUCCGCCAUGAUCAAUCGUAGGAGUACAAGUUGCCGACACGCGCGCGCCUGCACUUCAGUAGUCAGACGGACCUCCGAAGAUCUUUUGGGCGGCGCAGCAGCGUUGCAGAGACUCUCUCGCGUCUCUUCACGGAAGUUUCGCAAUUGGGCCUGCCUCUAACAUAGGCCGAGUUUUAUUUCCAAGCUUACGGGCCUCACUGGCCCACAAAAAUCCGGGCCUUGAAAGCUCAAAUUGCGUGGUGUCGGUGUGAAAUCUGACUGAAUAUUUGUAGUUUUGCCGCACGUUAAUCAGAUAUCGCCUAGCACGCAAUGACACAGGAUUUAUACUAGUUCAGGCAACGUGCCCUACAUCCAGUCGGGGGUCGAUCGUCGACUUUAUUCCUGAGCUUAGGUGCUCAAAGUUUGCAGUGGGGGUACAAAUGAGAGGAGGAAGAGAUAGGGUACCUGAGUUCUGGCCCUGUUCUCGUCUUAGUGAAGAAGAGUGGCAGAAGCCCAAGCAUGCGCUAAGUGCUGGGAGUGUGUAUGGUGCAUGUGAGAGCGUAAGAGUUGUGCAUGCGGAUCGUCUGUGUAGAAGCAGGGGUCCAUCCCCUUUUAUAGUACAAGGGGACGGCCUUACAGGUUAGGGGAGGAUAAGAGAGUGAGUGUACGUGCGCUGCUUAGCCUUAUCGAAUCCCACGUCGGUGGAUACGGUAUGGUCUUCGUCCUCAGUUCCUGUUCUCCUGGUCAGGCUAUUACUUCGUAACAAGUAGGUUUACGGUGCCACUGUGCAGACGUGCGUAGGGCGUGACGCGGUACGACUUUGUGUAUAGUCGACUGACUCGGGUGCUACCUCGUUAUCCGUCCCACCUGCUCCCUGGACCCACGCCGGCAGGCGUCCUCGGUCGGGCGUCCCAGUCGGCCCCAACCGAGUUGGUUGGGGAGGUCGGUGCAGGUGGUAUAGUGAGUCCCUGGUCAGGGGGUUAGGUUGGAGCACUCAGUCGGGAGGGCUUGGUCGGAGUACUCAGUCAGGGUCGGGUGGUGGUCCCACCCCCGACUGGCCCUUUCUGGUCGGGGCGCCGACCAGGCCUCCUGGUCGGAGGAGCCGGUUGGUGGCCGGAUCGAGGCCUCAGCCCGGCUAUGCGCAGCUAGGUUGGCCUAGGGAUGCGCUGUUGUUGUGCCCUUUGUUGGGCUAAGUGUUGUGGGAAGGCAAACCUGUUGGGGACCCCGGGUCUAUGAACUUGUUAGGAGCCCCCAAGCCCCUUUGGGGUUUUGUUGAAGCCGUGAAGGGGUUGUCGGUCGGAAUGUUCCGUCGUGGGGAAACACACACGGGGGUGUUGUUUGUUUUUGUCUUGUUUCUGAAGCGGUCGGGCCGCAUUGAGAGGUCUGGCCCCGUAUCCAAGACGAUAAGGAUGGACUCCGCAUGGGAACCGUACUGGCACCUCGUGACCUGGUACUUUUGCCUCGGUUUUUGAUGUGCGGUAGUCGAACCAUCAUUUCAAGGUCUGGUGCCUUUAAUGCGGGGUUGCUGAACCGUCACCUCGAUGUCAGGCGCUUUUACCGCGUGUCCAUGGAUGCGAAUCAUAACCGCUCCUGGAUCAUGGCCGUCCACCCGGCUAUAAAUAGGGAGGCUUCCAUGUCCGGAGUCCCCAUGGCUCCCGUAGAUCUCAUGGCUUGAGUUAUCAAUCUGGUAGGUUUGAGGCUCUUGCUCUUUGCCCUAGGCAGCUUUGGCCGCUCCUCAUGAUGCCAGAAGAACUCUCGUAAUAGGUGUUCCUCGUCCCCUUCGCAGCUUCUUGCUGCAUGUUUGUGGGCCAUGUUGCGGGAAGAACUCUUGUAACGUGGUCUCAUCAUGCAGUGAAGGGCUCGAUGAGAAGACGAGGGCGCCACCUCAGGAGGAAGGGGAAGCAUGUCUUCCUUGUCCUCCAUGCCAUGCUUGUACCCUGGGACACCGAUUGCCAGAGGUCAUUUGGCCUCCAUCUGCUCCUUCCGAUUUGUUGUGCUUGGUGGUGCGGCAGCGAAGGUGCACACUGAGGUGGCAUGGGAUGUAGGCGUCGGCGGCGGUGGAGCCAGUGAGAACCAGUUUACCCAGAGUACCAGCGCGUGGCACUCGUACUCCCUCCAUGCCUCUCCUUAUUUUCUUCUUUAUCCAGGGUUGUCCCGGUUGAAGGAGAGAACUCUGGGGUUAGCACCUUGCGCUCACUAAGUUCUUUCAUCUUCUUCGGCCCCUGGUGCCUCCUGCUCGGAGGGAGGAGAUCGAAGAAGAAGUGGCGAGGAUGAGUCGGUGAGCGAGGCUUCGAGUGCAACUUUCUUGUAUUGCAUGCGCUCUUUUUGUUUGUUUCGGUCCUGAGUUGUAGGGUAGCCUCUAGGUUGUACUUGCACACUUUGCGUGAUACUGUAAAGCCUUUGGGCUCCUGAGUUUGCACGCUUUGUGUGAUAUUGUAAAGCCUUUAGGCUCCUGGGUUUGCAUGCUUUGUGUGAUAUUGUAAAGCCUUUGGCUUAUGUUUUCAUCUUUAAUGAAAAGCUUGUCUUUGAUAUGUGAUUCUUGUGCUAUCGCGCCUUUGAGGCGGAUCGUUGUUGGGACUUGUGAUAUUUUUCCCUUUGUUUGCUGUGUUGCGUAGGGUAGUCGAGUAGGUUCGGGCGUUCUGGCCCUCGAGUAGGUCUUGGCACCCAGCUCUCGAUGGGAUGUCUGGCAGGGGCUGCAAGGGCACGUCAGAUGAGUACUGACGCCCAGCUCCCGAGGAGAUGUCUGGCGUGGGCCAUAGGGGCACGCUGAGUUGCAUAGGGAGUCCAGCUUCCGAGGACUCGCUCAUAGUCCAUGUUUCACUGGGUUCGCGUGAGUGGACCCAGUGGGUCUAGCCCUCGAGCCUGCGGCCAACUAAGGAGUCGGUCGGAGGCUGAACACUUUGGCAUUUCUCUGACCAGAGGUGAGUCGAGUGGGAGCUGGCACUUUCCUCUCGUAUAGGGGAUCAACUGUUAGUCCAGUUUCCACCGAGUGCGCAUUCGGUGGGUGUAGCCCCCGAGCCUGCGGCCGAAUGAAGAGUCGGUCGGAGGCUGAACACUUAGGUAUUCUUUUUUCAGGAGCCAUGAACCUUAGUGUCCCAGUCCAUUGGGAGGAUGUGGUGUUGAGUCGGGGUGCUUGCCCGUGUUCGUUCUGAUCGUGAAUUGUGUCGUCGGUCGUAUCCCUAGAUCGGGAUCUGGCGGCCCAAGCCCCCGAGCCCCGUCGAACUCAGUCGAGUUUCAUGCGUCACCCCGUCCUCAUUCUAAGCGACUGGAGGGGUUGAGCUAACGGCACUUGCCUCGAUGGCUCGAGUGACGCGCUCGGUAAGCUCGCUAACGGGCAUGUUCUAGCGGAAUCUGGGUCCGUCGUUCGUAAUGGGGUCGGCAUAGCUUGCAUGGGGCAUUCCACUGCUCCUUAACCUAGCUCCUGGCAAAUGCCUGAGUCAUUCCGAAGACCAACUUAGGUGGCCCACUGGCCUCCCCUCGAUGGAGAUUCUGUGGGCAUGGCUCGAAGUCGGGAUCGAACGAGAAGGUCGAGAUGGUCCCUGACUGCUUCUGAGCAGUUCAGGCGAAGGCCGCUGGGGCUCCAUCUGCGUUUUCUCCCCUGGCUCUAUUUGAGGUGAGGCGGCCUCGAGCCCUCUGUGGGUUGGCCUUUGAACCUCGAUCGGUUGCAGCUCAUGUCAAAUGAGCCACUAUUGUUUUGUGACGUGAGGCAAAGCAAUUGAAAUGCAAUGGUUGCAAGUUAUAAGAUGAGUGUAUGAUGCAGGAAUGAAUGCAUGCGUGCAUGAUACGCAUGAAUGAAUGAGUGCUCGUUCACAGAGAAAGUAAAUGGGGGGUUGGUAAUGUUACCUUGGUCGGACGUUUCAGGCAUCGCCCCCUCUGCGAUUUUUGGGAUUGUAGGGGUCAAGGUGUCAUUGCUUAUCUCGGUGGUUCGAGCGACCAGCUCGAGGCACCUUUAGCAGGUACACCUAAGUGGAAUCCAUAUUCGUCGUUCAUGACGGGGUCGGUAUGUCCUGCACAUUAGGUUUCCACUAUUUUUUAACCGGUCUUCCGCCGGAUGCCCGAUCCGUCCUAAUCGACCCGUGUGGCCUUUCGACAUUGGUUCAGGGGAGGUUUUGGCGUUGGGUCCCCCCCGCUUCGUUCGACCAGCCUAAGUGCUAGCUGGCCUCAGUUCGGUGAAGGCUUCGCCGGUUGGACCCUCCGCUCCCUUGCCUCGAAAGGCGAAGGGACAAUUGUGCAUGGCCAUGGCUAGUUUUUCACGGUACUGCCGCGGUAGUUGAUGGGCCCCACCCUGGGUCACGUCCUGUCGCGUAGAGGCGCGUCCCAUCAUCUGCAUCCUAUCCGCCAGGGCUUCACAUGCCCCAUCCCUAUUUAUUAAUAGGGGAGGGGCGGAGGUCUUUAGGCCCGUCCUUUCAUCUUCCCUUGGUUGCUGCCGCUUCCCCUUCUGCCCAAAACUUCCUCACGCACUGCAGUUAGUUCUGGGAGAGAGGAGGGUAGAGAAAGAGAGGGAAACUUAUAGAUCCUUUUGUUACCUCCCAUCGUGUGAUGUCACUCUAGAGACAGUCCACCGUGGGGGAGGAUUUGUUGGAGGAUUUCGCGAGGAGGGAACUGCUGCUGCCGAAGUCGGUUGCUGGUUGGAGAGUGUCGGAGUUGGGGACCGUCAUCCCAAAACCCCAGCUCGACGAGGUGGUCUCUUUCCUUGCCUUCCAUUAGCGCGGGCUUGGAUACCCCACGCAUUUGUUCUUGCGUAGGCUUCUCCACUGCUGGGAGCUGGAGUUGCAUUACCUCAAUCCCACUGGGGUGUUGCACAUCUCCAUCUUCAUUACCCUCUGCGAGGCCUUCCUCAGGAUGGUGUCGCAUGUGGACUUCUUUGCGAAGUUCUUCUUCGGCUGAGUCCGAUCUAAGGAAAGGGGGAAGUCGGGACAACCUACCCCAGUUGGAGGAUUUUCACUGCAGAGGAAUCCCAAGGUGGCCUACCCAUCGUACAACCCCAAUGAUUCUAAUCGGGGGUGGCAUGAUGACUGGUACUACAUUCGGAUCCCAAUCGAGGCACCGUUCCCAAUGUUCACAUGGGGGACGCUGACGAGGAAGGAAAGCUGGUCAUGGGGGCCCACCACGAAGCAUAAGAGUCACUUGGAGGUCCUUGAGCCAGCGCUGCGGGACUGUAUUGAUGAGGGCCUUAACGGGCUGCGUAUCUUCUACACCUUUAUCCGUUGGCGGAUCGCCCCACUAGGGAGAAGGUCAUGGGCGAUGUGGAUGUAUUCCGACCCGAUGGACCCCAAUCACGUGUCAUUGAUGGAGUUGUCGAAGAGCGAUGUUUGGGGGUAGCUCGACCAAAUGUUGCUGUUGGAGAGCGACGCAACCCUUCAGGGGAUGCCCGAGCCUUUCAACACCGGGAAGCGGCCCAACUUGGUAAGUCUCUUCCCCCGUGUCGUCAUAUCUUCUUAUUCCUAAUCUUCCAACUGAUUUUGGGUCGUUUGCCUUGCAGGGGCUGGAUCAUUACAGGGCUCGGCCGAGCCUCCCAUAGGGGCUGGAAGGCGCGGCUAAAUAGGCUGCCGAGAAGAAGGUGGUGGACGAGCGACGGAAGAAGAAGUCCGCGAAGGCCUGGAGGCACGAGCACAAGCAGCAAGAGAUCAGCCGCCGAACCCGUGGCGGCGAGGACCCAUUGGCUGUGGCGGUGGAGCUCUCGUCUUCCGACUCCCCAGGGUUGGGAGAUGACUCAGACUCCUUAGGGGGCGAGUCUGGUGGGAGCGUCGUCGAGAUUUUGAUCAGGCGGCGCGGAUGCGCGGCUGCGCCCUCUGAAGGAACGCGUGGUACGGGGGAGCCUUCCGGUGCUCCCAAUUCGAGGAAGCGUACUGCGGGCGAGGACGUUGCCCGCGAGCGGGAGACGAAGCAGGUGCAGUCACCGUUGCGCCGUCCGGAGGUGCCACCGGCGUCGCGGUCCCCGGCAUCGGGCGCGAUAGUGCGUGGAGGUCGGCCGGAGGGACGCAGUCGUGAGGCUACAGCCUAGGGCUCGAGGGACACAUCUGGUCCUCAGCAAAGGGAUGCCCCGUCAGCUGCUUCCACGGAUCCCCCACGAACCAGCAGCCCCAGCCAUCUGUGAUCCAGCCCGGGUGCCCCCGCCCUUGGUCGUCCUGGAGGAGUGCAUGUGGCAGCCCCCGAGCUCUGCUGGUCCAAGGGUCUUCAUGGUUCCCCCGAUCGUGUAAGUAAGUGUAGCUUUCCUUGCCCGUGUGGACGAGUUUUUUUGGUGUGGAUAAUCUGAUCCCGUGUCUUGUUUUGCAAUGAUCCAUCGUCGGCUUCACUGCCCCCGCCCUUGGUCGUCCUGGAGGAGUGCAUGUGGCAGCCCCCGAGCUCUGCUGGUCCAAGGGUCUUCAUGGUUCCCCCGAUCGUGUAAGUAAGUGUAUCUUUCCUUGCCCGUGUGGACGAGUUUUUUUGGUGUGGAUAAUCUGAUCCCGUGUCUUGUUUUGCAAUGAUCCAUCGUCGGCUUCACUGGUCGUGCCACCUCCCGUGCACACGGAGUGGAUGCCCACCCUGCGGCAGGUCGUGACGAUCGAUGGGAGGAACAUACUGGAAUCAGCUCGUCCCUUAUUGGUGGGGCUCAUUCCUCCCCCGCCAGCCGCGAGUGCAGCGGUGGCUGCAGUAACAACAACGACCCUUGAGGUGGCGACGGAUCCCUCGGCGGAGGUGACCGUGGCACUCUCAUUGGCCCCGGUCGCGGAAGAGGUGAGGGAGGAACUUGCGCACACCCUCGGUUCACCCUCCUAGUCAGAUUUGGAGGGGGGCCGAGGAGCCGAGGUCGGGACCGCCGGUGAAGCGACGGAGGUUUAGAUGUCCCCCGAGCUGGCUGAGGCCCAUGCUUUUGCCAGUGCUCUCCAGAGCCCACCCGAAGGUGGCGUGUUGGAGGUGACCGGGAGAGAGGAAGAGCAGCUACUGGUGGGGCACGAUGUCCUGGUGGUGGCUCUUGCUUCCCCAGAGAGGAGGAUGCCUAGGAAUCUGAUCAAGGUGUUCCGCUGUCUCAGGAGCGGGUGAUGGUCUGAGCAUCAUCUGGCGCCACAACGGCUGGACCUUCAGGCAGGUCGGGGGCGACUGACGGCCUGGUGUGGCCUUACCCGAACGUGCCAGGGAAGGCUCGGUUCGUGCUCCAUGCUGGAUGGGAGAAGGAACUCUGGGCCUUGCUCAUGAGUGGCGGGGCGUCGGUGAAGUCGAGCCUCACCUCCAUAGUGGCGAAGAAGAAGGAGGUCCUGGACGAGGUUGAGUUCACCAAUCAAGCCAUGCUCGUCGACUUGCCCUGCGUCGGAGAGGUAAGUCUCGACGCUCCUGGUUUGGGUCUUGGUCUUUGGUAUUUGAUCGAUCGCCCUAAGGCAUCUACUCUUGUCUUGCAGGACUUGGAAAUAAUGGCGGCCGGCAAAACCCGGUUCCUUCAGGAGGAGCAUAGUCAUCAGGGAUGGGACGUGACGGCAUUGCGGCAGGCUGAAGGACUUGCUUGUGAGCUAGAGACCGCCCGUUGCGAGUCCCAAGACCGAGCGACGGAAGUGGUCGGUGCCUAGAAUCAUGUGACCGCUGCCGAGGAGUGUGCGACUGCUGUAGAGGAGCGCGCAAUUGCUGCCGAGCAGGAGCUGACCGUGUCAGAGUCUCGCCUAGCGGAGGCCAUGGUAACAGCCCGGGAGUGCGGGGAAGCAGAGGGUCACGUGGUCGAGCGGGCGACCAUUGCGGAGCAAGGAUUCACCACAGUGUAGGAGGCCCUGGGGGCAGAGCAAGCGGCUCGGGCGCAUGCCGAGUAGGAGGCCGCUCAGUUGUGCAGGAGGGUGAAACAACUGGAGGAGGGGGAGUCCAUCCUGAAGAGCGCCACCGGGAGCUGGGUGAAAGGAAUGCCCUCAUGCGGCAGGAGCUGGAGUGGUCGGAGCAGAGGUACAGCUCAGCCAUCGCCACGAUGAAGAGUAAGUCCCGUCAUCUCGGGAGUUUGAGUUGGGGUUGUACUCAUUUUUUUGCCUUCCGCUAACUUGGUUUCCUGUGCAGAUCUCGAGAGAGAGUUGAGGGUGACCCAGGAGACGGCCAACCCAAUCGCGGAGGUGUUGGCCAAGUCCCUGAAAUAACGGUCCACCCUUGCUGAUGAGCUCAACGCACUCCAGAACAUGGCGCAGGUGGUGGUCACUGAGGUGCUGGGGUUGCGACCAAGCACCUGCACCCCCACGAUCCAGCUUGCGGCGGUCCCGGACAUGGUCUAGACGCUCAUCUCCGACGGCGUGUUCCACGGAGAGUCGGGGGUGUUGACGUCUGUGGCGACCCACUACCUUAACCUGGACUUUGGGGCAAUCUGCCGUGGGUACGCCGAUGGGAUGAGCUUCGAGGAGAUCCGGGCACUUGGUCACAGCUUGGCCUCGGGCGCACAGGCGAUCUGCGCGCAUGUCACCGUGAUGUGGGUCAUGGAGGCUUGCCGCUUGCUGGUAGCCACGGGCGUGAGUCAAGAGGGCGCUACUAAUCCUGGUGUAGCGGUGUAGGCCAGGACGGAGCCAGGCACUAUCCCGACCGUGACCAACCCGAGCGUCGAUCCGCCUGCAACUGGGGAGCCCUUGGCCUUGCCGGCUGCGAUGCCAGCCGACCCGGCCAAGGGGGAGCAGUAGAGAUUGGGGUAGUUAGUUUUCUUUUAUGUAAAAAGAAAUGUGCGGGGGACUGUGAGCCCCCGAGUGACAAGUGUAAGUUCGUUUGUGAUUAUAUUGGGAAGUUGGUCCCCCCCGUUCUCAUUUUCACCCUUAGUCGACUUCUUCCUUUCACCCUUUCUUCUCAGACCUGCCCAUUGAUGUGGGCUUCAACCUUAAGAACCCGAGUGUGGCCCGCAAGGCUCAGAUGCUCAUAACCGUAGUCGUGGCAGGAUCUAAUCAGUCCGCAAGCUAGAGGUUCAAUUGUUUUUAGGGUGAGUUAGAGGAUGGGAUGCCCUUUCGUUCAGGUGUGCCCUUUCGUUUGGGCGAGGUGCGUGAUGACGCACAAAGUGAAGAGGGGGUGGUGCACCCCUGUGGAGCCCCCAAGCGACCCGGGCCGAGUGUGCUCGGGCCGGGGUGCUGCUGGAGCAAGUGUGUAAUAGGAAAGGAUUAGAAAUGAACCGAGUUAGGGAAAGAAGUGACGUAACUGCUCAAUGUUACAAGUGUUGGUGAGGAUGUUGCCGUCUUCUUCCUUUAGCCGGUAGGCGCCCGGUCGGAUCACCUUGGCCACCGUGUAUAGCCCUUCCCAUGGUGGAGAAAGCUUGUGCUUGUCCUUGGUUGUCUGGGUCCUCCGAAGUAUGAGGUCACUGACCUCGAGGGUUCUCCCCCGAAUAUUCCUCUCAUGGUACCUGCGAAGGGUUUACUGGUAACGGGCGGAGCGGAUGAACGCUGUCUCGCAAAAUGCCUCCUCAAGUAAGUCAAUCGCGUCUUGUUGAGCCUCCGCGGCUCGGUCAGGGUCGAACGCCUUUACCCUUAGGGUGCUGUAAUCGAGGUCGGAUGGUAGUACUGCUUCAGAGCCGUAUACCAAGAAGAAGGGGGUGAACCCCGUCGACUGGUUUGGGGUCGUCCUCAGGCUCUAGAGGACCACUGGGAGCUCUGCGACCCAUCGUCCGGCGUACUUCUUGAGUCAGUCGAAGAUGCGUGGCUUGAGUCCUUGGAAGACCAUGCCAUUAGCUCGCUCGAUCUGACCGUUGGUCUGCGGGUGUCCAACUGAGGCCCAGUCAACCCUAAUAUCGUAACCAUCACAGAAAUCCAAGAACUUCUUGCCAGUGAGUUUGUUUAAUUGUCUGUGAUGAUACAGUUAGGGAUGCCGAACCGGUAAAUGAUGUCGAGGAAGAACUCGACCACCUCUUGUGAGCUGAUGUUGGUGAUGGGUUUCGCCUCAAUCCACUUUGUGAACUUGUCCACCACCAUGAGCAGGUGCGUGUAACCGCCUGGGACCUUUUUGAGGGGCCCAACCAUGUCAAGACCCCAGACUGCAAAUGGCCAGGUGAUGGGGAUGGUUUGGAGUUCUUGUGCUAGCAGGUGAAUCUGCUGGGCGUAGAACUUGCACCCCUUGCACCAAUGGACCACUUCCUCUGUGUCGCGUAGCACCAUGGGCCAGUAGAACCUUGACAGAAGGCCUUCCCGACUAGCGGGCGCGGGGCCGCGUGGUCCGCAGAUUCCAGCAUGGACUUCGAAGAGAAGCGGUUUCCCCUAGUUGGUCGGGAUGCACUCCAUGAGUACUCCCGACGGACUUCAGUUGUAGAGUUCGUCGCCGAUCACAACAAACAUUUUGGCGCAUCGAGCGAUUCAUCGCGCUUUAGUCUUCUCUGGUGGGAGGACUUCUUCAAGGAUGUAAGUGAGUAGUAGCACCCUCUAGUUAGUCGGGUCAAGCGCCAUUACUGCCAUGUAAAGAUGGAGCGCCCGAGCGCUUGGUCGGGGCUGUGUUGCGCUAGUGUACCGGAGCCCCCGAGCGACUAGCUGGGGCUAGCUUGCACUUGGGUCGGAUCCUCCCGGAUGCGGGCAGAUGGCUUAUUGAGGUCGUUCACGAAAACUCCGUCCGAGACCGGCUCCUGUUUGGCUGCCAUUUUUGCUAGGGAGUUGGCGACGUCGUUGUCCUUUCGCGGGAUGUGAUGUAGCUCUAUCCCUCGGAAUUUGUCCUCGAGCUUACGCACCUCUUGGUAGUACACUACCAUGAGUGGACUUUUGUAGGAGGACUCCUUCAUGACUUGGUCGACCACCAGUUCUGAGUCACCGCGGACGUAGAGCCGUGUUGCACCGAGCUUGACGGCGAUACGUAGCCCGUUGAUGAGGGCUUCAUGUUCUGCGACGUUGUUCGAGGCCUUGAAGUGGAGGCGAAAUGUGUAAUGGAGCCUGUUGCCCUCUUGGGAGAUCAAGACCACUCCAGCCCCCGUGUCGGUUCCCAUGACCGACCUAUCGAAGUACAUCAUCAAGUAGUUAUGGGUGACAUCUGGGGUCGGGGUCUUGACCUCCGUCCACUCGAUAACAAAGUCAACCAGGGCCUGAGACUUGAUCACGGUGCAGGGGGCGUACUUGAUGUUGUGCCCCAUGAGCUCGAGCGCCCACUUUGAGAUUCGACCCGCAGCAUCACGAUUGUGGACAAUCUCGCCUAGUGGGUACAAGGUGAUGACCGUGACCUCGUGCUCGGUGAAAUAGUGCAGGAGCUUCCCGCUUGCCAUCAGCUCAGCGUACAGAAGCUUCUGCACCUAGGGGUAGCGUACCUUGGUGUCGGUGAGUACCUCACUAACGAAGUACACCGGUCACUAAACCUUCAGCACGUGCCCGGGCUCCUCCCUCUCACCGAUGAGAACAAUGCUGAUCACAUGGUCACUUGCCACGAUUUAGAGAAGGAGGGGUUGCUUUCGCUCGAGUGCAACAAGGACCAGCGCUGAAGUCAGCAACACUUUGAGGCUCUCCAGAGCCUUUUGUGCCUCUUCCAUCCAGACAAAAGUGUCUGUCUUCUUGAGGAGCUUGUAGAUCAGCACUCUCUUCUCACCGAGUUGGGAGAUGAACCGGCUCAAGGUGGCCAAGCAUCCAGUGAGCCUUUGCACACCCUUGACGUUGCGUAUUGGACCCAUGAUUGCAAUGGUCGUGAUCUUUUCGGGGUUAGCUUCGAUGCCGCAUUUGGACACAAUGUAUCCGAGCAAUUUCCCCUUCGAAACUUCAGAAACACAUUUUUCGGGAUUCAGCUUGACGUUGAACCUUCGGAGGUUCGAAAACAUUGCGGUCAAGUUCGUGAUCAGGUUGCUUUCUUGAGCCGACUUUACCACUAUGUCAUCCACGUAAACAGCAAUGGUGGCCUUUGGACGCUCGACCUGGUCAGGUUGGUCGGGCGGAUCGAUUUGGUCCACGAAGCACCAUUGCAUGUACAGGUAGGUGGCACCGGCGUUCCUUAGACCAAACGGCAUGGUCAUGUAGCAAUACGAGCCAUACGGGGUGAUGAAGGAGGUCGUGAGCUGGUCGGACUCCUUCAUCGUGAUCUGGUGGUAGCCCAAGUAGGCAUCCAAAAAAUAGAGGAUUUCGCAUCCUGAGGUGGAGUCGACUAUCUGAUCCAUGCAUGGUAGGGGAAAAUGAUCCUUAGGGAAUGCCUUGUUAAGACCAAUAUAGUCAACACACAUUCUCCAUUUCCCAUUUUUCUUUUUUAUAAGAACUGGGUUAGCGAGCCAGUCGGAGUGGUACACCUCCUUGAUAAAAUCGGCUACCAGGAGUUUGGCGAUCUCCUCGCUUAUGGCCCUGCACCUCUCAUCGUCGAAGUGGCGUAGACGUUGCUUGAUGGCCUUCGAGCCCGGGGCAAUGCGUAGUGCGUGCUCAGCGACCUCCCUUGGGAUUCCAGGCUUGUCGGCUGGCUUCCAUGCAAAGAUGUCUUGGUUGGCGCGCAGGAAGUUGACGAGCUCAUUUUCCUAUUUGGCUGGGAGCUUGGUCCCGAUCUGCACCGUCUUGGUCGUGUCGCUGGGGUCGAUCUCCAUCGCCUUGGUCUCCUCGGUCGAGCUGAAGGCGCCUGCGACGGUCGGCUCAUUGUAGUCGGGCAUUGCCGGUGCUACCUACUUUCCAACCUUCUGGAGUUCAGCGGAGUUGGCGAGGUCGUGGCAAGCUCAAAGUUCUCCCGGUCGCAUGUGUAGGCAUAUGGGAAGGUACUACCCACAGUGAUGGUGCUGUUCGGUCCCGGUAUCUUCAGCUUGAGGUAGGUGUAGUUGGGGACUGCCAUGAACUUGGUGUAGCAUGGCCAUCCCAAGAUGGCGUGGUAGUACCCCUUGAAGUCCACCAUGCCGAAGGUUAGGAUCUCCGUGCAAAAGUUGGCAUGGUCACAAAACGUGACAGACAUGUCGAUCUGCCCGAGCGGAUAUGCCCGCAUUCCCUGAAUCACACUGUGGAAGGGCGCGAUCAUCGGUCAGAGCUCGGACCGGGGGAUGCGCAUGGCAUCCAGGGUCUUAACAUUCAAGAUGUUGAGGCUGCUGGCCCCAUCCAUGAGUACCCGACUGAGGCGCUUCCUGUUGACGAUGGGGUUGAUGAUGAGUGGGUACCGACCUGGCUGGGGGACACAGGGAGGAUGGUCCUUCUGAUCGAAAGUGAUCGGAAGGUUCGACCAACGCAGAAAAGUAGGGAUAGGUGAAUCGACGGAAAAUACCUCUUUGUGGCGCACCUUGCGCUGGCACUUGGAGUGGUCGGCGUCGGGUCCCCGGAAGAUGAUGAGGCAGGUUUUGGGCUCGGGGAAGCCGUCUUCAUCCUUGCCCGAUACGUGCUCCUUGCUGACUGUGUCCUCCUUGCUCUUGCGCUCCUUCGGCUUGCCAGCUUGUCGCAAGAAGCGCUUGAAGAGUUCGCAGUCCUUGUAGAGGUGCUUGACGGGGAAGGUAUGGUUGGUGUAGGGGCUCUCCAUGAGCUUCUCGAAGUGGUCGUUGCAGCCCUGCUGAGGUGGCUUGCCCAGUCGGUCGGAUGCCGCGACUAUGAUCAGGUCGGUCGAUUGGUGGCGAUCCUUCUUGUUCUUCUUGCCCUGUUGUGUGGAAGGGCCCUCGUUUCGGUCUUCACGCUUGGGCUUGCCCUUGUCCUGACCAUCGCUAAAAAUCGCCCCGACGGCCUCCUCACCGGAGGCGUGGUUGGUGGUGAUGUUGAGCAAGUCGCGGGUGGUGCGGGGCUUGAUGCAGCCGAGCUUGUGGACUAGGGACUUGUAGGUUGUCCCCGUGAGGAAUAUGUUGAUGACGUCUGCAUCGACGACGUUAGGAAGGGAGUUGCAUUGCCUAGAGAACCAGCGGAUGUAGUCCCGCAGGGACUCGUUGGGCUCUUGUUUGCAGCUCUUAAGAUCCCAGGUUUUCCCGGGAUGGACAUAGGUUCCCUGGAAGUUCCCAACGAAGAGCUUCUUGAGGUCCACCCAAUCGCGAAUGCUGUCGGGCGGAAGGAACUCGAUCCAGGCUUGGACGAACUCCCCUACGCAGAUGGGGAGGUAUUGGAUGAUGAAAUGGUCAUCAUCUACGCCACCAGCUUGGCAGGCGAGGCGGUAGUCUUCGAGCCACACACUAGGGUUCGUCUCCCCGGUGUACUUGCCGAUGUUGGUGGGCGGUCAGAAGCGCUGCGGGAAAGGCGCUUUUCGGAUACGGCGGCCGAAGGCCUAUGGUCCCGAUCUGUCCGGACUAGGGCUCCGAUUGCCGUCUCGGUCGCUCGGUCGGCCUCCCCGCCUAGGGUGCACUUCUUCACGCUCCUCGUCGGACUAACCGCGGGCCGCGUUGGCUGCCCUGGUCGCCAUUUGGUCAACGUCGGCAUCGUGCCCUGCCAGGCGUCGUGCGUGGAUGACACUGCGCACGUCACGGUUCGGCCCAAUCCGCUUGCAAACGGGCUGUCGAUACGGUGCUGAUGCCGGGUCGGGCUGAGGUGCCGCUGCAGCGCUAUUUCCUACAUAGCGCGGCUGCGGAGGUGAGCGAACGGAGCGGUUUGGCUUGUGAGGCCCCAGUGCUCCGGUUGGGCAAGAGACCACGUGUCGCUGUCGCGAUGCGGAGUUCUCCGCCUGCUGCACGGCGGCAGUUUCUACCAGCGUCCGGAGGUUCCUGUGGAUUGCCUGCUCCUAGGGGGCAGCUGGCUCAGGAAGGCUGCGCAGAUGCAUCGCUGCAGCGGCAAUGUUCUGUCCGGCUUGAACAAACUGUGGGAGAUCAUCCCUUCCUGCGAGGAUGUUGCACUGCACCUGACGGGUGCGGCCUCGAGCGCCGCUCGCCGGGUCGCGCACAUGCGGCGCAGAGUGAUGCGCUGGGUGCGCUGGCGGCGGCGGCUGCGCAUCCUGUUGCCGUUGUCGCAGCUUGUCGCCGUGUGCCUGCGCUUGCGCCAGGGCCUCUGCGCGAUGAUUCGGUGGGGUGCGAGUCUCAACGGACUCCACCUCUGGAAGCUGUUCCGGCGGUCCGCCAUGGCGCACUCCCAGGAUAGAGGAUGGUCAAGCGCCAUCAUAUCGCCAAUGCUGGAGCCGUCACUCUCGAGCUCCUUGUCGCAGAGGUCAUGGAAGGAGGCGGGAGCAGUUUGCCAUUCCCACGAACUCGGACGGGUGGAGGGAUGACGUCAUGACCCUCCAAAGGCCCCAAGUGUAUGUGUCCACCGGGGACGGUAGGCCGAAAGUGUCACACCCUAAAAUUUUUGAACCUUAGGGUGUGAUUAAAAGGAAUAAUUACACAAUGAUUUUCUCAUAAUUUUAAUUUUUUUUCCCAAUAUUUAUUUUUCUUUAUAGGAAAUUUAGCAUAGGAAAAAUAAUUGUUUGUUUUUCUAAGUUAAAUAAAGCUGUCCUUUGUGUAUGCAUUCGUUCCGAUGCAUAUUGGUAUUUCAUGAGUGCAAAGGUUUUAAUACGUUUCUAUAAUGAUUAUAUUCUUCUGAUAAUUUCUAAAAAAAUUCUGUGAUUUAUUCUCAUUUUUUUCCGGAGCUUGCUUAGGCUGCAAUUACGUCGACAGCUGCAACAGCAGGCCGAAGCCCAGCUCCUAUCAUCGAUGACGUUCAUCCACCAACACCUUUGACCUCAGCGUCAUCUGUUCUGGGCCUACGUAGCCACGAGCCAUCUCCCUUCUGCUCUCUUCCUGGGUUAGAGCUUCAACGAGCCUUAGUCCGAGCAUGACUCUGCGUCGAUUCGAGGCCCGCACGCAAGAGCGGCCCUCGCGUAUAGAUGGGUGGCCGCUGCCUUGGUCCGUCUUUUGCCCAAAACCAAAUAAACAGAGCCGUGCCCUAGCUCACGUCCUGUGCCGCCACCGCUUCGAGGUUCGGCGUCUGCAUCGCCACUGAUGCUGCCCUAGCCGAUCCAGGCCGCUGUGCCUUCGCUUGCCUGAUACGCCAUCGUUGAGCGAUUUGCCGCUGGAGCACGACUUCCACGUGAAGCUCGGCUGUCCUCCUCUUCAACCUUCGGCCUCCAUGCCGUCCUACGUGCCCUAGAUCCCUGGCAAACAACCUCCGAGUUCAAUCUGCUGCUGCCGUGCCGCCGCCUUGCCGUGCCGCGCGCCACCGCUUGUGUGCCGUCGCCCCUGUGCCGCCCUCGCCGCUGCUGUGCACCGCGGCGCCAGGGAUCCCGUGUGCAGGACGUCGCCGUGGAUCCAUCACUGCAGCCAGCCGUCCACCGUCCAUGUUUUCCAGUCGCCGGGGAGGACUUCACCACGAGGAGCACCAGCGAGGUGGUACCGAAGCCCGUCCCGAGGUCGCCGUCCCUGUGACCGAGCUUCUGCAGGAGGAGCAGAAGCAUGUCCACGCCGAGGUUGAACCAUAGAUGUCGUCGUCACGUUUGGUCUCCGCUCGUCGCCGAUUGUUCUGCAGAUCGGGUCAUCAGGAUGAACGUCCCCGCCUGUGCCGUCGGCAGCUGCUGCUUUGCUGCUGCUGUCUGCGCGUCGAGCAGAUGCCUUCCGCUGCCCUGCUAAGACAGACCAUCUACCAAAGCUAUCCACAAGCCGUGCAAGCCUGCACGUAAAGCAUGGUAAGCAAUGUUCUGAGUGCCCCUGGAUGAGUUACGUGUAGCCAUGCGAUGCAUACUUUUGUGUGCAGUACAACAAGGCCAUCGCCAGUCGUUCUGCCGCUAAUCAACCAAGUGCAAUUCCUAUGUACUUGACUUGGUACAAGCUCAAUAUGUACGCGUUGAUGCCAUGCAUAUUAUGCAAUAAACUUUGACCUUUUCUUUAGCAAAAUAAUUUGGUUUUCUACAUAUUUCCAGCAUGAUCAAAGAUCCGAAGUCUUAUGGUUAUCAUCAUUGAUUUGUAGUAUAUUCUAUGGGAACUGCUAGCGCACGGACGUCCGACGUCCGGGCCUAGCAUAGGAUGGACCAUCCACCGUCCCGUUCAGGCUAAACAAACCAAAGGAUCAAAAAAUCAAAAAAAAUACUGCCGCAACAUACAUCUCACGUUGCAUGCAACAUCCAUCCGAAAACACUUACAAACACCAGAGAAACUUGAAAAACAACAUGCGUCUGAAAAAGUGAUGAAACAUUUGGAACAGAUGCUUGCAACAUACGUGUAUAGCCAUUGCAACAUAUGCAACAUGUAGAUCUACUUUGCAACAUCCAAUGAAACAUUUGCAACAUACUCCCGAAACAUCUGAAACACUUGAAACAUAUACUUGCAGCAUGCGCUCUCAGCAAAACCUGGCAGACAUGCACGGGCUGGCGGGGCACGACAUAGCGGGAGCCCCUGUGCAGUGCUCCCUUGACCGUGGGGGAGCGGCGGCCCGUGCGGCUCGCCCCUGGCCUCGGGGGAGCGGCGGUCAGCACGGCUCGCGUGGCCGCAUGGUGGAGCAGCUCCUUCGGCGGUUGUACGGCAAGCGGCGGCCGAUGCGGCUCGCCCCUAGCCGCGGGGGAGCGGCGGCCGGCGCUCGAGCGGCCGCACGAUGGAGCAACUCCCUCCCCGGCGGAGCAGCUCCUCCGGCCAGCUCCGGAGAGAGGGAGAUAGAGAGAGCUCGUGUGGUUGAAGAAGAAAGGUCACGGGAGAGAGAGAUGGGCAGCUGUGUGGUGGAUAAGGAGAGGGUGUGGUGGAUAAGGUUGAGUGGUGGGACCCGCGUCCGAUUUUUUUUCCUGCGAUCGGACAUGUUCACGGUAGCAUUACCGAUAUUCUAUUUCAAGUACUACAAACUUUGCCCACCAUUACUUUGCUAACUUCAUAGCUCUUAUUAUUCACUUCAUUUAUCUUUUUCCUUGUUUCCUGAGUCAUGUUUGACAUCUCUCUUGCACAAUGAUUUCUAAUUUCUUUUUACUUCCAUGUUUCUUGAACAUGUUUAUUUCCUUCACAACUUUGUUUAUCUCAUAUCUUUCUCGUUUCAAAUCCAAUCUUAGCAAUUCUUGCGCUCACGCGAUCGUGUCAAUGUGUAGAAUGAUUUAUUAUGAUGAUUGGUGUACUGUUUUUAAUUUAGUUAUUUUGUUUGCUUGUAUGUGUGUGCUCUGGAUGUUUGUCUUGGAUGAUUGAUGUGAGUAGAACGAACAUACUUCGAGGACAUUCAAGAGCAAGAAGUUGAAGACAUUCUGAGUAGCAACACUACUUAUAGGAAGGCAAGUGUGUCUUAGUGCUUUUGUCCCAAUAACUUAAUUUAAUCACUAUUGCAUGUGCUUGCAUUUAAUUUGAUGGGUCCUAUUAAGGUUUUCCUAGCUUUUAUGAUCAUUCCUUGUCUACCUGCGUUUAUCUUUCUGUUGGGUAGCUAUGCUUAGCUGCUAUACUUGGGUUAUGGUGGUUUUAACGAACUCAAUGAUUAAACUUGUUUUAUUUAUGUUAUACCUUUCACUAAUACAAGAUCACAAUGCUUAAUUGGAAUAUGGAGUGACCACCUAGGAAAACAAUACAACCACAAGAACUAUCAUGGCUCUGGUCUUGGCUAAUUAAUUAGAAACUCUAGUCUGGGGUAAUCUUACCAAAAGGGCAAGAUGGGAGGUGUUGAUGGGGUAUAGCACCUGUCCUCUUGGGAAGUGGGCUUAGCUAAGACACUGUACCCACUAGGAAGUUGUUAUGCUCUGCUUUGACCUGUAACCUUAGCGGGUUACCACUUACUAGCGAAUCUUUGUAAAGGCCUCAUAGCGUCCCUAUGCAAUCACACCUUGGAAGUGUGGUAUGGUGCCUAGCUAGCACCGCAUAGUUGGGUCCAAAGUUCUUUGAACUUUUACAUGACUUGUGGGUAAAGAUGUGCAACCUCUGCAGAGUAUAAAGCUGAUCGAUCAACCGUGCUCACGGUUAAGAGCGGCCUGGACCCUCACAUGAUUAAGAUACUUGAAGAUGGACUUAAAUCAUGGUUAUGGUUGUGCUGUAUGCUUAUGGCUUAUGUUUAUGUUUCUAUUAAUUGUGGGUUGGUAUAUACUUAUACCUUAGUAAUCAAGUGCUAAUAAAAUUUGACCAACUAAAAAUGCUUAAUGCAGUCAACCAGUCAGCCUUUCCUUGAUUAAGCCUUGCAUAUAUAUUUUCUCCACACUUGCUGAGUACGACAUGUGCUCACCCUUGCUAUAACCAACGUUGCUCAGAAGAAGAAGCUGCUACCAAGUUUGUUGUGAAGAUGGUGCUGAGUUCUAGGCGUACGCAACCCCCAGUCAAUUGCCUAUGAAGUUUGGAGCCUUCGUUUCCAAGAUUAAGCUGUAUAACUCUGAUAGUCCUAUAAGUCUUUAUUUGUAUCUUUUUACGUGAUAUUGUUGCUGUUAUUCACUUAUGAUAUCACCAUAUGUAUGGAACUAGAUCCUGGCAUACAUAUAGGUAGCACUUGGUUUUGUUUUAAAACCGGGUGUGACAAAAAGUGAGCCAUCCGCGCGGCGAAUGUGGCAGAGAUAGCGGAGGUCCUCCGAAGAGCUACUUGAAAGUGUUAGCGAGUGAAUACAUGAUGGUAUCCACAUCAUUAACCAUGGGGUUUGCACCCAGCACGGACUCGAUGCGGAGCGCAAGUGCUUCCACGUUGAGAUCGUCGAGUGGCUCACGGACGACGAUGCGAGCCACCUUUCUUGGGAAUGCCGGGGGAGCCACCUCCUUGUGGAGGCGGAGCACACUGAGAUGAUCGGCGACGAAGUCCAGACUUCCAAAGCGGAAGGCCUGGGACGACACGAAGAUGGGCGGAACCCACGUCCCACCGAGGGUGGGAGCGGGAAACUCCAGCGAGCCGAAGCGAAUCGUAUCGCUGGCACCUGCCAUGCUGAUAGUGGCGGUGAUAUGGGCCAUCCUAUGACCUACAAAACACGAACACAACUGCGUCUUCCCCACGGAUGGCGCCAACUAUCGGUGUGAAAUCUAGCUGACAAGUAAUUAUUUGUACUUUUACCAAUGCGUUAAUCGGAUAUGGCCUAGCACGCAAUGAGACAGGAUUUAUACUGGUUCGGGCAACAUGCCCUAUGUCCAGUCGGGGGUCAGUCAUUGACUUUAUUCCUAAGCCCAGGUGCUCAAAUUUUGCAGUGGGGGUGCAAACGAGAGGAGGAAGAGAUGGGGUGCCUGAGUCCUAGCUCUGUUCUCAUCUCAGUGGAGGAGAGUGGUAGGAGCCCAAGCAUGCGCUAAGUGUUGGGAGUGUGUAUGGUGCAUGUGAGAGCAUAAGAGUUGUGCAUGCGGAUCUUUUGUGUAGAAGCAGGGGUCCAUUCCCUUUUAUAGUACAAGGGGACGGCCUUACAAGUCGGGGGAGGAUAAGAGAGUAAGUGUACGGGCGCUGCCUAGUCUUGUUGAAUCCCACGUCGGUAAAUACGGUGUGGCCUCCGUCCUCGGUCCCUGUUCUCCUUGUCAGGCUAUUACACCAUACCGAGUAGGUUUACGACGCCACUGUGCAGACAUGUGCAGGGCGUGGCGCGGUAUGGCUCUGCGUACGGCUAGCUGACCUGGGCGUUGCCUCGUUAUCCGUCACACCUGCUCCCUGGGCCCACGCCGGGCAGGCAUCCUCGGUCGGGCAUCCUAGUUAGACCUGACCGAUUCGGUCGGGGAGGUUGGUGCAAGUGGUACAGUGAGUCCUUGGUUGGGGGGGUUGGGUCGGAGCACUCAGUCAGAAGGGCUUGGUAGGGAGUACUCAGUCGGGGUCGGGCGGUGGUCCCACCCCCGACUGACCCUUUCUUAGCGGGGCGCCGACCAAGCCUCCUGGUCGGAGGAGCCGGUUGGUGGCCGGAUCGAGGCCUCAGCCCGGCUAUGCACAGCUGGGUCGGCCCAGGUAUGCGCUAUCGUUAUGCCCUUUGUUAGGCUAAGUGUUGUGGGAAGGCAGUCCCAUUGGGGACCCUUGGUCUAUGGACCCGUCGCCUGGUGAGAUUGAUGGUGCGGUCAAGAUUUUUUUUUAUUUUUAUAUAAUUUUUAACGAAUUUGCAGAAAUAAAUAGUUGAACAAAAAAAUUGCAGAAAUAGACCUAUGCCGCCAGACGAAACGGUGGUAGGCCUGUAUCGCUGGUUCAAACGGUGGUAAGACCUAUAGCCGGGUGAAACGGCGGUAGGUCCCUUACCGCCCCCCAUUUGGCGGGCCGCCUAUGGGUUGCAAUGGUGCGGGUUUCAAGGCGGUGGCACCGUUUCGUCUGGCGGAACUAGCGCCCCGCCAGGUCAAACAGCGGAAGCCACCCCUUUCCGCCGAAUGAGCAGGCGGGGCCGCAAUUAUAUAAGCGUCGCGCACAGGCGCCAGGGCGCUCACCCCUUUCAUUUGUUGUGUGCUUGCCUAAGAGCCAGAUAGAGAAGAGGAAGGGAGGGGAGGAGAGGUUGAGGAGAAGAAAGGAAGGGAGGGAGAAGGAAAGAAAGAAAGAAAGGGAGGGAGGGAGGGAGGAGGGGAGGGGAGGGGAGGUGAGAUUGAAAGCCCAUUCCUCGCGUCGUUACAGGUAUUUUUUUUAGUCCUCUAGUUUAGUUAGUUUAGUGAAUAGAUCUAGAAGUAGAUAAAUGUAGUAGUUAGUUUAGUUAGUCUAGUGGAUUUGAGACAUAGGAAAAUGUAGGUCAGAUAGUUUAGUGAAUUUAGCUUAGGGAUUUAGUUGACAGUUAAAUUAGGUUGCUGAUUUAGGUAUAUUAAAUUUAGAUAAAUUUUAUUUGCAAUGCUAUGGUUAUAUUAUUAGAUUUAGUUAGAACUUUUGUGCUUAUCGCAUAUAUUGACUGGGUAAUUGCCUAUGAUAGUAUCACAUAUAUUUUGUAAAUGACUAUGAUAGUAUCGUGUAUAUAGACCGGGUAAAAUGAAAUGAAUUAGUUCGUAAGGUUGGUUUACUUUUAAAUAGUUGUUAGUGUCGAUGUUAGAAUUAAAUGAUUCCACUAUUUAUUGAAAUGAAGGUGUCGUUCUAGUUAACUGGUUUAAGUUAUUGAGAGUAAUUUGGACUGCUCAUUUCGUGUAUGUUGGCAGGCAUGCUGGAUAGUUUAUAUUCUCAAGUAUUCUAUGGUCCGGAGGAGGUUAGAUAUUAUCUAGAAGGGGUAGAUUUGAGUGGAUUUUAGUAUUUCUACAAGUAUUUACCAACAACAAGAGAGAGGACUUGGGGAGGCAUAUGCAGGUGGCUUUGUAAGGAUUUCGGUGUUGAUAGAGAUCAAGUGGAUGUGUCUGUGAGGGCUGUAGUGAAAAGGUGGCCUGACAUAAACUUUUAGGAGCUGCUCCUGCUUGAAAGAACCCCAAGCUACAAGGCUCCCGCUUGAAAGAACCCCAAGCUACAAGGCUUAUGUAAAGGCUUGCACGAGGCGCAGUUUACCACUCAUAUGGUAUGUUCAACUGUUCAUGAAUACUGGGUCUAGCAAUUAGAUGGAAGAAGAAGUAGGAGGUGCUGAAGUUGAAGCCGAGAAAAAUGUGGAGAGUACUGAUGGGGCAAAUGAACAAGCUGAUGACGAUGGGGCAGAAGGGGGAGAUGCAAAGGAUGAUGUUGCAGCCUGUGAGCCAAAUGGGGAGGCUGAUGAGGGGGAAGACAUUGCUUAGUUAGUUGAGCAGGUGGAGAGGGAAGGAGAGGAAGCUAAUGGUACCAUGGAUGAUGACUUGUCGGAUGAGGAAGAUGCUUACCCUAUCCAACGGAGCUGAUCAAAUUAUGACCAUUCCGCCCUACAGGUCAAUGUAGGGGAAAAUGUCCCUUGGGAGUACAAGGAGAAUGAGGUUUGCGUGGAUGCUUUGUACCCUAGUGGGGAUGAGGUGAAGGCAGCUGUGAAGCAAUGGUCCACUUUAUCUUUGCAGCGUCAGUUCAGGGUGGAGAAGAGCAACCCGAUAGUGUAUGAUGUCCACUGUGUGAGAAAUGAUUGCCCGUUUAGGGUGCACACAUACAAGGGGAAGUGGAAAGAUUACUGGGAGGUGACUAGAGUAGUUGAGCACCAAUGCUUUGCUGGAUGAAUUGGAAGGAACACAUCGCAACCUCACUGCUGAUUUUGUUGUUCAAUACAUGUAUCCUCAGAUAGUGGAGAAUCCCAGCUUCGAGCCUAAGUCGAUUGUUUGUGCCAUAGAGGAGAAGUUCAAGUACAAGAUUAGCUAUAGUAAAGCUUACUGAGCGAAGCAGAAGGUGCUGGAGAUGAAGUGGGGUACGUUAGAAGCAUCCUAUGACAACCUCCCUAUCCUGUUGCACACCAUAUGAUAGAGGAACGCAGGAAGCUUCUACGACGUGAAAGCCUAUCCAUGUGCUCAAUUUCUAGGCAAACAGGUCCUGCAGCAAUCAUUCCUGGCCUUGGGUCUUUGCAUUGAGGCUUUCCAGCGAUGUCGACUAGUCAUUUGCAUUGAUGGCACAUUUCUGACUGGAAGGUAUAAAGGAACAAUAUUGUCAGUUAUUGGGUCCGACAGCAACAUUUAGGUGUUGCUACUUGCGAUCGCAUUUGUGGAGAAGGAGUCUGGAGAUAGCUGGUAUUGGUUCUUGGAGAGGGUGAAGAACAUGAUUGUGAAGGACGUGGAGGGGGUUUAUCUCAUUCAUGAUCAGCACAAAGACAUUCUACAAGCAAUCGAAGACCUACAGAAUGGAAGUGUGGAGCGUUGCAGGGUGGUGAUAUGGCCGAACUUGAAGAGUAGGUGCUAUCAAGCACGUUCACGCAAAGAUUUUUCAUCAGGUGCAUCACAUCAAUUGCAUUAUGAACCUAAAAGACCUACCAAUAAGGUAGCUCCCAAAAUAUAGACUUCUUCCACAUAGGUGCAUGUCCAUCUUCGUCAUUCGGAACAUGUUGGCUACCAGAGCCCUUGCCAAAUACUACCCUCACAUCCUUUAUCAUAGAAAAUACACGUUUACCAUUACGGUGAACGGGCUUAGUACAUUUUUUUCCUCCCCUUCAAAAUGCUUCCCUUUCUUUCUUAAUAGGUGCUUAGAAGGAAGAAAUUGACGAUGGCCCGUAUACACGACCUUUUUACAAUGUUUCAAAUACAUGCUGCAAGUAUCAUCUAAACAGUGCGUGCAGGCUCGGAAUCCCUUGUUUAACUGUUCAGACAGAUUACCAAGCGCCGACCAAUCAUUGAUGGUUACGAACAACAAUGCUCGUAGAUUAAAAGUCUCCUUUUUGUCCUCAUCCCACACACGUACACCUUCUUUCUUCCAUAACAGUAGAAGUUCAUCAACCAACAGUAUUAGGUAAAUAUCAAUGUCGUUGCCAGGUUGUUUUGGACCUUGGAUAAUAAUCAGCAUCAUAAUGAACUUUCGCUUCAUGCGCAUCCAUGAAGGAAGGUUGAACAUACAUAAGGUCACACGCCAAGUGCUAUGACCAGUACUGAACUCUCUGAAUGAAUUGAAUCCAUCUGUACUUAAACCAAACCAUAUAUUCCUUGCAUCCUUUUUAAACUUGGGAAAUUCUCUAUCAGCUGUUCUCCACUGGGACCCAUCAGUGGGGUGUCUGAUCAUUUCAUCCUGCUUACGUUCUUCUUUGUGCCAAGCAUCAACUUUGCAUGUGCCUUGUUUCUGAACAAAUGCUUCAAUCGUGGUACUACAGGGAAAUACCACAUUACCUUCACAGGAACUUUCUUCUUGAUGGCCUCCCCCUCAACAUCACCGGGGUCAUCUCACCUGAUCUUAUAACGCAACAUUUUGCAUACAGGACAAGCCUCCAAUUUCUCGUAUUCCUCACUGCGAUAGAGGAUACGAUCAUUAGGACAUGCAUGUAUCUUUUGUUCCUCCAAACCCAGAGGGCAAACAACCUUUUUAGCUUUGUAUGUUGAGGAUGGCAGUUCAUUCGCCUCGGGAAGCAUGUUCUUUAUGAUUUUCAUUAACUCAUCAAAACCCUUGUUAGAAACUCCAUUUUUUGCCUUCCAUUGCAGAAUUUCCAGUGUGGUACCCAACUUUUUGUGCCCCUAUUUGCAAUCUGGGAACAACAAUUUCUUAUGAUCAUCUAACAUAUGCUCGAACAGUUUUGACUCCUUCCAAUUCUCGCAGUCUUCCUUUGCAUCUCGCAACACCUGACCUAGAUUAUCGAUAAGAUCUUCUGCCUCGCCCAUCUCUUCUUCAGCAUCGCCCAUUGGAGCAUUUGCAAAGGCACUUCCUUGAAUCUAGUCAAGAAUGUUGUCAUAUUCUUCUUCAUCAUCAUCAUCCAUCAUAACUCCUCUUUCCCCAUACUUGGUCUAAACAAAAUAGUUAGGCAUGAAUCCAAAAUUGUAUAUGUGGGCAUGAAUAGUCUUUCUGGAUGAGUAAUCCUUCUGAAUUUUGCAAUUUCUGUAUGGACAACAAAUGAAACCUGAUGGCGGUUUGUUGAAUUUUUCCUAAUCGAGAAAACUACGCAAGCCAUUAAUGUACUCCAUGGAACUUUUGUCUGCAUUGUACAUCUAUUGCCGAUCCAUCUACAAAAUACUACCGAACUAAAGAUAUUCUGAUCAUCCAUACAAUUAUAAAUGAAACAUAAAAAACAUGAAACAAAUAGCAUUAAAUUGAAAUGUUGCUAAAAGUUUAGAUAGAAAUAACAUGAUUUUAUAUAAAUUCUAGCUACUUCAAGAUUUUUUUCUAAGUUAACAUGAUUUUCUACAAUUUCCAAUACAAAAUGGUGCAUAUAUUUAAAAAAACAAAAAUAAGCUCUAAUAACACAUUCAUAUAAAUGAAAUAGUUAGAAAAUAUAGAAAAAUUCUUGAAUUAGCGAGAAAUGAACAUUAUUUCUUACAAUUUGAUAACGUAAUUGCUAAAUUCACAUGAUCUAAUUUUCACUUAUUUUUAUACAUUUCUAAGAAUUAACAUGAUUUUAUAUAAAUUCUUCAAGAUUUUUUUCUAAGUUAACAUGAUUUUCUGCAAUUUCCUAUACAAAAUGGCGCAUAUAUUAAAAAAUUAAAUAUGAGCUCUAAAUAACACGUUCAUAUAAAUGAAAAGUUUCUCCAUUGUACCUUAUUCUAAAAAUCACAAAUUACUCUAACUCUAAAGUAUAAAACUUAGUAUACUAUCCAUGUAUCGAGGGAGGAUGGAGUUUCUAACCUUUAGAAUACUUGAAUGAGUGAAAUCCUUAAGAAAUGGUCAUAAAUCCGGCAGCACCCCCUAUGGCGCCAUGAAUAGGGUGAAACUCGAGCUGUGUUUAAUUAUUUGUCUAUUUCUGCAGUAUAUGAAUUACUUUUAAAUUGUAGUAAAAAUGUUGAAUUAGCUAGAGAAUAUAGAAAAAUUCUUGAAUUAGCGAAACAUUAUUUUCUAGAAUUUGAUAACGUAAUUGCUGAAAUAACCAAUACAAAUACCAUUAAACUCAAAUGUUGCCGAAACUUUAGAUAGAAAUACACAAAUUAAUAUUUCAGAUCCAAACAACAUGAUACACUAUGAUAAACCAUCAACUGAGUGCUACCUAGAAGGACUUUAAGCAUCCUUGGGCGGCAAAGACGAAAGUUUUGCUGACCCAGCCUCAUCCUAUGUUUUAUUUGUACCUCCUACAACGGUAGUACUAAGUGGACCUGAAACACCCGGGACUGGCGGUGGAGCAUAAAGACCACCAAAAGGAGGUUCCUAACCCGCCGCAACAGCAUCUUCAUGACAUCUCCACAAAUAGCAAAGCAUUGCUUUCUUCAACGUGCUUAUUUUCUUCAACUUAACAUGAGAGCUAUGGUUUUCCUCUUGCCGCGAGAGGAACGAUAAUCGCCCCACCAUCGCCACUACCUCCAGCAGCAGAAGCUAUCUCUAUGUACAUAAUUUAUUUAGCUCAUAUUUGCAAAUGACUAAACUACGAACAAAUUCUAUAUUUUUCACAUAAUUUACUUAGCUCAAACAUAACAUAUAAAUGAAAUUUUCUCCAUUGUAGGUUAUUCUAAAAAUGACUAAUUACGUACCUCUAUUUCAUCUUAUUACCUCUAUGUACGACAUUUUAUCCCGCUCACAUUUGCUAUAAUUUAUUUACCUCAUAUUUGAAAAGUACUAAACUAUGAAAUUAUUCCUCUAACCUCAUAUCAAUUUCUUUGACUAGUACGAAACAUGGCAUCCAAAAAAUUGUAGCUUAUUCUAAAAAUCAUAAAUAUGAGCUCUAAAUAACACAUUCAUAUAAAUGAAUUUUUUUUGCAUUGUACCUUAUUCUAAAAAUCACAAAUUACUCUAGUUCUAAAGUAUAAAACUUAGUAUACUAACCAUGUAUCAAGGGAGAAUGAAAUUUCUAACCUUUAGAACACUUGAAUGAGUGAAAUCCCCAAGAAAUGGUCACAAAUCCUGCAGCACCUCCCCCUAUUUCACCAUGGAUAGGGUGAAGCUCGAGUUGGAGGAGAUGGCUUGGGCUGGAGGAAAAGAAGGGUAUUUAUAGGAAAGAAAUUAGUACCGGGGGUAUGGCGCAUUAGUACCGGUUGGGGCCACUAACUGGUACUAAUGUGCACCAUUUAGUAUUAGUUGGUGCCCACAACCGGAGCUCAUGAGCGCUGCUGUAGGGACUAUCCGUUAAUCCCGGUACUAAUGCUAACAUUAGUACCGUGCCUAAAAGUGACUAGUACUAAGUCUCAGGAUGAGAGAUCAUUUUUUCUAGUAGUGAAACCGGACUAAAAUCCUCGGAGGCUUUAGUCCAAGUUUAUAACACCAACUGUGAUUAAAGAUGUCUUCAUCGACUACAAAAUUUAGAUGGAUAAAAAAUAAUCGAGAUUUUUGUGAAGGAUAGAAUUUUGUUUUUCUACUAGUGUUAUUACAGGCUUGAUCUUGCAAUGAGCUAAUUCGCAAAAGUAUAAUGGUCAUCUUCAUCGUAUCCGCUGCUGGGCCCCACAAAUCGAUGUAGGUCCUACCUUUUUUUGCCCUUUAUCCAUCACGUGGGCUUGUCGUUACUGAAGUGCGUUUGGCAGUAGUGGUACUGUUUUCAGCUCUCAAUUAUCAUGCGUUUGGCAGUAGCAACUAGGCCUGCGUGACUGCGUCUAAUCUAUUAUCCGCGCGAUUUCCAACAUUUUAUUUUGGCUUACGAGAGCUUGACCUUCGUCGACUCAAGCAGCAGCGGGCCUCCAUCGACUCCAUCAACUGCUUGUGGAUGGUGGGGGGCGGCCGGCUAUGGCAACCGGCGGCCAUCGUCCGUGAGAGCUGGUUGAUGCCGCAACCAUUGGAGACGCCCAAGGGUAAGCUCCACUGAUCUCCAAUAUCCAUAUUUCCAUUCCACGCGGUCGUCGUCCCCAUCGAUCGAGCACGACCUGGGUCGGUCACUUGGUCAUAUGUGGUCUGUAUGUGUUUGCCUUACUCGAUCUGGGGCAUAUUUCGUCGUCAUCCUCGCGUUGCUUCUAACUCAGAUCAAAUCGUCACCAUCCUGCUACAUCCCCGCUACUCCUCCUUGUGGCAUGAGGACAAGGAGAUCUAGAGUAGAGCAAGCACCUGGUAAAUAAGUAUAGGUACAACUCUGUUCUUAUCUCUUGAACAUAUCAUCUAUUGCUUUAAUUUUCUCACACGCAAGGGUUCUUUGCAUCAAAAGAAACUACAAAGGUAGCGGCGAUCUACAAAAUACAACUAUGGAGCUCGAGGAUGUAACGUUUCAAGUAUUGAAAGAUGUAACAAAUGGUUUCUCCGAGAAACAGAAACUUGGUGAAGGAGCAUAUGGAGUGGUGUACAGGGUAAGAUUGGGAAAACGCUUGGUUUUCGUUCGCACAUCUUUUAUAUGAAACAUCAUUUUGAUUACCCAAAUGGCACAACCAAGGUCUUGUUUAGUUGCCCAACUUUGGGGUGCCAAAAUUACUGUAGCAACACUGUAGCGUUUCGUUUGUAUUUGUGAAUUAUUGUCCAAAUAUUGACUAAUUAGGCUCAAAAGAUUCGUCUCGUAAAGUACAACAAAACUGUGCAAUUAGUUUUUUAAUUUCGUCUACAUUUAGUACUCCAUACAUGUACCGCAAGUUUGAUGUGAUGGAAAUCUUAUUUUUGCAUAGUACUAAAGUUGGGAUUUUGGGUGAACUAAACAAGCCCCAGGUCUUUUUGGCGAGUCAAUUGCUAGUAACAUCUGCAGCGAUAAUAUCCCUGCAGCGCAUGUCAUUGCGAGUGGGUAACGACCUUUGCCACAGUUAGUUUGUUACUAACGGGUGAUCACUAAAUGUAGCAGAGCCAGCACUUCGUUUUUCUGCCUGUCAAUCCAUUUUUGACGGUGACUGUCUCUGUUGCAUUUAGUCUUUCUGCCUGUCAAUCCAUUUCCUGUGAGAAAAAAGUCAAACUUGCUUGAGUACUGAUAACAUGUCUUUGACAGGGACUGACUAAAAAUGGAGAGGAAGUUGCUGUCAAGAAGCUUCGUGAUGUCAAUCCAGAUCUUGAUGAUAAGCAGUUCCAAAAUGAAUUUUAUAACCUCAUGAAGCUGAAACAUAAUAACAUUGUGCAGAUUCUUGGUUAUUGCUAUGAAAUAGAGCAAAUAUCUAUAGAACACAAUGGAAGAAUAGUGCUUGCUGAAAAAACAUACAGAGCACUCUGCUUCGAGUACUUGCACAAUGGGAGCCUUCAAAAGCAUAUUUCUGGUAUGCUACUUCUCCAUGUUCGCUAUGUCAUGGAAUAAAAUUGUCCUGUAUAUUUACAUUAGGUUAAUAAUCCGUUUGUAUACUACUGCAGAUGAGCACUGUGGACUUGACUGGCACACACGUUACAAAAUUAUUAAGGGGAUAUGUGAGGGCCUAAAAUAUAUCCACGAGGAACUGGAAAAACCUCUUUACCACUUGGACCUAAAGCCUGACAACAUACUGCUAGAUAAGGACAUGGUGCCAAAGAUUGCAGAUUUUGGUCUGUCCAAAAUCUUUGGUAAAGAACUGACACGGACAUCACAAAGUCCUCUAGGAACAUGGUAAGUUGAAUGCCGAUCAUGGGAACAUAUCCAUUUUUUUUCUAAUCACAAAAUGCACACAUGUAUUACAACAUUGUUGAGUGUGGUGCAAUGCAGUGGAUACCAGCCACCAGAAUACAUUGAGCGAGGUGAAAUCUCAAAAAAGUUUGACAUAUUCAGUCUGGGUGUCCUAAUGAUAAAGAUAGUAUCAGGACCUGAGGGCUACUCCAAAAGUCAAAACAUGUCUUAUGAUGAGUUUAUUGAUCAAGUGAGAACACAUAUUUCUUCUUAACAAUAUAAAAAAUUAUCCCAAUACUGUGCAAAAUUUACAUUUGAAUAAUAUAACAUCCCCGUUUGACAGUAGUUCAAUUUCUCAGGUACAAAAUAACUGGAGGAACAUGUUGCAGGAAACUUGGAGUGAUUCCUUGCUAGAAGGAUAUUGCCACCAAGUACAGAGAUGCACCCAGAUAGCAUUAAAAUGUUUGGAGAAAGAUAGCCAGAAAAGGCCUGACAUAAUGAUGAUCAUCGAUAUGCUGAAUAAGAUUGAAACAGACACUGUCAAGGUGAUUAAUAUAAUUAUAUAAUUUUGUGUGAAAAUUUCCUGUGUAACAUUGUGCAAUGAAAUGUUACGUCAGUAAAUUACUUGACUACAUGUGCAAUCCUGUUCUCCCUUCAUUUUGCAACAAUAUUUUAGUAUAUUAGGGGUUUUUUAUACGACAAUAAAGAUCCCUCUUGGAUUCAAGAAUGUAAUAACAAUUCGCAGUUUUAUAUCCACUAAACAUGAUCUAAUGACGUGGGAGAUAUUACUUUGUAAGGUGAAAGGAAAACUGUAUUUUAUAGAUUUUGUUUUACCUUCAAUUGAAUGCCAUAUCGUCAUGUUUCAACACUGAAACUUGAUAGGCUCAUGAAAAAACAACUAGUGAUUCGUAUUUAAAAGUUUCAUGUGUAGUUUCUUUCAUAUAUAACUAUCUGAUACAUUUGGUCAUGGUCUAACGAAACAGAGCCAACUUUGUAUGUGCUUUUGAAACAAUUCUCUAAUGAAAAUAUAAAUUGUGUUAUGAUUGUGUUGGUGAAACAUUGUUAGCUUUGAUCUCCAAUAUAUAAAUGAUUACUGGGAGUGAUGACAUAAUACUGAUAGUAUUGGAUCCAUCAUGAAAACAAUUUUCAGUAAUAUAUAGUAGUUUUUUCAUUAGGAUAUUUUCAUGGAAUUUGUCAGUAUAAACUUUAUGGAUCAUACAGAGCAGAUUUUUCCGAUGUGUUGACAAAUAAAUUUAAAUCUUGCAGCUUCCCCAUAAAGGAUGUCACGGAACUGUUCCUAGCAUGACAAUGCUUGAUACGGUGACGAAGAUGAGAACAGAACAACCGGAUAUCACAAAUCAAUACCAGCAUUUCAACUCGAUGAUGACUAGCUCGAGGUGCAAUGACCAGGAAUUUGUUGAUACACGGAAAAAAACAUUAGAUGCAGGUGAAGGACAAAUUGUAGGGAGGACAGAAGAGAAAGAGAAAAUAAUAGCUGCUCUGUGCACGAAGGAAAAGAUCAUCGUCCUUCCAAUAUAUGGUAUUGGAGGCAUUGGCAAGACAACCUUUGCCAAAUUGAUUUACGAGGAUACAAUGUUCAAAUAUUUCUCUCGGGCAUGGGUUUAUGUAUCCCCAAGAUUUGACUUAAAUAAAAUCGGUAACUCCGUGAUUUCACAGCUAUCUGUAAAGGAGAGCAAAACUAAUGAAAAGCAUGAGAUGGAUAACAUCCUCACGAAAAUACUUUCUAACAAGAAGAUUCUGAUAGUUUUAGAUGACCUGUGGGAGGACAAUCCAUUUCAAAUGAAGGAUUUGAAGGCAAUGCUAAGUCUUGGUGAUAAGAAUAAUAUAAUUGUUUUGGUAACCACACGCAGUGAACACAUUGCGAAGAACAUUUGUGUUACUCUUAAACCGUACAAGAUACGACCUUUGACAAAUGACAUGUGCUGGGAUAUAAUAAAACAAAGAAGUCACUUUGAAACUAGAGAUGACAGGGAAGAGUUGAUGGGCAUAGGAAGAGAGAUUGCCCUGAAGUGUGGAGGUGUGGCUUUAGCAGCACAAUCUCUUGGAUACAUGUUGCAGUCCAUGAAAUCUGAUGAAUGGGAAAAAGUGAAAGAAAAUGAUAUCUGGAAUGAAUAUAUUUCAAAGGAUGGCUCUUCACCAAAUCAUGUUCUUGCAUCAUUGAAGCUAAGUUAUAGCAGUAUGGGUCCAUGCUUGACAUCAUGCUUUACCUAUUGUGCAGUAUUUCCAAAAGGCCAUAAGAUAGUUAAAGAUGAUCUGAUUCACCAAUGGAUUUCUUUGGGUUUCAUCAAGCCCAAAAAAAUACUCUCUCCUACACAGCUAUGUGAGAAGUAUAUUGUGCAGCUCCUGGGAUUAUCAUUCCUUCAACAUUCUGUGUUACCCACUGUGAGUUGUUUUUGAACUUUUCUUAUUAUUAACUUCAGAAAAUUGAAAAGAAAUGUAUAUCAUGCAUAUUUAUAUAUUGACAGUCAUGCUGAGAACAUAGACAGUACCUUGAAUCAUAACAAGCACAUAAAUGCACAGCUUACAUGUAGUUUUUUAGAGUGAUCAAAGAAUAAGGGGUGGCAAUGAGCCACUUUUUUGAAUAAAUACUAUCUUAUAAGAUUACGGAGCUGCAGAGUACCUCAUAUGUGCUAAUUAUGGAACUGGCACAAUGGAGGCGACACAGGUAUCCAUACUGGCGUACAAAGCUAGCAUGAAUAAUAGAUUAUUGGUACCCGAGUUGGAGUGGAGUGCCGGAGCAAAUAUUUUAGUAUCCCUACCGAUGUUAAUGAUGACCUUGCACAUAUUUUACCAUAUCCCUAGUGACCCAAGUGAUAGGGCAAUAGGGGUAUUACCGUAUUAACGUAUCCCUACCAGUGCUAACUAUGGGAUGGCACCAAUACAGUUUCCUAACAAAAAAUGAACUCAAGUUACUACACAUGAUUGUUACUAAACAUCAUUGGCAACUAAAAUAAACAAACAAAUAUCAAGCAAUAUAAAGUCAAGUAAUUAACACAUUGUUAAUGCCAUCAUUCUAGACAAAGUCCAUCUUUGGUUAUGGAUAGCCUGGACCACAAGGAAUACUCAUCAUUGGCAGGUAUAAUUUCAAAAGUUAAAAAAGUAAUCAAACAACUGCUAGUACAUAAAACAAACAAACAACAACUUAUUCAAAUAUGAAGUAAUUGUCAUAAGAUUUGAAUCAUUUGUGACAUAGUUUACCAAGUUAUGGUAUUAUUUGUUCAAAAUUUGUUUGAAAGGUGUUUAAUAGGGGUGCGCAUGUACAAUGAAAGAUCUUCAAGAUAAGCAUAACCUUAUCAAACACUAUGAGUGUAAACUGAACCUAUCACAUAUUACUCACUAUUGACACCAAACUCAAAGCUAUAGAUAAACAAACAAAAAGAUAACAACCAAUCAAAAUGUAAAGUAAUUGAUAUUUGUGCAUCCACUUGAACAGAGAACCUGACGCUAGUAUGCUUUUUUCGAUAAAGGAAGUUUUAUUAAAUUUUAAGGGCAUUACAUCAUGACACUAUAUGUACUAUAUAUUUCUGUUGCAGACCCUUCGAGCCUAUAACAAUGGCUUUACAUUAUACAAAGGAGUCACAGUGUUCACCAUGCAUGACCUGGUGCAUGACAUGGCAAGAUUAGACAUGGCCGAUGAAAUUCUGGAUGGUAGCAAACAAGGCAUUACUGUGGAAAGCACUGGUCGAUAUGUAUUGCUAACUGAUUGUAGUAAGCCUCUGAAAUCGUCAACAUGUUUUACUAAUAAGAUUAGGGCCCUGCGUUUUCUUGACUGUAGCCAAAUUGAGCUACACGGCGAUGCAUUUUCAUCUGCAACAUCCCUACAAGUCCUGGAUUUAAGCGAGUGCUGCAUAUACCAGUUGCCAGCUUGCAUAAGUGAAUUGGUGAAAUUGAGGUAUCUCAAUGCCCCCAAGAUUCAAAGUCAAACGAUCCCGUAUUGUAUCACCAAGCUCUCGAAACUAAUUUACCUCAACCUGAGUAAGUCCAGGAUGUUAGCGUUACCUGAGUCAAUUGGUGACUUGAGAUGUCUGAUGUAUCUUGACAUCUCAAAUUGUGACUUUAUAGAUAACCUCCCAAAAUCAUUUGUGAAUCUCAAAAGGUUGGAAUAUCUGGAUUUAUCAAACAACAAUAAGCUUAGAGGUGUAUCGAAAGCUUUGGGUGGCCUCACCAACAUCCAAUACUUGAAUUUAUCAAUGAGAAAAGGUUAUGUAUGGGAUCAAUUUCUUGAGGGGCUGCCAGAGGUCAUUGGUAAUCUAAUUGGACUCCGUUAUUUAGGUCUAUCACAUACCACACGAUCCAUCUUCUGGAAUCCGAGCUCAGAUGAACUAUUCAGUUUCAUUGACCGCAUAUGUACCCUUUCUAAUCUGCAGCAUCUGGACUUGUCUAAUAAUGAUAGUAUAGUAAGUGUUCCUGAGAGUAUUGGCAACCUCAGGAAUCUGCAUACACUGGACCUCUCUUGCUGUUCACAUCUAGUUAGGCUUCCAGAAUGUUUGGUUAGAAUGGAUAAUGUGAAGAUCUUGAAUGUCACCGGGUGCCGCAAACUGGAAAAAUCUGCACUGUCCCGAUCAAAGAUUUUUGACUUGUUGCCGCAUUUCGUGGUCCAAGCUGAUGAAGGUGAAUCUAGCAGCAACAUCGGUCUUCUACAGUACGCAAAUCCUAAUGAGUUGCACAUAACUUGCCUUGAUAAUGUAAAGUCUGCAGAAGAGGUCCAGAGUAUAAAGCUGAUAGAAAAACAGGGGAUUAAUGAUUUGAAACUUCAAUGGACCAGUGAUGCUUGCAGGUCUGUUGAGGAUAUGGAAGUGAUGGCAAGUCUUGUGCCACCAAGCACCUUGAGGGAAUUUAAUAUGACAGGCUACAAUAGUGUGAGCUUUCCGCCCUGGCUUAUGAACAUAAAGCUUUAUCUACCGGAACUUAGCAAGAUUGAACUGUGGCAUAUAUGUAAAUGCAACAGCUUGCCUGCAUUAGGUCAAUUACAAAACCUUAGAGAGCUAAUUAUUGGAGAAAUGGACAGCAUUACGAUCAUCGAAGAGGAUUUUUGUGGUGGUGCAAGGGCCUUCCCUCAGCUGAAGAGAUUUUGUCUAUACCACAUGGAAAAUCUGGAAGCAUGGAAGACGAUGUACUCCAAUGGCAAGGAUGUUGAGAAAGAAUUCAUGUUCCCUAACCUUAAGGAGCUGUCAAUAAAUGAUUGCCCAAAGUUGAGAAUGGAACCAUGCCUUCCUAGAGCAAAGAAAUGGGAGAUAGAGAACAGCAAUAAUGUAUUAUCAUUAUGGGGAGAAACUCGUGCUACCUCCUCUGUUGCACCUAUGGAUGUGAGUGUAACAGUCAGAUCUGACAAAGCGCCUUUGGAUCAGUGGAAGUUCUUUCACGACCUCCCUUCCCUGAGUACUUUACACAUCAAAUGUUGCACUGAUCGGACAUGCAGCUCCAAUAUGCUAAGCCAAUUCCUGUUCAACAUCAUGUCACGGUGGUUCACAAAUUCUAAUGAUUUGUACAUAACUAAGCUGAUGAAAAGACAAGUUAUUAACGAUUUGAAACUACAGUGGACUAGAAAUGCUGGUGGUUCUGUGGAGGAUGUGGAAGUACUGGGAAAGCUUGUACCACCAAGUAGUUUGAGGGAAUUUAAUAUGACAGGUUACAGCAGUAUGAGGUUUCCUGCCUGGGUUAUGGACAUUACGCUUUAUCUCCCAAGUCUUAGCAAGAUUGAAUUGUGGGAUAUACGCAAAUGCAACAGCUUACCACCACUUGGCCAAUUAACAAACUUGCAAGAGCUAGUUAUAGGUGUAAUGGAUAGCAUUACGACAAUUGAUGGGGAUUUCUGUGGCGGUGAAAGAGCCUUCCCUGAAUUGAGGAAAUUUUGCUUAUGCCGUAUGGGAAACCUCAAGUUGUGGGAGACAAUGUACUCCUAUGACAUGGGUAGUGUGAAGAAAUUCAUGUUCCCAAACCUUGUGGAAUUGUUAAUACGUGAUUGCCCAAAUUUAAGAUUGAAACCAUGCCCACCUAGAGCUAAGAGAUGGGAAAUUGAGAGCAGCGAUAAUGUAUUAUCAUCAUGGGGAGAGAAUCUGUCAUGCAACUCAUUAGACAUAAUUGGAGACCUCUCGUUUAUCAAAUCAUUGUUGCUAGAAGAUAAUACUCAGCCAGAACAUCCGAAAUGGUUGGGUGGCCUCAGCUCUAUCCGGAAAAUGGACAUCACAAGGUGUAAAGAGCUGUCUGAUUUGCCUGGGAGCAUGCGAUAUCUGACAUCCCUCCAGGAGCUUUCUUUGAUAGAUUGUCCAAGAAUAAAAGUGCUGCCAGAAUGGUUGGGUGAUCUUACUGCUCUGAAGAAACUUCAGAUCCGGUAUUGUAGGGGUAUCAACUCUUUGCCACAGAGCAUACAGAAGCUUACCAAGCUUAAAGGACUAGCUAUUUACCACUGCCUUGAAUUGGUAGAGUGGUGUAAUUUAGAGAAGAACAAGAACAUGCUGGCUCACAUAAAAGUAAAGGUAUAUGUCCCGCCAUGCUAUCUGCCAUGUCCUACUUAUCUUGACAGUAGCCAAAUUAAACUACACGGUGAUGCAUUUUCAUCUGCAACAUCCCUACAAGUCUUGGAUUUAAGCAAGUGCCACAUAUACAAGUUGCCAGCUUGCAUCAGUGAAUUGGUGAAAUUGAGGUAUCUCAAUGCCCCCAAGAUUCAAAGUCAAACAAUCCCGUAUUGUAUCACCAAGCUCUCGAAACUAAUUUACCUCAACCUAAGUUGGUCCAGGAUGUUAGCAUUGCCUGAGUCAAUUGGUGACUUGAGAUGUUUGAUGCAUCUUGACAUCUCGAAUUGUGAAUUUAUAGAUAACCUCCCAAAAUCAUUUGUGAAUCUCAAAAGGUUGGAAUAUCUGGAUUUAUCAAACAACAGUCAGCUUAGAGGUCUAUCAAAAGCUUUGGGUGGCCUAACCAACAUCCAAUACUUGAAUUUAUCAAUGCAAAUAGGUUAUGUAUUGGGUCAAUUUCUUGAGGGGCUGCCAGAGGUCAUUGGUAAUCUAAUUGGACUCCGUUAUUUAGGUCUAUCACAUACCACACGAUCCAUCUUCUGGAAUUCGAGCUCAGAUGAACUAUUCAGUUUCAUUGACCGUAUAUGUACCCUUUCUAAUCUGCAGCAUCUGGACUUGUCUAAUAAUGAUAGUAUAGUAAGUGUUCCUGAGAGUAUUGGCAACCUCAGGAAUCUGCAUACACUGGACCUCUCUUGCUGUUCACAUCUAGUGAGGCUUCCAGAAUGUUUGGUUAGAAUGGAUAAUGUGAAGAUCUUGAAUGUCACCGGGUGCCGCAAACUGGAAAAAUCUGCACUGUCCCGAUCAAAGAUUUUUGACUUGUUGCCACAUUUCGUGGUCCAAGCUGAUGAAGGUGAAUCUAGCAGCAACAUCGGUCUUCUACAGUACGCAAAUCCUAAUGAGUUGCACAUAACUUGCCUUGAUAAUGUAAAGUCUGCAGAAGAGGUCCAGAGUAUAAAGCUGAUAGAAAAACAAGGGAUUAAUGAUUUGAAACUUCAAUGGACCAGUGAUGCUUGCAGGUCUGUUGAGGAUAUGGAAGUGAUGGCAAGUCUUGUGCCACCAAGCACCUUGAGGGAAUUUAAUAUGACAGGCUACAAUAAUGUGAGCUUUCCGCCCUGGCUUAUGAACAUAAAGCUUUAUCUACCGGAACUUAGCAAGAUUGAACUGUGGCAUAUAUGUAAAUGCAACAGCUUGCCUGCAUUAGGUCAAUUACAAAACCUUAGAGAGCUAAUUAUUGGAGAAAUGGACAGCAUUACGAUCAUCGAAGAGGAUUUUUGUGGUGGUGCAAGGGCCUUCCCUCAGCUGAAGAGAUUUUGUCUAUACCACAUGGAAAAUCUGGAAGCAUGGAAGACGAUGUACUCCAAUGGCAAGGAUGUUGAGAAAGAAUUCAUGUUCCCUAACCUUAAGGAGCUGUCAAUAAAUGAUUGCCCAAAGUUGAGAAUGGAACCAUGCCUUCCUAGAGCAAAGAAAUGGGAGAUAGAGAACAGCAAUAAUGUAUUAUCAUUAUGGGGAGAAACUCGUGCUACCUCCUCUGUUGCACCUAUGGAUGUGAGUGUAACAGUCAGAUCUGACAAAGCGCCUUUGGAUCAGUGGAAGUUCUUUCACGACCUCCCUUCCCUGAGUACUUUACACAUCACAUGUUGCACUGAUCCGACAUGCAGCUCCAAUAUGCUAAGCCAAUUCCUGUUCAACAUCAUGUCACGGUGGUACACAAAUUCUAAUGAUUUGUACAUAACUAAUCUGAUGAAAAGACAAGUUAUCAACGAUUUGAAACUACAGUGGACUAGAGAUGCUGGGCGUUCUGUGGAGGAUGUGGAAGUACUGGGAAAGCUUGUGCCACCAAGUAGUUUGAGGGAAUUUAAUAUGACAGGUUACAACAGUGUGAGGUUUCCUGCCUGGGUUAUGGACAUUACGCUUUAUCUCCCAAGUCUUAGCAAGAUUGAAUUGUGGGAUAUACGCAAAUGCAACAGCUUACCACCACUUGGCCAAUUAACAAACUUGCAAGAGCUAGUUAUAGGUGUAAUGGAUAGCAUUACGACAAUUGAUGGGGAUUUUUGUGGCGGUGCAAGAGCCUUCCCUGAAUUGAGGAAAUUUUGCUUAUGCCGUAUGGGAAACCUCAAGUUGUGGGAGACAAUGUACUCCUAUGACAUGGGUAGUGUGAAGAAAUUCAUGUUCCCAAACCUUGUGGAAUUGUUAAUACGUGAUUGCCCAAAUUUAAGACUGAAACCAUGCCCACCUAGAGCUAAAAGAUUGGAAAUAGAGAGCAGCGAUAAUGUAUUAUCAUCGUGGGGAGAGUGGGGAGCAUCCAGUGUGUCCUCUGUUUCACUAACAAACGUGAUGGUGACAGUGAAAUCAAGCAAGGUGCCUUUGGUUCAGUGGAUGUUGUUUCACCACCUCCGUGCCAUCACUGAGUUAAGGAUAAUAAGUUGUACCGAUCUGUCAUGCAACUCAUUAGACAUAAUUGGAGACCUCUCAUUUAUCAAAUCAUUGUGGCUAGAAGAUAAUACUCAGCCAGAACUUCCGAAAUGGUUGGGUGACCUCAGCUCUAUCCGGAAAAUGGACAUCACAGGGUGUAAAGAGCUGUCUGAUUUGCAAGGGAGCAUGCGACAUCUGACAUCCCUCCAGGAGCUAUCUUUCAUAGAUUGUCCAAGAAUAAAAGUGCUGCCAGAAUGGUUGGGUGACCUUACUGCUCUCAAGAAACUUGAGAUCCGGUAUUGUAGGGGUAUCAACUCUUUGCCACAGAGCAUACAGAAGCUUACCAAACUUAAAGUACUAACUAUUUACCACUGCCCUGAAUUGGCAAAGUGGUGUAAAAUAGAGAAGAACAAGAAGAUGCUGGCUCACAUUCAAGUAAAGGUAUAUGUCCCGCCAUGCUAUCUACCAUCUCCUACUUAUCUUUCACUGACUGCUCUUUUGUCAACUCUGUAACGAAUUUGUCAACUCUGAUAGACAAAAGUCUAGAUUUACUUGAACAUUGGCUCAUAUUCCAUUUAUUCUGUUCGAAUCGGAAGUAUGUCAUUCAGCACAUAAGAACCCCAAUAAGAUUAAGACUGAAUGAACUGCACUGCAUUCCCAGUCUACUACAAUUUCCUAACAUAAAGAACAUUGUGUAAACAAAACCAAAAAAAAAGGUCUAGUCACACUUAUAUAGUUAUAUUUGAAUCUUUGAAUCGCAUCUGCUUUUAGCUUUUUAUGUACGAACAAUUUUGUCACUGAAAGUUAUUGAUAAAAUAAACAAAACAUUGAUGGGUUGAUGUCUCCUGCAUUGCUCAUUGCAAGAUCAGAAUAUCUAACUUCCAUCUUUUUAACAGGAAUUGCUGCAGAACCAUUUAUUUACUACUUCCGCUCUCAAAUAUAUGACAUUUAGGACAAGCUAGCUAGUUCAUUUUUUAACUAAUUAACUUAUCCUAAAUAUCAUAUAUAUAAGAACGGAGGGAAUAUUUGAUAUUUCUGUGUCAUUUAUUUUGCAGUAUAUCUUUCUGAUGAAUGAUCACCUCGUACAAAGAGUGAAGCUCCAUGGAAAACGAAUUAAGCGGUCAUGUGGAAGAACUAUUUGAUUAUAAUAUUUGUUCCAAAGCAUGUGUUGCAUCUACAUUUCUCGCAGCAUGGUCAAUUAGUUCAGUCUUGAUUCAGAGGUACAAUUUCUGAAGAGGGAAAAGUUUAUUUCAUGAUGUACCUUUGUACUUGACUAGUGACUACCCCAUUGUAUCAUUUGGAAGAAGAACUUCAGACUUCAACUGGCCGAGGAACAUCAUCUUGUCCUCAAGAUCCAUCCACCUGGUGUAGGGAUGGAGUUACAUUGUUGGCACUAGGUGCGACCGCACCCCAGAAAAAUCCACAAUCACUUAUCAUUUUUUAAUUUUCACCAUGUUAGCACGAAUAUUCUACAUAUGCUAUGAAGUGACGCACCCCCUCUAUUUUUAUGUAGCUCCGCCCACCUCCCACCAGCCAUCAUCCAAGAGGGUCUUACUUGAAACCAAUGGUGAAUAGGUUCCUGCUUUUGAUGUUUAUUUGACACCAUGUACACCAGCGGGGAGCUGUGUUGCUUGGCAACCUGAAAGGUGUCCUACAAACAAUCACCAUCAUAUCUGAUGAAGAAAAGGAUCAAGUACGUAAGCUUGGGGCGGGAAAGCUACUGUUUCUAUUACUGUCAAUGCCAUAGAGAGUGGGGCCGUACAUUGCUUUAUACUAGAUGAGAUUGGUGUAGUCUACCGGAUGCUAUUGAUGCCCCUAGCACUGUCCUACCAAUUAUCAAAUACCCCCGCCAUCCCAAAUUACUAUUUAUUUUGACUUUUCUAGGUACAUAACUUUUGCUACGUAUCUAAACAUAACAUAUAUCUAGGUGCAUAGCAAAAUCUAUGUAUCUAAAAAAGUCAAAACGAAUACUAAUUUGGAACUAGGUGCAUAGCAAAAUCUAUGUAUCUAGAAAAACUAAAAUAAAUAGUAAUUUUGGAUGGAGGGAGUACCUUAUUCAUGCAGUUAGGCCCUUCCAAUAGGAAUUCAUUUUCUAACUGACGUCAUGCUUUGAUGAGAGUCAUCUGAGAUCCUUUAGAUGACUAAUGUUUGUUGGAGGUUGUUGGCGCUAGAAAUCGGCUGAUCGAAUCUCCAGCGUCGGACAUACGACCCGAGAGAAUCUGCUUAGCUCCUGUUCGGGUGAUCGCCCUGGUGCGGUUCGCGCGGCGUGCCAGCCAAUCUGACCUGUUGAUUGGCAAGGAGAGAAACGUGUCAAAUCCCAGAGGUUGCGAUCGGCUAAGGUUCCGAUCUCGAGGAAGCUUAUCAGCGAAUCGGCCGAUUUGCUGUAAUAAGAAAAUCGGCUACAAUGUGACCGAUUACCAGGCAACGUUGAUAAAGAAAACCACUGAAGUAACCUAAACAACGCUACAGUAGCAACACUAGGAACAGAUCUAAUCGACUAUGCGUAAAAAUAAAUAGAUUAAAUGACGAAGUACAAGAAAAGCCGAAAUUGCCGAUUCCUAGCUGGAUAACUGGUGAUAAAACCAGAACGACAGGUAAAACCUAGAAUUCUAGUAAAUAUCGAUAAUUGGUGAAUAAAUCUAAACGAAACGACAGCGAUGCGCCCGAAGUUAAAGCUUAGAAUUUACUCGAUAAGCGGAACUUACAAGAUCGGCCGGAGGUCAAGUUGAUGCAGCCCCGCCAACCCGUACGAACUCGUGAAAAAGGAGAAAAGUAUUGGCGAAGUCGCCGGCUUGAAAGUAAGUAUGAGGAAAUAGUAGUUUGUUGUAUUGAGUUGAUGAUGAUUACAGAUCUACAAGGGUGGCUAUUUAUAGCCUGUUACAAACGACUUCUUAUCCGAUUAGAACUCUACCCCUAAAUUUAAACAGAAAACGAAUAUUUACAAGUACGAUUCGUACUAGGUCGAUUAUCGCGCUCUUCAUGGGCUGAUUCCCUCUUCAUCUUCAUAAUCCUCUUUAGGCCCACACCGGCCCAAUUGUUCCAGCCUCCUAAUCUGCCGAUUUCUAUUCACCUCAUCGGCAAGGGAUAGCCGAUUAGGACCCACAUGUCGGGGGCUCUGACUACUUCGACCCUGGGACCUAAGGUCGGGUGAGGCGGAGAUCCUCCCUCGGAGGGUCGGGCGCAUCCGAUCCUAGGCCUCAGGGGUUGGGCGAGGCGGAAAUCCUCCCUCGGAGGGUCGGGCGCAUCCGAUCCCAGGCCUCAGGGGUCGGGCGAGGCGGAAGUCCAAAGGUCAAUCGGCCGAUCCAUGACUGUAGCACCAAUCGGCCGAUUCCCAACCGCCACCCCUGUGUCUCGCCGCUCCUUCUGAUUUCUUCCUUCCCUGACGCCGAUUACACACGUGUCAAAAUCUGGCGUCAACACAUGCCCCCCAGUUUCGGAGUAAAACAUAGUCUUUACUUCGAAAUUCUUUUCAACUUCCCUUCCGAAACGAACGCAUUGAAAAUAUCCUUCCGUUUCGCGGUCUCCAGCCUGAUGAUUGCAAUUUUUUCGAAACGGGCGCCCACGACAACCACUCCUCCCGAAAAAAUCGAAACGUCGGCGCGGUAAAAAUUCCACUUUUACCCCUUCUCAGACCACCUUUAAAUAUCAGCACGUCCCGUACUUCCCGUACGAGCUCACGUCUUCCUUCUUUAGCGCACAGGUCUUCUUCUUCCUCCGGCGCCUUCCUUAGUCCUCCAGUUUUCUCCGGUGUCUCCUUCCAUCCACAUUCCUCCCUACUUCUCCAAUGGCGGCACCUUCAGGCACUUCACCAACGCCCGAAGCUCCGGAGAUGGCGCCUCCGGCGGAGGUUCCAGCAGCAACGGCGGUGGCUCUAUCGACGGGAGAAGGAACUCCGUCAGUGGAAGUUGGGGCUUCAACCGAAAUCCCACUGGCGGCUUCAUCAUCUGCAGCUCCACCGGCGAUCCCGCCGAUUACGAUGAGCUUCAUCCCGGAGGUCAUUACCAAAACUUUCCUUAACAGUAAUGCAUUUACUUUAGAUCUAUUCUUACUCCUGCACCCCCUUUUUCCUUUUUUAGGCGGUUAGGCAUCACAUUACCAUUCGCCUCACAGAAACUCCCGGUCUUAUCUGCCUUGGUCCCAUGGGAAACCCAGAUCCAACCGACCUAAUCAAUUUGGAAACCCAUAGGAUCCCUUUUAAGCAAUCAACUAUGGACCUAGAUCAUUGGUCGGGUACCUUCAGGUCAUGGCCGAAUGAAACCCCCGACUGGAGGGAAUGGUACCAGUGGAUAGCCGCCUCUAAGAGGGUCCAAUGGGAUGAGCGCAAAAUCGGCCAAUGCAUCGAUCUAUCUUUGUCCCAAAUGGAAAGGAACGAGCCAUUAGUGAUGGCAGCCUCUUACUUCUGGUCUGAUGCUCUCAAUGCAUUCCUUUUUGGACACGGACCCAUGACCCCCACCUUGGCCGAUGUAGUCUUGCUGACCGGCCUGGACAUUUCCUCCCCGGACACCCCUUUUCGCCUUUUGGCCACGACAUCUCUUCGGCUGGACACAAGGGGAAUCGGCGGAUGGAAGGGGUUCAUUAGAUGCAACAAAAGGGCCGGAUCAGUCAAGAACAGAGAACACACGGCCUUCCUGAUGAUGUGGCUAGAGAAACAUUUCUUCUGUGGGAGAACAGCUGGUCCGUCCGCCAACACUCAAGCUCUGGCCGAGGCAUUAUCGACAGGGGCCUCUGUUCCCCUUGGAAAGCACCUACUGGGGGCAGCCUAUCACAUGCUUCACCAAAUCGGCAUUAAAUUAUCCAAAGGGGAACCGAUUGGAAAUCCUGGUGGGCCCUGGUGGUUUAUCAACUUAUGGCUUAACCUGUACAUGAGCAAGAUUUCCCAGCAGCGAGUGGAGCACAUGACAUUCCCCAACAUUGAAUCGGCAGAGAACCCCACUGUCCGACGCCGAUGUACAUCUUUCGGCGAAGCGGCAUCGGCCUUUUCUGGUUGCUCGUAUUCUGCUACCAAGGUGGUCGAAUACUUCAGGUGUUUUUAUAAUGGCUUUAGUGAAGACGCAACCAGCUGGUUCCCUUAUCAGAGGGAUGACCCAAUCUUUGAGCUCCCUUCUUGCUUUGACUCGACUACUGGCCGAUUCGAUGAAGACCUCACAGACGAAUUAAUUAAACCGGGAAUCUUACCGGCUAACUUCUUCUCGGGGAAGGAUGCUCCUACUUAUGAGUUCUACAACCCCUCCGUUGCAGCACGGCAAUUCGGCAUGGGUCAAUUGCCGAUUCAGGCAUACUUCACCCGCCGAGCAAAGUUUAGAGAUGAACUCACCAAAGGUCUUGACUAUAAUCGGCUGCGAGAUCGGAUCCCAGACUCCAGUACCAUAGACCUGAAUGAAUGGGUAGUAGCCCCUUUCGCUGUUCAACCAUUCAAACUAUGGUGGGCUGAAUGGAAACAAUACCUGUUUUGCAUUUCUGCAUCGACAUACUACAACCUCCUGGAUCUAGCCAACAUCGAUCCGAAUGCCGAGGUAUUCUUCUCUUCCCUAGCCGAUUUUUAUUUCCUCUUAAUGUUGUUAAACAUAUAUACUAACUCUUGCUGUUGACUCAGUCUGAAAACCGCGUUCCCCCAAAACGCAGCCGGAGUGGCCGGCCGAUAGAGGACCGUUAUCCAUAUACCACCUUCCCCCUUAUCGGCUAUCAUGCCCCUUCCGUGGACGUUAUUGCCGGUCGAGCGAAACAGGCGCAGAAGAAGGUUGUCAAGAAGACCAGUUGCCGAGUACGCGCUCGUAUAGAAUCGGCCGAUCCUCCUAUGAUUACAUCGGCAGAAACUUCGGCCGCGCCGCCCCUUCCGACUGCUGAAGAAGUAGACAUUCAAGUUGCCACGGAAGUCGGAGCAGCCGCUGCAUCAUUACUGGUGGAAGCUGUGCAGGUAAACUUGUUUUCCGAUCUUCCCAAUCGCUAUCUUUAUACUGACUUCUUUUAUAUUAGACUACACAGAUUACCCUUGUGGACCCCCAGCAAUCGGCAGUAGUCCAAGUGAUCGAUAAAACGCCAGCGCUUCCUACUGUCAAGGUAUACCAUCCUUCAACCCGUUCUUCUAAUAUUUGGGUGAUGCUCUUAUUAAAUUUGACACAGGUCACCGGCGCGCUAAGCGUCUCGCCUAAUCAACCAUCGGUCAUCCUUCAAGAAGCUGGCCCGAGCAGAGCGCCGAUUGUUGUUGAGUCUUCUUCUUCCGAUGAGCCAAUGGCUCCAGUCCCAGAGUCGAGGGUGACGGUCUCGCAAACGCAGCUGGAAGAAAUCCGUUUUAAGGAGGUAAAAGAUCUCCCACCCUUAAUUGGCCGAUUUGUUACCACCAUCGGCUGACCUAUUUUUUUUUCUUUUUUCAUUUAUUAUUUUCUAGGAAUAAGACACCCCAAAUAACAGCCUUUUCUCAUUUGCGGUCACUCUCUCCGAUGACGAGGAAGUCGCCUCCCGUCAGGUCACUUUGAGCUCCGUUCCUGAUGACGUCCGUGCCAAGCUCGAAAACAUACGAUCCCUUCUUCAAGAAGACAUCGGCCGAUUGGUAGAAGAUGCUUCGCCGAUUCGGCAGCUCUUUGGUGACGUCAGCGGGCGAGUACCAGAAGAGGCGGAAGAAGCCUUGGCGCCGGCCGCUUAUAUUGAGUCAAUGCGGAUUCCGGUCUUCAGGGCUCUGCGUCACAUGGCCGAUCGCGCCAAACUGACAAGACUCGUGAAGAAGAAGAUCUGUACAAGCGUCAAGCUCAAGAGGUGCAUCAACAGAUUCACUUUCUGGAAGAUUCUUGCCCUGGAAUCGUCGGCACGAUAGAUCGCCUCAAACGCCGACAAGCAGAACUUGCUAAAGAGAUGGAGCGAGUGACCAAAGAAAUAGCCGCCGAAGAGAAGAGGCUUCAGGAACUUCCUUCCGUCAUCGCCGAUCUGAAGCGAGAGAGGCAGCAUCUGGCUCACGAAGCUCUUAAACUCCACCACCACAUGUCAGAAGUCCCAGGAUCGGCGGAGGAUGACCAACGGAUCCUGGACUCGGCCGAUCAGAUCCGGCGUCGAGCGAUUGCGGCUAUCAACGCCCUUUCUAGGCGACCUGUAAAAGCACUGGUAGUCUUGUACGAACAUUAAUGCCUUCUUUGACCGUCCUUCGUGGCGCCCCCUUAUUUAUUUCCCUUUUUACUUCUGAUGGGAUGCAUCUUACCAAACGUCCACACCUUCUCCGCUUAUAAAUACCGGCCUCGGUCCCAUUUUCGAGCGCACCCGUUUAACUCGACUUUCUCUUCCCUGACUUGUUUCCGUCGGCGUGCUUUGCAGUCAUGUCUUUUUCAUCCUCUUCCUUUUCCUCAGUAAAUCAGGUAAGAGAUUUGCCAUCCCCCCUUUCUCAGUUUAAUUCUUCUGAAAAGAAUCACAUCUUUGGCGGCUAUACAUUGUUGCUUUUCCCAGCCGCGGCGCCUCAGUCCUGAACUCGAACGAGCCAUCGGGCUCGUGUACUCCGACGAACCAUUGUCACAAGAAGACAAGGAUCUAAUCAGGGCCCAUCAUGAAGAACUCAAGGAGCACGUUCCUACCGAUGUCCAACGGAUCUGGGACUUCCUUGAUGGCAACGACCAUAGGCGACCUCAGGCCGACAGGAGUCACACGCUUCCUCGUCAAAUCGCUCUUGAAGAUGCAGCGGCAGGAACAUCACGUCCGGCAAUGGACCGGAGUCACCCUCUUCCCCGUCAAGUUGAAGCGGAAGCCGCGAUGAAAGAUAUAGAAGAACGGCACAUCCGUCUUCUGAUAGAACUAGGUCGGGUUGAGAGAGAACUUAAGAAGAGGCGUGGUUAAUCAUUUUUUGUUCUAAGGGUGACUUGUACCGCGUCGGCCGUGUAACCCAUCGUCCAUACCGAAUAAUAUAUCGGCCGAUUUGGACGAUUAUGUUUUCUCUUUAGGCGAUUCUUUUGUAUCGGCUAUGUGUUUGUUCAUCAUGGUUGAUCCUCAUGCCCCGACCCAUAUACUAGGGUAGUACCUUUUCAAGUACCUUCCGUUCAAAGCCCUAGUAAACUCUUCUCCUUCGAUCGUUUCCAGAAUAUAAGCGUUUCCUGGAGCACAUCGGCCGAUUUUAUACGGCCCUUCCCACGUAGGGGACCACUUAUCGAAUUUAGGAUCUUUGGACCUGAUCGGCAGCACUAACUUCCAUACCAGGUCUCCCGGAGAGAACUGCUUGACUUUGACCUUCUUAUCAUACCAUCUGGCCACCUUCUUCUUGUUUUCUUCAAUACUGACCAAAGCUCUCAAUCGUUGGCCAGCCAAGUCAUCAAGUUCCCUUUUCAUGAGUGAGGAGUAGUCAUCGGCCACCAACUGGUCUUGGAGCGAAGUGCGUCUCGACCCUGUCCUCAAUUCCCAUGGCAGUACCGCCUCGUGACCGUACACCAACUGAUAAGGGGACAUCUUGGUGGCCCCGUGGCAAGCCAUCCUGUAUGCCCAUAGGGCUUCGGUCAAACAUAAAUGCCACUUUUUCGGCUGUUCUUCUAUCUUCCUCUUGAUUAACUUAAUUAUCCCUUUGUUGGAAGAUUCGGCCUGACCAUUAGCUUGCGCAUAGUACGGAGAGGAGUUUAACAAUUUGAUUCCCAUAUCGGCCGUGAACUCUUCGAAUUCUCCAGAUGUAAACAUCGUUCCUUGAUCGGUCGUGAUAGUCUGGGGAAUGCCAAAAUGGUAGACGAUAUGGUCCCUCACAAAGUCAACCAUAGCGGCCGAUGUUACGGCCUUUAGCGGAAUCGCCUCCACCCAUUUGGUGAAAUAGUCUGUGGCUACCAGAUUGAACUUGUGCCCUUUGCUUGACGGAGGAUAAAUUUGCCCGAUGAGGUCUAUUCCCCACCCUCUGAACGGCCAUGGUUUGAUAAUGGGAUUCAUGGCCGAUGCGGGCGCACGUUGGACAUUCCCGUAUUUCUGACAAUCCUGGCAUCCUUUAUAAUAUUUGAAGCAAUCUUCGAGGAUCGUCGACCAGUAGUACCCAUUAUUCCUAAUCAUCCAUUUCAUCUUAUGCGCCGACUGGUGGGCCCCACAUACUCCUUCGUGGAUUUCUCCCAUCAGAGUCUUCGCCUCCUCUGUUCCUAGACACUUGAGUAGGACACCAUCAAUUGUUUGGUAGAAAAAGUCGUCUUCUAGUAACACAUAUUUUUUAGCAUGAAAUCGUAUCCGCCGAUCCACUUUCUUGGAUGGAUCUUUCAGGUAAUCGGCGAUCUCUUUUCGCCAGUCAUCGGCCGCGAGUUCUAGAGCCAUGGCGCCUUGAAUCGGCCGAUACCCAGAUGCAUGUUGAGCGAGCUUGUUAGCAUCCUUGUUGUGAUUCCUAGGGAUGUGCUCGAUAACUACGGACUUCAAUUCUUUCAGAAGCUGCAGGCAAUCCUCGUAAUAAAUCCUUAACACAUCGUCCUUGCAUUCGGACCUCCCUGUUAAUUGGUCCACGAUAAGCAUGGAAUCCCCAAAAACUUCGACAGCAUCAGCCUUGACUUCCCUUAAUAACUGUAACCCCUUCAACACAGCUCGGUAUUCUGCUUGGUUGUUAGUGGCGGAUGCUUCUAUCGGCAGAGAGAAAUCAUAGCUUGCCCCCCGAGGCGAUAUGAGGACGAUGCUGAUUCCUGAUCCGGCCCCACAUGACAAUCCAUCAAAGUAUAAGGUCCAGGGUACUGGUUCCGCAAGGGUAGCCUCUGGUCCACAGUGCUGGGCAACGAAAUCGGCCAUGACGUGACCUUUGACGGCCUUUGCCGAUUCAUAUCGAAGAUCAAAUUCCGACAAAGCUAAGAUCCACUUUCCGAUUCGUCCUUUUAAAAUCGGCAAUGACAGCAUGUAUUUUACCACGUCGUCUUUGCAUACGACCACACACUCUGCCGAUAGCAAAUAGUGCCUGAGUUUGGUGCAUGAGAAGUAAAGGCAUAGGCACAACCGCUCUACUGGAGGAUAUCUUGUUUCGGCGUCCAGAAGUCUUCUACUGACAUAAUAAAUUACCCGUUCCUUUCCCUCGAACUCCUGGACCAGAGCCAACCCAAUGGCUCGUUCAUCGGCUGAUAAAUAUAGUUUAAACAGCUUAUUAUUUUGAGGUGGGACCAAUACUGGUGGUGAGACCAAGUACUGCUUGAUAUCUUCUAAUGCCUUGCGUUGCUCUUCUCCCCAUAUGAACUCCUGGUCGGGCUUCAACUUUAAUAAUGGUGUGAAGGCUUGGAUACGCCCAGACAAAUUAGAUAUGAAUCUUCUGAUGAAAUUCACCUUGCCGAUUAGAGAUUGCAACUCAGUUUUAUUCUGCGGGGCCACGACCUUAUUGAUGGCCGCUAUGGUCUUCCGGUUGAUUUCUAUUCCCCGCUCAUGAACCAUGAAUCCUAAGAAUUGUCCGGCGGAUACACCGAAGGCAUACUUAUUCGGGUUUAUCUUCAGCCCAUGUUUCUUCGUGCAUUCCAGUACCUGUCGCAAAUCGGCCAGGUGCUCCUGGUGUCCUUUUGAUUUGACUACGACGUCGUCGAUGUAAAUUUCUACCAGUAUGCCGAUAAGUUUGUGAAAUAUGUAAUUCAUGGCUCGCUGAUAUGUAGCGCCGACGUUCUUCAAACCGAAAGUCAUCACCACCCACUCGAAUAAACUAAGGUGACCCGGGCAUCUGAAGGCCGUUUUGGAUAUGUCCUCUUCGGCCAUUAGUAUCUGAUUGUACCCAGUGUUUCCAUCCAUGAAACUAAUAACCUUGUGUCCCGCGGCGGCGUCUAUCAGCACAUCGGCCGUCGGCAUGGGGUACCCGUCCAUUGGUGUGGCCUGAUUGAGGUUCCUGAAAUCGCCGCAUACGCGUAGCUUUCCGUUCUUCUUGUAUACUGGUACAAUGUUGGAGAUCAAUUCGGCAUAACGGCAUUGCCGAAUAUAUUUUGCUUCGAUCAGCCGUGUUAUUUCAGCCUUUAUAUCUGGUAGGAUUUUAGGAUUACACCGCCAUGCAGGCUGUUGAUACGGCCGAUACCCCGGCUUUAUGGGUAACCGAUGUUCGACAAUAGAUCGGUCUAAUCCGGACAUCUCAUGGUAUUCCCAAGCAAAGCAAUCCUUAAAUUCCCUUAAUAAAUUUGUCAAUUUACAUUUGUAUUCCGGAUCCAAAUUUGCACUAAUAUAUGUCGGCCUUGGUUUGGUGCCAUCACCUAAGUCUAUCAUUUCUAAUGAAUCGGCCGACGUGAACCCGUGUCCCAGCUUCCCAUCUUCUCGGGCGAACUGAUCCAUUUAGUCCGAGUCUUCGGAGCCGACUGCUCAGAUCGGCUGCAGGCUAAAAUCGGACACCUUCAAGAAAUCAGUGUCCCAUAUUCUCCCGGAUAUGCACUUGACGUUCUCGCAGCUCCACUGCUGCGUGUCGGCUGCCGCGACGCUGUAUGCGGAAUCGGCGAUGACCACCUCGAUAUUGUCGCCGACCCAUUGCACGAGGCAUUGGUGCAUCGUAGACGGGAUGCAGCAAUUUGCAUGUAUCCAGUCUCGGCCGAGUAGCAUGUUGUAGGACCCUUUGCCAUUAAUGAUAAAGAAAGUAGUAGGAAGGGUCUUACUGCCGAUGGUGAGGUCGACGCAGAGCGCGCCACGAGCGGGGGAUACGUUGCCUUCGAAGUCCUUGAGCAUCAUAUCUGUCCUGGUCAGGUCGUCAUCGCUCUUCCCUAGCUUCCGGAACAUGGCGUACGGCAUGAUGUUAACUGCACCUCCUCCGUCUACCAGUAAUCUGGUGAUGGGUCGGCCGUUGACAUGCCCUUUAAGGAACAACGCCUUCAGGUGUUGUCGUUUGUCAUCUUCGGGCUUCUCGAACGUGGCUGUCAUUGGUUCCAAAGCCAAUUGUGCCAUCUGCUCUUCUAUUGCCGACAUGUUCUGUCGGUCGGCAGGAGUCAUGAACUCCAUCGGCAGUAUGAAAACCGUGCCGAUGUCGGCUGCCGAUUCGUCGUCUCCCCUGUCGCUUCUUUUGGGGCGCCAGAUCUGAGACCUGCUGUUUUUCUCAUCCGUCGUAUGCCGUUGUUCUUCUUCCUGCUGUUCCCACUGGUGGAGACAUUGGAUUCUUCUUUUUUGGGACUUGGUCAAUCCAUCAGGGCACCACCUGGGGUUCACUGGUUUGGUCUGUGGCCUGGCGCGUUCCCAUUCUGGUUCGCGUCCUAAAGGAUUCUCGUCUGAUACCCGAGCAUCGGCCAUCUCUUCAAGUCGAUUGUGGACGCUAACCUUGUUUUCUGGCCGGUCAUGUCGAUCAAAUCUGCCCCCCGGCCUAUCGUUCCGCUCGCGCCUGCCUUCCGACCGGUCGUAUCGGUCACUUCUGCCCCCCAGCCGAUCAUGUACUGGAGGGCGCCGGCCCUCUUGGUCGCGCCAGUUCCUGCUGAUCGGCUCUGGUCUUCCAUCUCUGGAGCGAGACCUUCUGAAUGGCCGAUUGUCACGAUACGGGCCGUUACACUCAGGGCAAUUAUCGGCUGAUGGCAACCUGAGGUUGCUUUCCCAACAGUGGAUGAAGAACGGACAUCGCCAGUGAUCUUCAUGUCGCCGCAUCGCCUCUUCCCGGGAUCUUGAGCGUUCAUGUUGCCGUUGAUAUUUAUUGAGCAGAAAUUGGGAAGUAAUAGGCUUGCGUGGUUCUCCCAAUCCAUCGUCAUCAUCCUCCAUCCGCCGUUUUCCCUUGACGUCUUCGGGUGUUGCUUGAUUUCUGGGGUCCAUGGCGCCGCUUUGCUUAGCCGAUUCGGAAGUUAGUACCUUGGUUUGGAGCGAAUUUCUCCCCGUAUCAACCAUGUUGGUGGGGAAGGGGUGCUGGUCGAUCUUCAUCGGCUUGGCCGGUUUCGUUGGAACUUCAAAUUUGAGUCUGCCUUGCUCGAUGGCCGACUGUAUCUGCUGCCAGAAGAUUUUGCAUUCGUUUGUAUCAUGGGAGGUGGCGUUAUGCCACUUGCAAUAUUUCAUCUUCUUCAGCUGUUCGGCAGACGGAAUCGUAUGGUACGGCGAGAGCUUGAUCUGUCCUUCCUGGAGGAGGAGGUCGAAGAUUUUAUCGGCCUUUGAUGUGUCGAAUCCGAAUGUUUCCGGCUCCUUCUUUCCGAACGGACACGAUAUCGGCUUCUUCCCUUUAACCCAUUCCGCAAGGCCGAUCUUUGUGUCUUCUUCGGUUUCAACCUCUUCUAAGUAUGCCACCUUCUUCUGGAAGUUCCUCCGUGGAUCGAAAGGGCGUACUUCUUGACCAGACAAUCGGUGGACGAUUUGGCUUAAGCUCUCAAACUCCUGCGAGGCGUAUUUUUGUUUGAUAUGAGGUAGGAGACCCUGGAAGGCUAUAUCGGCCAAUUGUGCAUCGGUCAGGGCCAGGGAGUAGCACUUAUUCCUGAUCUCCCUAAACCUCUGCACAUAUGAGGAUAUCGGCUCGUCGCUUCUCUGCCUGAGGCUGGUUAAAUCGGACAGCUUCAUUUCAUGUAUCCCGGCGUAGAAGUAUUUGUGAAACUGCCUUUCCAGAUCAGCCCACGUAAUUAUCGAGUUGGGCGGUAAUGUAGUGAACCACUGAAAGGCUGACCCAGAUAGGGAUGACGAGAAAAGACGCACCCGUAGGGCAUCCUGCGCUGCUGCUUCCCCGCAUUGAAUGAUGAAUCUGUUCACGUGUUCCACAAUUGAGGUGUCGUCCAGUCCCGAAAACUUAGUGAAAUCGGGAACUUUUUACCGAUGGGGAAACGGCAGCGAGUCGUAUGUAGGCGGGUAAGGCGUCUUGUAUGUGUAGGUCUGCACCUUCGGUUUUAAGCCGAAUUGCUCUUGAAUCAUCUCUGCUAUGCGCGCCGUCCAGUCUGGCUGUUGCUGGUGGACUAUCGGCUGGGGAACUGGUACGUGCUGGUACACUGGCGGUGGGAUGACUUGGUGAUGAGUGAAAGCGUGCAGCGUCUGAUGUGUCAUAGCCGGCUGCGUAGUCAGGGUCGGCUGUCUCAAUGAGCCGCCCGCUUCGUCAUACAGCACGAGCGGCGCAACGCCCCGAAGUACUUCUGUUGUUUCUGCCGCCCUGCUCAUCUCCGGUGUGACAGGCUGAUAUUGUGGCAUGGUUGGCCUAACGGCCGCCUGGAAAGAUGCCUGGAGUUGAGGACUUCCAUGGCUGGCCGGUUGAUCCUGGGCGGCCGUCACUGAUGGUGCCCCCCAAGGCGCUGAAUUCAAAGGAGGAAACUGCGCGGAGGACAACUGAAUAGGACGCGGCUGGAGAUAUUGCGCGCCAUUAGACCCCAUAGGGAUCAAUGAUGAGGAAGCGCCAGGACCUCCAACUGGAAUUUGGGUCGGCUGAGAAGCCGAAUAAGGUGCAUUUGAAUAACUCCUGUUCGGAGCCAUAAUUGGUGGAGCAUAUGCCGACCCCUGGUACCCUUGAGAUAUGCCGCUAGCCAAGGAGCUGAUGAUGGCAUUAUACACCGUAUUAGAAAUCACCGGGGAUUGAUCAAUGAAAGCUUGAUAGACAGAUUGUUGAACCAUCUCAGACAUCUUGUCUGAGUCCUCGAUGAUUGUGAUCUGGCGGGGAGUUGGAAACGGAGUCUUUUUGACAGUUUCUCCGCUCCUGGUGCGACUGAAGGAUUGCAGACAUGUCUUCCGGUAGUAUGCCAUCUGCUUCUCCAAUUCUUCCCUCUGGUCGUCCCUGAGGUCUGCUUCUGUCACUUCGAUGACGUUAUCUUCCGAGACUUUGGCAGCUUUCGACAUAGUGGCGGUUGUAUUGGUCCCACCGGGCGUGCCAAAAGUGUGUUAGCGCUAGAAAUCGGCUGAUCGAAUCUCCAGCGUUGGACACACGACCCGGGAGAAUCUGCUUAGCUCCUGUUCGGGUGAUCGCCCUGGUGCGGUUCGCGCGGCGUGCCAGCCAAUCUGACCUGUUGAUUGGCAAGGAGAGAAACAUGUCAAAUCCUAGAGGUUGCGAUCGGCUAAGGUUCCGAUCUUGAGGAAGCUUAUCAGCGAAUCGGCCGAUUUGCUGUAAUAAGAAAAUCGGCUACAAUGUGACCGAUUACCAGGCAACGUUGAUAAAGAAAACCACUGAAGUAACCUAAACAACGCUACAGUAGCAACACUAGGAACAGAUCUAAUCGGCUAUGCAUAAAAAUAAAUAGAUUAAAUGAUGAAGUACAAGAAAAGCCGAAAUUGCCGAUUCCUAGCUGGAUAACUGGUGAUAAAACCAGAACGACAGGUAAAACCUAGAAUUCUAGUAAAUAUCGAUAACUGGUGAAUAAAUCUAAACGAAACGACAGCGAUGCGCCCGAAGUUAAAGCUUAGAAUUUACUCGAUAAGCGGAACUUACAAGAUCGGCUGGAGGUCAAGUUGAUGCAGCCCCGCCAACCCGUACGAACUCGUGAAAAAGGAGAAAAGUAUUGGCGAAGUCGUCGGCUUGAAAGUAAGUACGAGGAAAUAGUAGUUUGUUGUAUUGAGUUGAUGAUGAUUACAGAUCUACAAGGGUGGCUAUUUAUAGCCUGUUACAAACGACUUCUUAUCCGAUUAGAACUCUAUCCCUAAAUUUAAACAAAAAACGAAUAUUUACAAGUACGAUUCGUACUAGGUCGAUUAUCGCGCACUUCAUGGGCUGAUUCCCUCUUCAUCUUCGUAAUCCUCUUUAGGCCCACACCGGCCCAAUUGUUCCAGCCUCCUAAUUGGCCAAUUUCUAUUCACCUCAUCGGCAAGGGACAGCCGAUUAGGACCCACAUGUCGGGGGCUCUGACUACUCCGACCCUAGGACCUAAGGUCGGGUGAGGCGGAGAUCCUCCCUCGGAGGGUCGGGCGCAUCUGAUCCCAGGCCUCAAGGGUCGGGCGAGGCGGAAAUCCUCCCUCGGAGGGUCGGGCGCAUCCGAUCCCAGGCCUCAGGGGUCGGGUGAGGCGGAACUCCAAAGGUCAAUCGGCCGAUCCAUGACUGUAGCACCAAUCGGCCGAUUCCCAACCGCCACCCCUGUGUCUCGCCGCUCCUUCUGAUUUCUUCCUUCCCUGACGCCGAUUACAGACGUGUCAAAAUCUGGCGUCAACAGAGGUAUAUCUAUAUGAUAUUAUCAGUUUCAUAAGAUCUGCAGUAGCAACAAAAUGAGGAAGUUAUCAAAAAGUAGAGUUCUUUUCAAUUUCAUUUAUCUAUGUACUAAUUUAUUUCUAGGAAUAAGUCUACUUACACCCUAACCUAUCAAGGUUUGUUUACUUAACCUCCUCAACUAUAAAAACCAGGUAUUGUACCCUGAACUAUCCAAAACCAUCUAAAUAACCCUCUAGGCUGGUUUUGGAGGUGGUUUUGCAUAUUUGGCAUUACGCGUGGACAACGAUAUGGAAAAAACAUUUUUGGAAAUGUACUUUACCCCCGAAAACUAUUGAAGUUCAACUACAUAACUCCCUCAACUAUGUAGCGAGAUAUUUAACUUCCUAAAGUAUUUCAAUGCCAUCUAAAUUAUCACCUGUAAGAAUUUUUAUGUUUUUCCAUUGACGUGGAGUAUUAUAUCGAAGAUGGGCGCUAAUACCAUCUCUCUCGCUCACACACAAGCAUGCAUGUCCUCGUCUCUGCAUUAUUCUAACUUUGUGACAACUAAUUGACAUCAACUUCGCCUCCAUUUCGGGUUCUUAUUUUAUUAUCGCCAUGAGCUAAAAUAGUGAAAAGAUGACAAGCGGGACAUGCUUUUGUGUGCGUGUGUGUGUGUGCACAUGCAUAUGCGUGUGCACGCGUGUGUGUGGUGUGUGUGUGUGAGAGAGAUGGAGAGACGGAGAGAGCAAGAAGGAGGAGGAGAGGGAGGGAGGGACGGAGGGAGGGAGAGAGUCAGUGCGAAGUUAUAUCUUCCAUGUGCAAGGGAUGAUUUAAACGGUAUUGAAUACUUUGAGGGGCUAAAUAUACAGUUAUAUAGGUGACGUAGAUUUUUAAACGUGUCCUUGCCACCUCAUUGUUCACAUGUUGUGCCACGUUGGCAAAACCGUCUCCGAAACCACCCUAGGGGUUAUUUAGAUAGAUUUGAAUAGUUGAGGGGUAAAAUACCUAGUUUUAUAGGUGAGGGGGUUAAGUAGACCAACCUCAAUAGGUCAGGGUCAGGUAGACUUAUUCCUUUAUUUCUAUUCCUACGCAUUAGUGUUAGUUAGGGAUCCCGACUCUAUGAGUUCUUUCCUAUGGGAUGAAUUCCUUUUGGCACCAGUGCCCUCCAUCCUUUUCUUUCUGUGGACAAAGGCAAAAGGGCCUCAUGAAGAAGACAUCAUAUCAUAAGAGAAGCAUUGACAUGGUGGAUAUGCUUGAAAUAUGUUGUUAGGUCUUAAACAUGAUUAACCCGUGGGAUCACUAGCCUAAUCAACAAGAACACCUAAUUACAUAAUUAAACAAUUAAUUACUGUUUAAUUAAUCUUAGUCAAUACAUAUCAAGAUGCAUGUAGUGCUUGCUGGUGUUCCCCUAGCAGGCAUACGCCGGUGGUGGUGUAGAUCGUGUGCUGAUAGUCGUUGAUGAGGGCCUGCAAUGACGGGAUAGACUUAGUCUUCCCAUUACUUCAGUGCCUACGUGAUUGGGUUGUGACGGGGUGGCUUGCCUCGCGACUCCUUGACAGGAACCUCCCCACUGAUAGCACUGUGUCACAGGGACAAGCGCUACUACAAAAAAUGGUUUUCAUUGCCAGUUAAAACAACAUUUGUAGGAGCGGGUGCAUUAGCUGCUCCUACUUUUCACAGUUACAAAUAGCUGUUUGCAGGAGCGGAUAACUGUCCGCCCCCGUAAAGCUGUUUCCGAGGCAGGCCACGCCAUCAUCUACACCUAGAAACAUAUUUCCAAGGGUGGGAGAUGUCGUGACCCACCCUUGUGUGGUAGAACCACCCAAGUUAACCCAACUAAAGUGUACUCAACAUCACCUCAAAUGCGAAUAGACACUUUAAUCGGAUUAAAAUGGUAGUCUGUCGGGUUUCACCCGAUACAACCACGUGUUUCUGAUCAAAACAAGCAUACCAAGCUCGCACAAUGAUGAGUUCAGAGAUUACAACAAUCCAGAUAACAUGUUACAGGUUCCAAUUUAAGUUAUUACAACUCAAGAGUUCAAAUGCAUAAAGUAGUGCUCAGAGUUCGAAAGCAGCGGAAAAAUAAAUGAUAGAUCUAACGUUGAUACAAAAUACCAUGGUGAAGCCUGCCAUGAUAUCAAUCACCCCGAUCCUCACCGACUAAGGAUGGAAACCACUCAACCGUCUAACCCAAAGGAAGCUGGGAUGGCCAAGUCACACUGGCAACCAAGUCAUUCACAUCCAUAUUACCUGAAAAUAUAGCCACAAGCAAGGCUGAGUAUACUAAUACUCCACAAGAAUUACCCGUCAGGUGAUAUCUACUCCACCGACUCCUAGACAUGCAAGGCUUUUUGGCUGAGGGGUUUGUUUUAGCCAAAAGCUUCUAUAGUGGAUCCUUACUUUCAAGUUUUAGCAUUAGGUUCUAGUUGAUUAACCAUUCUAGGUAAGAACUUAUUCUAAACAAGAAUGGUGAACAAGCAAUUUAAUCAAGCAUUAGUAUUAAACAUCAUCCUUUGUUCCUCUUCUUACUCAGUGCAGAAAGGUGGUCAAGCAGUCCCAAACUGUGAGAAGCAGAUGAUUCAAAUCGAGUUUGUUAACCUUGCAAGGUGGACCUAAACACACGACAUAUGCGUACCCCCACGGUUCACACGUGUCAGCCAUUUCCAUCGAUCCCCAGGCACGUGGCUAGGGCCCACUUCCCUCAGAUACAAUGCCCCACGGUCCCGGACGACGUCGUACCGUGACUGCACUUGUACCCACAUGAUGCAUCUAAGGAACCUAGUUCUAAAGAGAGUGGGGAUAAAGUCCAUGCCUCGGUUCAAUUAGGUACUAGGCUUCCCGAUCCCAUACUCGGUAUGUGCUUAGUACUUUCAAAUACUUGACCACAACUUUAACACAUUUCGACCUUAGCAGCUUUCUUCUAGACAGACAGGGCAUCCACCAAUUCAAAACAUAAUACCAAGCCUCGCCCGUCAACCUUAUGAUUCCAACAUAAGUAAACAGGCAACUCUUACAGCUCGCGAGUGACAGGAAAUCACUCGACUUUUACCGUGUCCCUAUUUAGCAUAGCAACUACGCGACUUAUCCAGCUAGUAUUCAGAACAUAGGUACUUAGGAGUAUACAACUACGGUUUCAAGCAACUCCUAUGAACUUAAUGCACAAACAUAAGUAACAAAAGUAUUGCUUAAUUUUAGAAACCAAGGUUAUGCUCCGAGGCUUGCCUUCUUGUACUACGCUAGUCUGAGGUGCUUCCGAAACUUGGCUUGGGUCUUGUGUGGCCUCAAUCAGGUUCACCGUAGCAGCUGAGGGUUCCUCUUCAGCUUCCGGAAUCAGCUUGUUGGUACCGUCCGCGAGAUUAGCUUCUACACGAGAUGCAUAUGCAUAAGAUUUCCAUUACGAGUUUUCAUGGUGUAGGUUGUAUUUCGUUAAACAUUGCAGAAGCAUAGGUUGCAUUUCAACUACAUUCGCCUAGACAAGAAUUUAAACUUUUAUUUUUUUUUUGCCACAUUCACCUAGACAAGAUUUUAACAAAUCUUUUCUUCGUAAACUAAGGUGGGUUGUGAUUAAAACUUGGGGUUGAUUUUGAUGGUGAUUGUGUACACAUAUUAGAUUUUAACAACUUAGAAUUCAUAAAAGAAAGGUAGGGUGUCAUGCUGGUAAUGUCUAGCAACCAUUUCAAAAGUUAUCCUGUUUUUGAAUUUAAACAUUUGCUAGUUUACCAUUUCUAGUUGCCAUUGUUAUUAUUAAUUAAACUAGCUUUUAAAUAUGAAUAAUUAUUUCUGGAAGCGUCUGUUAAGAUAUGAUCAUGAAAUUUUUAUAGAAGCUUCCCCUCGACACAAGUGAUCUACUGUAAAAAGAUGAGAUGCAUUUAACUUCUACAUAAUUUACUAAAAAUCAAAAAGUGUAAAUUUGCAGAAUAUGAAGAUUGAUUUUUAACUAAAGUUUCAUCAAUAGUCUGGCUCCAGAAAUUUUACAUAAGGGUUACCAAUACUAACAGAGGCUACUGUAAAUUUUCAAGGUUUUAUGAGGAUGAAAACUAUUUAUUACAUAAUAAGGAUAUUAAACAAUCAUGUAUUUCCUUAAGUAAGGUAAAACAUAUAUUUUGCAGAAGCAAGUAUUUUUACUAGUCAGACAUGCACAUCAGGAUCUAAAAAAAUUUAUCGUGCAUUUUUAUCUAAUUUUCACUAUUUAUCAUGUAAAUAACAAGAUUAAAGUAGCUUUUAAGCAUUUGAAAUUAAAACAGUAGGAACAUCAUCUAUUCCAGUAGCACAAAUUAAAGAUCCUGAACAUGCAUGUCAAAAGUAAGCUAACAAAAAUGGGUUCAUAUUUUUCAGAGCAUUCUAUGAUUUAUCAAGCAUUUAUUGGCUUUUAUAUUAAAUAAAUUCUAGUGCUCAAUACAUAAUAGUAACAUGCAUAUGAAUAUUUUUAAAUUAAACUAGACAUCACUGGGAACCUAGCAAAACUAGCUUCACAUUUUUCCCAUUUUUCUACAUGUUUCUACGCAUUUUCCAAGUUUCAACCGUUUAAAUGGACUUUAAUUCAAAUUUGAGUUGUGCGUUUUACAGAUCGACCCUUGAAACUUUUAAACAUUCAAAACGAGGUCCUUACACUUUACAGCUUAGACCCAAGAAAUAUUUGGGGCUUUGCAAUGUAGCCCUCGGGCUCGGCCGGCGGCGCUCCGGCUAAAUCCAGCAAGCUCCAGCGAUGGGGGCGCAAGGUGAAGGCUCGGGCAUGACAAGGGGCUCACUGGGGGUCGUCGGGCUGUGGGGGUCGAAGGCGGAGGAGGGCUGGUGCGCGCUCCGCGGUGGAGCUUCGGGUGCGGUGGGGGCUCGUCGUCUCUAGCGACGGUGGCGGCGAAGAAGGCUGGGGGAGUGCUCGGGGAGGUGUUGCUGGGUGUAGGUGAUGCUCUGGAGGGUUCAGGGAGCUCUGGCGGAGCUCGGGAGUAGGAGUUCGACGGUGAGGGGGCAACAGCGUGCACGACGAAAGGGAGGAGGAGUGGCGGGGGCGCCGGCAAGCUCGGGAGGGGGCUUUUUAUAGCGGCAAAGAGGUGUGGGCGCGCUGGCGAGCUCAGGAUAAGCUCAGUGCGCGAUUGGGUGAGCGAGAGGUGGCCAGGUAGUGGCGCAGGCGGAGCAGCGCCGGGGGUUGACCACCGAUGGCGUGCGGGCCACGUGCGCGCGUGGGCGACGUUCUGAUGUUGGCCGGCGGGGAUUUGGCGUGGAGAGGGGGUGAUAGCGUGGCCGGGGACUUGGCGAAGGCCGGCUCGUCCCGUCUUGUCGCUGGUGAGGGUUGGCCAGGCGGCGCGGGCCAGCCGGGCGGUGUGACAUGGCGACAUGCGAUACGCCAUGCGCGAUCACCGCAAUCCCGGUUCACGUGGGCAUAGCGUGUGGUGCGCGAGGGCAGCUGGUUUCGAGGUGAGUUUUCUCCAAAAAUUCAAACUAAACUUUGAAAUUUCCAAAUACAAAAAUUGGAGUUUGAACCUCAGGCUACAACUUCUACAAAAGCAGUGAUGUGAAAUUCAUUCUGGAUUAGGAGAUGAAGUCAUGCAAACUUUGGUAGAACGUGGGCUAGGUUAAAUUUGAAUUUUCCCCAAAAUUUGACCAAACUUUCAUCCAAUUUUUGAGUGCCUUCCACUCAAAAUCAUAGGAUGUGCAAAUUAUGAAAGUUGCUUGGUUUGAAAAUUUCUACAACUUUUAUAUUGGCCAAAAUUUGAGUUCUUAUAUAAAAUUAUGUUUUUAAAUCCUACCCCAUUAAGUGCCUUUUAGGGGUUUUUUUCAACACUUAGGGGAAUUUGAAAACUUUUUGAGUUUGACACUUGGCAUGUUUGAUUUAUUCCUAAUUUCCUUCUUAAUUUCUCUUGUUUUAUCCUUUUAACACUAGGGAUGUCAUAUCCUAAUCCCCUUAAAGAGAAUCUCGUCCCGAGAUUCGGGUGAUGAAAACUAGUGUGGCUAUGCGUGUACCUUUUUGGUCGAAUAGAAAACCGUGAAAAUUUUUAUUGAGAUACUCUUCAGUCUCCCACGUUGCCUCUUCUUCAGUAUGAUGGCUUCAUUGGAUUUUGAACAUUCUCACCACUUGUCUCCAUGUUCUCCUUUCCUUACAGUCAAGUAUCUUAAUGGGAAAUUCCACAUAGGAAAGGUCCGGUUCUACCCAUACUUCUUCUUAUUUGAUAAUCUCAGUUGGGACUCGAACACAUUUCUUGAGUUGAGAUACGUGGAAGAUAUCAUGGAUAGCGCAAAAUCUAGGUGGAAGUUUCACUCGAUAGGCAAUGGGUCCACAUGUUUCCGUGGUUUCAUAGGGACCAAUAUAUCGAGGAGCUAGUUUUCCCUUUACUCCGAACCUUUGCACACCCUUGGUUGGUGAAACCCGAAGGUAUACAUGGUCACCAACUUUUAAUUGCAAUGGUUUCCUCCUCUUGUCGAAAUAGCUCUUUUGCCUAGAUUGGGGGGCCUUAAGGUUUUCUUGUAUUAUCCUCACUUUCUCUUCCGCCUCGAUUACUAAAUUUGGUCCAUAUACAUUCUGUUCUCCAGCUUGGGACCAACUCAACAUAGUUCGACACUUGCGACCAUACAAGGCCUCAAAUGGUGCCAUCUUCAAACUAGCUUGAUAGCUAUUGUUAUAAGAAAACUCUGCUAGAGGCAAGCAUUUGUCCCAGUUUUUAUCAUAAUGAAUGAUGCAAGAUUGAAGCAUAUCUUCAAGGAUUUGAUUUACCCUCUCAAUUUGUCCAUCCGUCUAAGGGUGAUAAGUUGAGCUGCGGAUUAGUUUAGUGCCAAGAGAAGUUUGCAACUGUUCCCAAAAGCGUGCCACAAACUGAGUACCUUGAUCUGAGAUGAUCAUUUUGGGCACUCCAUGUAGGCAAACAAUGCGGUCAAGAUACAGUUCGGCAUAUCUCUUGGUUGUGUAGGUUGUUUGAACCAGAAUAAAAUGUGUGGUUUUGGUCCGUCUAUCAACUAUAACCCAUAUGGAAUCAUGCUUCUGAGAGGUGUAGGGCAGACCAACAAUGAAAUCCAUACUUAUGUCCUCCCAUUUCCAUGAUGGUAUAGGUAAUGGUUGAAGAGUACUGGCUACCUUUAAGUGUCUUCCUUUUACCCUUUGGCAAGUGUCGCAUUCCAACACAUAUUUAGCAAUCUCCGGUUUCAUCCCAGUCCACAAAAAAUUUUGCCAGAGGGUCUUGGUACAUUUUGGUGCUACCUGGGUGAACAGAGAAGUUGGAGAGGUGUGCCUCAUCUAGGAUUUGCUUUCGGAGAUCAUGACUGGCUGGAACCACUAAUCGGUCCUGGUACCAUACAACUCCUUACUAGUCUCGACGAAAACUUUUACUUGAUAAGCUUUAUCUCUUCAUCCUCUAGUUGCGCCAUAAUGAUUGGAUCGUGCAGGGUGGGUUUGAUAGAAAUGUGGCUCAGUGUGCCUUGAGGAAUGAUUCCCAAAUUAAGCUUCCACAUCUCAUGACACAAGGUUUCUGUGUAGUUUUCUACGGAAAGGCAAUUGCAAUGAGCCUUGCGGCUUAAUGCAUCUGCAACCACAUUUGCUUUUCCAGGUUGAUAAUGCACCUCUAGAUCAUAAUCCUUAAUCAAUUUCAACCAUCUUCUUUGACGCAUAUUCAGAUCGGCUUGAGUGAAGAUGUACUUGAGACUUUUAUGAUCGGUGUAGAUAUUGCAAUGAGCACCCAUCAAAUAAUGUCUCCAGAUCUUCAGAACAUGAAUCACCACUGCUAUCUCCAAGUCAUGUGUCAGGUAAUUCUGCUCAUGAGGUCAUAGUGCACAUGAAGCAUAAGCAAUGAUUUGAUUGUCUUGCAGAAGAACACAUCCGAGACAAGUGCUAGAGGCAUCACAGUAAAUGUCAAAGGGCUUGGUGUUAUCUAGUUGGGCUAAGACUGGUGCUGAGGUCAAUAGUUUUCGUAAAGUGUGGAAAGUUUUUUCACACUUUUCACUCCAUACAAACUUGACCCCUUUCUUUAACAACUUGGUCAUUAGCUUGGCUAUCUUUGAGAAGUCUGGAAUGAAACGCUGGUAAUAGCUUGCUAGACCAAGAAAACUCUAGAUCUGAUGAAUGGAAGUGGGUGGCUUACAGUCCAUCACCUCUUGCACUUUGCUUGGGUCAACUACUAUGCCUUCACUGGAUAUGGUGUGUUCCAAGAAUUUCACACUAUCCAGCCAGAAUUCGCACUUGGAGAAUUUGGCAUAAAGCUGAUGAUCUCUAAGGCGUUGAAGAACAAUGUGAAGGUGUUGAGCAUGCUCUUCUUCAUUCUUGGAAUAUAUGAGUAUGUCAUCAAUGAAGACGAUGACAAACUUGUCAAGCUUGGGCAUAAACACCCAUAAGAUACAUGAAAUAGGCUGGAGCAUUUGUGAGCCCGAAAGACAUGACCAAGUACUCAUAUAAUCCAUACCGAGUAGAGAAGGCGGUCUUAGGGAUGUCACUUGGCCAGAUUUUAAUUUGAUGAUAGCCGGAGCAGAGAUCAAUCUUGGAGAAUACUCUAGCUCCGACGAGUUGAUCAAAAAGAACAUCAAUACGGGGCAAUGGAUACUUAUUCUUGAUAGUCACCGUAUUGAGAGGUCGGUAGUCUACGCACAUCCUUAGACUAUCAUCCUUCUUCUACACAAAGAGAGCUGGGCAGCCCCAAGGUGAUGUGCUUGGGCGAAUGAAACCCUUAUCUAAUAGCUCUUGAAGCUGGGUUUUCAUCUCUGCCAACUCCACAGGCGGCAUUCAAUAAGGUCUCCUGGAUAUCAGUGCCAUGGCUGGUUGUAGCUCAAUGGAAAAUUCAAUGUCCCUAUCUAGUGGCAUCCCUAGCAAGUCAUUCAGAAAAACAUCGGCAUACUCACAUACCACGGGAAUAUCCUCCAGUCGGGACUCUAUUGCCGGAUAAGCGCACGAAUUUAUGCACUCUAGGGCUGCCAGGUGAAGUGUGGAAGAUCCAUGGGUAGGUGAAUUUAUUUGGACGGCCCGUGCUGCAAUGUAUAGCAUGACUUUUUGCUGAGUCAUCCAAUCCAUCCCCAAAAUUAUAUCUAUAUCUUCCAACCCAAGGAUAAUGAGGUUGGUUUUGAAAACUUUUCUACCCAACUUGAUUGGUACAUGGCGGUUUAUUUAGUUGGAAGCGAUUUUACCACUAGGUGUUGAGAUCAUAUAUGAUCCUUUAGUAUGACAGAACUCCAAUCCACAUUUGCUACUGAAUUUUGUCUCAAUAAAGCUAUGCGAUGCGCCAAAAUCAAAUAAUAUAAGGGCAGGCUGGUUGUGGACAAAGAAAGUACCCGUCAUAACCGGUGCGCCCUCUGGGAGAUCAGCGAGAUUGGUGAAGUUAAGUCUCCCUUGCCUGACCUGAACCUUUGGCCUCUUGCCCUUAUUCUGGUUUGAAUUCUGCCCUUGGUUCUAGGCCCCUGUUCUGUAGACAUUCCUUUGCAAGGGGGUGGUGGCGGGAGAGGGGGCAGCAGCGGGGGUGGCGGUAGGAGAGGAAGUGGAGAGAGACGGAUAGAGAAGAGAGGCAGAGAGUGAGAACGGCGGGAGCUGAGAGUAGAGGGGGGAGGGAGAGGGCAGAGAGGAGAGUGAGAGGGUGAGGCCAGGCAGAGGGGGCCGUGGGGAUUGUGGGGGCUGGGAAGAUAAUAUAUGGGUGAGGCUAGGUGGAGGAGAUAGUGUCUGAUUUAUGGAUGACCCCGUUUAAUACCGGUUGGAGGAUCCAACCAAUAAUAAAGGUCACCCAUUAGUACUGAUGGAGCCUCCACCCGGUACUCAAUUCCCUCAGGCAUAUUAGUAAUGGGUGGAGGCUCCCAAUCGGUACUAAAGGGGGUCAUGGGGGGCUCCUGGGGAACUAGCCGUUAGACCUGAUAGUAAUGCUCACAUUAGUACCGAGUCAAAAACCAAUCGGUACUAAGGGCUAGAACCAAUGCUCAGUUUUCCAGUAGUGACGCCUCACCUGAUCUUUCUACCCCUCGCCCGAUCUCACCCCACAUUCCGCAAAAACGAAACCCCUACAUUCUUCCUACCGCGCUGGAGCCACGCUGACGCCGAACCAGCAUCGGAAGGUGGAGUCACACCGUUGCCAAACUAGGCUCAGAAGGUUGAAACUGCCAACAACAAACCACAAAAAUGGAGCCCCCACGUUCUGCCUACCGCGUCGGAGCCAUGCCGUCGAUCGCCGAACCAGGUUAGUUUCAUUCAUGUUCUUGGACGAACCACAGAACCUGAGUUUCAUUCUUCUCUUUUCUCUUCUUAAGUUUUUUCAAUCAUCUUGUCUUUAUCUCAAAUCCAGAAGUUUCCUAGACAUGAGAAGUUUUCCAGUACCAACAUAGCCUGCAUGCAACUUAGUGAAAUAAUCUUAUACUAGCAAUGAUAGACUGAACUAACAGGGUAGCCAAAUCUUAAAAGGCACUACACUGAAUCAUAUGUCAUCCAUUUGGAAACACUUUCAAUUCAUUUGAUGAAUCAGAUUUAAAACAGAUAAUUUGCUGGUCAUACUGUUGGAUUUAUUUCUAUAGUGCAACUGUGUUUUCUUUCUAUGGUUGUCUGAUGGAAAGAAGAUCAGUGCAUGCUACAUUUGCAUGGAGAAGCAGCAUGCAUCCUGCUCAGGUGUGUACAACAUCCAUGGGCGAUGAAUCUCACCGACCAUUUGUUCUAAGGGCGAUAUCUGCCAUACUGUUUUAAGCGUCUUACCACACACUUGGAUGAUACUUCUUCAAGUACCUCCCAUUCAAAGCUCUAGGUAGCUGAAAUCCUUGCAAUGUCUCUACCAUAUAGGAAUUUCCACGAAGCACACUUGUAAUUUUAUACAGCCCUUCCUAACCUGGAGACCACUUUCCAAAUUUAUUGCUUUGGGCUCCUAUAGGUAGAAUUGUCUUCCAAACCAGAUCUCCUACCUGCAAUGUCUUAGCUUUGACCCUUUUGUUAUAUCCUCUAGCUACUCGAAUUUUAUCCUUUUCGAUUUCAACUAAAUCCUCCAUUCGCUUGUCGGUUACCUCAUCAAUAUUAUCCAUCAUUAAAGCAUAAUAGGUGUCAAAAUAAAGACCAUUUUGCUUAGCAAACGUAUAUGCACCCAGAUUUACCUCGACAGGUAAAACGGCUUCUUGACCAUAAACAAUCUCAAAAGGAGUAACUUUAGCAGUGCCAUGUCUAGAAAUACGAUGAGCCCAUAAAGCUUCAAAUAAUACCUCAUGCCAUCUUCUAGGAUUGUCUUCUAUCUUCUUCUUGAUGAGCUUAAUUAAAAUCUUGUUGCUAGACUCGGCUUGACCAUUAGCAUGAGCAUAAUAAGGAGAUGAAUUGAGCAAUUUGAUGCCAUAAGAUUCAACAAACUCACGCACUUCCUUAGAUAUGAAUGAAGUCCCUUGAUCCUUAGUCAAAGUCUAUGGAAUGCCAAAUCUAUGUAUAAUGUGUUCCUUAAUGAACUGAAUCACCUCUCGAUGUGUCAUAGUCUUAAUUGGAAUCGCUUCAAUCCACUUGGUGGAAUAAUCAGUAGCCACAAUCACAAAACAAUGUCCCUUUGAUGAAGAAGGAUGAAUCUUGCCAACAAAAUCCAAUACCCAUCCUCUAAACGGCCACGGUUUGAUAAUUGGGUGCAUCAAUAAAGUAGGCACCAACUGAAUAUCCCCGAACUUUUGAUACUCUUCACAACCUUUGUAGUAACGAAAGGAAUCGGCUAUCAUAUUAGGCCGAUAAAAGCAAGCCCACCUAAGAAGCCACUUCAUCACAUGAGUCCAUUGAUGCAUACCACAAACUCCUUCAUGCACCUCUGCCAUAGCCACUUUGGUCUGAUCAGAACCCAAGCAUUUCAAAAGUAAACCAUCACUUGUCCGACGAUACAACUCGCCAUCAACCAAAGCGAACUUGAAUGCCCACCAUCGGACUUUUCUAUCAAUUGAACACUUAGGAUUCUAUAAAUAAUCAAUUAGAGGUUUUCUCCAGUCAUCAACUUUGUCCUUAGCAAAUUUAAAACAUUCCAUAGCUGAAGUGGGAAUUUCACUAGACAGACCGGUCAGACCAGCCGUCUGUGCGGUCGACUGGUUAAACCAGUCAGACGGGUCCCGGAGGCCGGUUGGACCGGUUCCUCCAGGACAUGACCCUCAGCCUCGUAAAGCGUCAGCUUUCUUUCAUGAAAAUUUCUUUUCUGAAUGCUAUAACCAGACACUUGUUGUGCCAGAGCAUUAGCCCUUAGAUUCUCUUCCCUUGGUACAUGAUAAAUAGUAAACUCAUCCAUACAAGAUAUGAUGUCUAGACAUUUAUCAAGAUAGGCAUUUAGAAACCCGUCCAAACAAUGGCAUACCUUGGAUACCUGUUGUACCACCAGUAUAGAAUCUCCAUAAGCUUCAACAUAUUUCACCCCCAAUCUCUUGUAAAAUCUCCAAACUGAAUAACAAAACCUCAUAUUCGGUUUGCUUAUUAGUACACUUGUGAUCCAAUCGGUUAAGAGCCUCAAAAACAGCCCCGUUCAGUGAAAUAAGAACUACACCAACACCGCAACCGCUUCUACAAACCGAUCCAUCAAAGUGCAAUUUCCAAGGGGUAAUAGUGAUAUAACAGACAUUUAAAUCAAGUUGCUCAUCAAUUCUAUGCUCAACAAUAAAACCGGCUACAAUUUGACCUUUCAUUGAUUUCAAUGGUUCACAAACCAAAUCAUAUUCAAUGAGAGCAUAAGCCCAUUUGCCGAUUCUACCACUCAAAAUAGAUUUUUGCAACAUGUAUUUAAUUAUGUCGGUUUGACAAGCCACUAUGCAAGUAUUUGAUAACAAAUAAUGCCUCAACUUGGUGCAAGCAUGAUAUAAUGAUAAACACAACUUCUCAAUAAAAUUGUACCUUGUUUCGGCAUCCAAUAACCUUCUACUCACAUAAGUGACAAUAUGCUCCUUCCCUUCGAUUUCUUGAGUCAAAACAGCCCCAAUGACACCUUCUUCGGCCGCCACAUAUAAUUUGAAAGGAAUACCAUGUUUCGACGCCUAAAGAACGACCGGUGAAGACAAAUAAUUUUUGAUUUCCUCAAAUGCUUCUUGUUGUUUUGCCCCCUAAGUAAAAUCAGCUUCGUUCUUUAACUGAAGUAAAGGAGUAAAAGCAUUCACCAUCCCAGACAAGUUGCAAAUAAAUCUUCUCAAAUAAUUCACCUUGCCCAAGAACUUUUGCAACUCUCUUUUGCAAGUAGGAGCUUGUAGUUUUCUAAUGGAUUCAAUUCUUUUAGGAUCAAUCUCAACACCUUUUUCAUGCACUACAAAGCCCAGGAAUUUCCCAGCCGAUACACCAAAAGCACAUUUGAGUGGAUUCAUCUUUAAGCCAUAUCGCAUUUUCUCAAAUGCAAGCUUAAAUCAGCCAAAUGGGAUUCUGACCCAGCCAAUUUAACCACAACAUCAUUGAUAUAAACUUCUAGCACUACUCUAAGUAAGUCAUGAAAAAUUAAAUUCAUAGCCCUCUGAUAAGUAGCACCAGCAUUUUUCAAACCAAAAGUCAUAACGACCCACUCAAAUAAGCUACUGGACACACAAAAGCCGUUUUGGAUAUAUCCUCUUCGGCCAUAAAGAAUUGAUUGUACCCAGCAUUGCCAUCAAGAAAACUAAUCAUUUUAUGUCCAGAUGCAGCAUUAAUAAGCACAUCCGCUAUAGGCAUAGGAUAUUCAUCUUUUGGGGAAGCUUUAUUAAGAUCUCUAAAAUCAAUGCAUACUCAGAGCUUACCUGUGCCUUUCUUCUCAAUAGGCACAAUAUUUGAAACCCAAUCAGCAUAUUGACAAGGCCUAAUAAACAUAGCAUCAAGCAACCGAUUGAUUUCUUCUUUCACUCGGUCAUAAAUAAUAGGAUUAAAGUGCUUAGCAGGUUGUUUAUGAGGCCUAAAACCAGGUUUAAUGGACAGCCAAUGCUAAACUAGCUCGCGGCUUAAACCAGAUAUUUCAGUAUAAUUCCAUGUAAAACAAUCGACAUACUCUUUCAAUAAUUUUAUUAAAUCGGCCUUAAAAACAAGCCCAAGAUUUUUGUUUACAAAAGUCGGCCUUGGUACAGUACCAUCACCAAAAUCUACCACCUCUAAAGGAUCAACCGACGUAAACCGCUGUCCUAAUUUACUCAUAUCAUGAAAGUCCUCAAUGGCCUCACACAUAUCAUUCUUCUGUGCCUGAUAGUGUUCUAGCCUCUGCUGCGAGCACUCUAGAUUUACAUCCAUUAAAUCAUAUGGGAUGAUUUAGUUGAUCCUCAACUGGCUUUAUUACAGCAACGACAAAGACAUCCUUUGUGCAACUAAUGAACUCAUAAUCAGAAGGGUCUAAACCAGAUGAGCACUUGACAUUAUCAUGCACACUUAUGGUAGGACUAUCGACUACAGCAACACAAGCCGAUGUAUCACCAUGUACUACUUCCACUUCAUCGCCGACCCAUUGGAUUAAGAAUUGAUGCAAGGUAGAAGGGACACAUUGAUUCGCAUGUAUCCAAUCACGACCCAAGAUUAAACUGAAAUUACCCUGAGUCUCAGCAACGAAGAAAGCAGUAGCCAAUGUCUUGCUCCCAACAGUGAGCUCCAUAGAGACCACGCCUUUAGCUCUCAUAGGCUCGCCUCCUCUCACACCGCUGACAGUCAUGUUGGUCUUGAUUAUCUCCUCAUCUAAACCUCCCAAUUUCUUGAACAAAGAAUAGGGCAUUAAGUUGACAAUCGCUCCUCCAUCAACUAGCAUUCGACAAAUUAGCCUCCCAUUGAUAUGAUCUUUCAUGUACAGCGCCUUUAGAUGACUUUCAGUAGCUUUAGGCUUCUGGAAUAUAGCUUCCUUAGGCCCAAAGUCAAGGUGAGCCAAUUCCUCCUCAGAGAUGACAUAACCAUCCAUUGACAUGUGUAUCACAUUAAUGUCCAGGUUCAUGCAUCCAGGCAAAGAAUUGUAAUCAACAAGUUGUUCAUCAUCCUUUGCUUCAGGGACUGAUGCCAACUCAUUGCCACAAGCCAUAGGGACAGAAGAAGUAAAACCGGGUGACAACUCUGGCUCGGCCGGUCUGACCGGUGGAGCUGGGGCGUCGGCCUUGACUCUCCACUCCUUCUAAGGGACCAUGGGUCUAUACUUGCUGAAUGUCUCAUCCCUUUGCUUCUCUAGCUCUUGUUCUCUUUUUUCUUGAAGUCUUAACCAUUGUAACUUCCUCCUUUGGGUGCGAGUCAAUCUGGGAGGACACCACCUUGGCAAGAAGUACUUGGAGCUUGAGCCACUGCUACUAGCCUCAUGAUCAUUGUCAGCAGGAACUCUAUGAACAGAUGUCUCAACCAGACUGCCUAGGUCAAUCGGUCUUUGGCAUCGCUCUCAACGGGAACGUUCAUAGACCCGAUUUGGAUGACAUCUUUCUUUGUACCUUUUUCUGAGUCCAUCUUCUGAACCUCCUCCUCCUUCUUCUUGGGAUGAUACACUUGCUUUGGAGGAAGUGCUCUGGGUGCCUGGACAGGCCGGUCAGAUCGACUAGGGUAGACUGGUCUGAUCGGUCGGACCUGUGGACCCUGACUAGAUGAGCGAGGUGCCCAAACGGCCUUGCCUGGAGUGUGAAAUUCUGUCCAAAAUCGACUUUCUUGAUUCUCCCCAUCCAGGAUGGAAAGACGGCUAUUGCACGGACUGAUAAGGCACCCACAUUACCCCAUUGUCAUCCGACACCGGGCAUGGAGUAUUUGAUGCCGGAGGAGCCCAAGAUGUGGAGGGGUACUAUUUUGGCUGAACUUGAUCGUCCUUUUGUCUUGUAACCGCCCUUAGAGGUGAAGCUCGCCUCCCUUAAUGAGUAGGUGACCUCAUUCUAUUUUUUAACAGCCGAUCACUUGUAACGAUCUUUUGCUUGGAAUACUUAUCAAGAAGCAUAUCAAAGGUAACUUUUCCCUAGGGCUACUCCUCUGAUCUUUUGCCACAUUAAGCUUCCAAGUUCCAAUCUCUGGACGCCUUGGUUUUAGCAUUCGGGGGCGAUCUUGGAGCUGACCGGCCUGACCAGUCUCCUGCAUCGGUCUGACCAGUUCGGUCUGUCCAGCAGAUUCGAACAACUUUUGACCAGAUGCCGUGGGCGUCCCUUGCCCCCCAUGUCCAGAAGGUUUUACAAUGAUUUUAAAUGACUCCUUGCCAUCUGGAGUCUUUUCAUACACCACUUCUCUUGUCAACUCUUUUCCCCUCAAAUUGGGCUUCUCUUCCCUGAUCACAACAUUCUUGCCUUUGGUAGCUUCGGCUUGAUGCAGCCGAACUAGUACCUUGGGCUGUUGUAUGUCCAUAGUGUUAACAGGAAAUGGUGUCUUGUCCACCUGCAUCUCAUGAAAUGUCAAACGACCUUCAUUUAUAGCCGAUUGAACCUAUGGACGAAACACACUGCAAUCAUUAGUGGCAUGAGAAAAAGUAUUAUGGAACUUGCAAUAUGCUUUCCUCUUCAACUCUUCAAGUGGAUGAAUAACAUGGGAUAUUUUCAAAUUUCCAAGUUUAAGCAACUCAUCAAAAAUACGAUCGCACUUGGAAACAUCAAAAGUAAAUUUCACUUCUUCUUGCCAACUCUUAUGAGCCGGCUUAAGGGACGCACAAGAAUAUGAUUUAGCUUUAGAGGGCCAAACAAAUUCAGUAACAUAAACUUCAUUGUCAUCGUCAUUCAAACUAUCAGAAUCAUAUUCAAUAGCAUGGAUGUUAGACCGAUGAGAUUUAAAGCUAUCAUUUUCCUUAGCAACCCUAAUUUCCAUUGUUGAAGCCCUUACGAGCACUUGUGAUAUAGUAUGAAGCUCAAAAACCUUCUAACUGAUCCCUAAUAUAUGAUUUUAAACCCUUAAGAGCAAGAUCAACUAAAUCAUCAUCAGAAAGUGAAAAAUUAAAGCAUCAGUUUUUAGUUUCUUUGAAUCAUUUUAUGUAAUCAAAAAUAGAUUCCUCUUUGCCUUGCCUAACCGAUGUUAAAUCUGUCAAUUUUAAUUGAAAAUUCCCGGUGUAAAAGUGAUCAUGAAAUUUCUGCUCUAAUUGAUCCCAUGAAUCAAUAGAGCCAGGAGCCAAAGAAGAAUACCAAGAGAAAGUGGUUCCAGUUAAUGAUAAGGAAAACAAACGAACUCUCAAAGCAUUAUAAUAACUAGCUUCACCUAGUUGAGCAAGAUAUUAACUAAUGUGCUCCCAAGUAGUUCGGUUAUCUUCUCCACUGAAUUUGACAAAAUCGGGCAUGCACCAACCGAUAGGAUAGGGGACAUAGUAAAAGUUAGCAUGAUAUGGUUUUUGAUUCAACUUCAAAUUGCCUACAUCUAUGCCAAAUUUGCUUUGUAUCAUAGACAACAUUUUGUCUUUAAAUUUUCUGAUCUCACUAUAAGGAGUUGGCUCUUGUUGCAUUAGGGCUAAUGUAUUCACAACAUUCGCACGGGGUGGAUUGCCAUUCUGAAUGCGAUAUAAAUAAGAAAAUACAUCAUUUGAAAUACCCCUAGAAACAACAAUGGUAUUAGGGAUCGGGGGCGACGUGUAUGCUAUUGUGCUAAUUGAGGGUGUAGGCACUCCAAGCUCACCAGUACGGUUAGGAACGACCAAACUAGGCACAAUAGCAAGCGGUACAGGUGAUUUAGGGACAAUUGCCAACUGGCUGUCCUGAGAGGCCUAACCGGUUAGAUCGCCUGCCUGGACCGGUCUGACCGCUUUAGCCGUGUUCGGCUUUGCUAGUUGGACCGAGGGCGGCGUCUGUCCUGCAUAAAAGUUAAAUAGCAUGCCCACUUAGGGUUUUCAUGAGUAACCCCUAGAUCUGCCGAUGGACUUGCAUGCAUAACCCCACACGAAUCAACUUGAGAAGAAUCAUUUUUACUAGAUCCAAAAGAUUUACCUUCUGCAGGUUGGUCUAUGCGAGCUAUCAAAGAAGUAGCAAUCUGAUUUUGAACCUUAAAAGCCUUUUGCAAUUCUUCAUUGAUAGCAGAUUGAUUGAGGGGGAAGUUACUUACAUUGGACACUUCCUCAAUCAUGUUAUUUUUCAUCUUCAUCGCAGGCAUCUCGAAGUCUUGUGAUCUCAUUGCUUUGCACUUGCGAUCUUUAUUGACGCCCAUUAGAUAUUGCUUCGUGACGUAUUCAUGGAGCGCCGCGAUGUUCCGCUGCUCCUCCUCGCUGAGAUCCUCCACAGAAGCCUCGAUGAUAUUGUUCUUGUCAAUCUACGUAGUAGAUCUCAUCUUGCUAGGGUUCUCCGUAAUGGUUGUAAAACUAGAUCUUUCCUCCCCAGUGGAGUCGCCAAAAUGUGUUGGCACCUUUUACGGCCAACACAUGAGUGCGCUAGAAUGCACGUAGAUCUAAAGAUAACCUCGUCGGGGCUUCUGUGCCUAGCCGGUCAGACCGGUCAGGGGAUCCGGUUAGGCCGGUCCUCGCAGGGGCACCGCGAAAACCUACGUUCACCACCUCGGGAGGGAUCCCGUCGGAGAUGGCGAGCCUAGGGUUGCUCUGAGAUUGGUCAGGCCACUCAGAACGUUCUCAAAUGCCGCUGGGACGCUAGAGGAAAGCAAAGGAGUUGGAAAAGCUAGGGUUUGAGAUAAAAGUGUAAAAAGAUAUAUUUGACGAUUAGGUGAUAGCCCUCAAUUGGCUAGGGCCCUUUAUAUUUAUAGGGUGGAAGAUCUUUUCCCGCAAGGAAAUCCUGUUUCAACUACCAUUCGACUAGGACUCUAAGAUUCGCCUCAGACGUAGGGUGGCCGGUCUGAUCGGUCAGGGCCACCGGUCAGACCGGUGGGUGCGUGCCAGACCGGCUACAGUGGCCAGACCGGUCAGACCGCCCAUAGAGACCGGUCUGACUGGCCAGUCCAGCUUGGUCGGCACUGCUACCACUUUUGGGCUCCAACAAUUUGUUGUUGAGGGCUUGACCUUCAGGGCUGUCGGGAAUUUCAAGACAGCGGCGCGAGCGUAGACACCUGGGAGAUAGAGGUCGUCUCGUGUUCAUUAUCCUGGUCCGGCUACCGACGUCCAUGCUAAGAGUGAAAGAAGAACAUGUGGGAAACGCAUGCAGGAAUGGAAUAAUCCAUGGCCCGCAGGAAUUGCUUCGAUCUGCUGCCCCCAGUCUUGGUCAUGGUCGCUCAGAUCAACGCCCAUUUUGGAUUCCAUGGUCAUGCAACUUCAAUUUUGGGUACGUAUGAUCCAGAAACCACUUCGUCUACCCCGAGUGACACUGGUAGAGAACUCACCUUCCAUCUAACAUUUUUUUCCCGGUUGUUUUUGUCUGGGGCCAAAAGGGCCUUUACUCCCGAGUCAAAAGGGCACCACCGAUGGCCACCGACAGGAGGCUCCUUAGUCCCAAUUGGUAAUAUCAACCGAGACUUAAAGUACCAUACAAUUUGUUUUAAAGAAAACAAACAGGUACCAUGGCAUCCCGUGUAUGCAUUAUUGGAUGAAGGACCGGAAAGGCGAUCAGAGGGGGUAAUUGGGAGCCGAUUCAAAUUUUAUCAAAGAACCUCGGCUAAAAUCCCAAACCAAUCCACAAACCUCUCUUCUAGCAAAGUUAAGUCCAUUUAGCUAUGCACGAGCUAAUGGACCUAGGAAUGAUGCUAGAAACUCAAUUUGAGACUAGCAGAAGUAAGAAGGAGCCCAAACAAGUGUCGGAAGAAGAAAUUUGAAAACCAACACAAAGGUUUGGAAAAUUCCGAAAAAUCCUUCAAAAAAUUUCAGACUUUCAAAAAUUUCCGCAAAAACUUUCGGAGAAUUCCGAAACUUCAGAAAUUUUCGGAAUAUGCCAGAAUAUUCCGGAACUAAAAAACAGCCUUCAUGAGGAAGGUGAAAAAAUCAAAAACUCGAUCAAACGACCUUCAAAAAUCACGAAAUUUGAACCAUAGACUCACAACAACAUACCAACGGUAUUCCCAAAUGCUCGAGUCAAAAAGCCCAAGAAUUUGACACCAUAUUCAAAGGAUUUGGGAAGGGCACAAGAAAGGGGAUUUUUGGGAAACCUCAAAAUUCAAGGUGCUCGUGCAUGGAUUUGCUAGGGGAUCAUCCUAGAUGUUCUUGCGUAUAUCCUAGCACCGAUUUGCUCCAAGAAAAACAUGCCAAAACGCAGCCAAUCGCGAGAUCCAAAAAUUCACCCAAAAAUGCUUUGAAAAUAGGAAAAAAAGGAGAAAUUUCAGAUCUUGAGAAGGAGAAACAAUUGAGUAUGAAAUUGAUUCUUGGAUUAUUUCACCAUGUCCGGUUACAAGCCACUCCUAAGCACAAUCUAAGCUAGGAUGGCAAAAAGAUCAACACAAAAAUCCCUCCUCUCUCCCUCUCUCCCUCUACCAAAGGCUCUCACAAAACAAAUGAGAAAACCCUCCCCAAAACAACCAAAGGGAUGGCUGCCCCAACGAGCCAUAUCUCAUAUAUAUAGACACCUGGCUAUUUCCCAAGUUGCCCUUACAUGAAACAUACAACUCCAAACCCCCUAGGGAUAAAACCGUCCAACUUUUUCUUUAUACAUCCAACGGACCUGGCGCCUUCAUGACUUCGAUUCGCCUCGACGCAAGCUUCGUGAUGGUGCCACGCAACCUCCGACUCGACGCCGUCCAGCCGCACCGGACUUGUCCCCCGGUUUUGAGGCUAAACCGAUCAAACCCUCUUGCACACCCCGCAGGCGUGACUCAUCCCCGGUUUUGAGGCCAAACCGGUCAAACCCUCAUGCACGCCGCACCCGACGUGACUCACCAAUGUCGACGCGUGUCCAACCUCUGUCAAGCCUUUGACACCUCCAAGUCUUUCGCUCCUGGCUCCCAAGCCGCCUACUUGACUCGUCUCCAUCCCGCUUGACUUGAACGACGUCGUCUCCAUCACCGUCCGUGUACUCUUGCUCUUUCGUGCACCAUGUGGAUCACCCAUGACUCCGUCCGGACUCCUCAGGUCUCUCGGUCCAAGCUUACUCGUGUCCACCCUUCACAAUCCUAGUACAUCAGCAUGAACCUUUCGCUUGACCUUCACCUCAUGCUGUCGACCGCCAUGUCGCAUCCUACACCUGCACAUCACAAGCCAAGAGACACAACACACAACAUAUCGUUUACACAAAUAGCACAACACAAUGCACACAACACAACACAUGCGGUUAGCCAUUAGCAUAAACAUGCACAUAUGAAAUAUGGACUCAACAGGUAAAGCCUCAAAUCAUCUAGUCAAUCACUCAUCACAAAUAGAUCAAGGCACAUCUCAACUUGGUCUCUCAAUCUCCCCCUUGAUAAGUGCAUUGACAAAAGAUGAUUUGAAAGCAAAAGAGAACUCAUUCAAGUGCCCAAAAUCUAAGUAAAAGCAAACACAAGGCCCCUUGAUAUGAGAAAGGAUCAUGCAAGCUCCAAAUAAAAAACUCUUGGUUCUUAAAGAAAGCGCAAAGGACAAACACAACCGAAGAGUCAAUCAAGAGACACAAAAGCUUGAUGAAUCCCAACAUGCCAUCAAAGUCGUUUCAACAUUUGUCAAACGCUCAUCACAAUCAAAUCAAGGUUCAUAUCAACUUGAUUUUCUUAAUCUCCCCCUUGAUGAGUGUGUUGACAACAUUCAAGCAUAAAGAAAUGGUUUGAAAGGCCAAAACUAAAAAUCUCAUCCAAGUGAUCAAAAGUCAAGUAAAAACUAUGAUUAAAGUCACUCGACAUGAAAAGCAUCACAAAGGCCAGAUCAACUUGGAAAAGUCUCGGUCCCCAAAGACAUGGGCAAUGGCUCGACACAACUGAGACAAAACAACACAUGAUCCCUCAAGAAGAGGCAGAAAGGGCUCAACACCAAUCAUGUGAAGAUCGAAAACACAAGAUCCCUCAAGAAGAGGCAGAUAGGGCUCAACACCAAUCAUGUGAUGAUCAAAAGCUCAAACCAAAUGUCAGUUCCUCAAGAAGAGGUAACAGCUCAACACAACCGGCAAAAGAGCAAAAGAGAGCACAAAACUCACAAGCUCCCCCUGAACACAUGCACUCCCUCUGAAAACAUGCCACAAUGAAAUGCAUGCACAAGAACAAAAGAAUGCAUGCUCCCCCUCAAAUGCAAAACUCCUCAUUAAAUGCAAGACUUCCCCUGAAAUGCAAACAUAAGAUAUGCAUGGGAGCGCAAAAUGCAUGCCAUGGGAUGUAAAACCUACCAAGCUUCUCAAAUAUAACACAAAGCACUUACAAAGGCUAUAAGUGAGAUAAUGCACAAGCUGGUAGAUCAUAAAGAGCAAUUGCAUCACCAUCAAGAGGAUAUUAUAGUAUAAGCAAAAAACGAAGCAAGUUGUCAAGUUUUGCAGUUUAUAAAAGUAUCACCACAUGAGCAAGCACCUAGUCAUGAAUCAUUCAAGCAAGAAGCAAACUAGGCCAUCAAAGCUCAUACAAAGAAGAUACAUUCUCAACAAGAGAUCAUUGCAAACACCCACAUAUACAUCACAAGUCAUGUCAAGACUUGUUGAAACCAUGUGCCUAAUUCUUUUGGUAGACAGCAUGUAACAACUAAGCAAGCAAGGAUAUCAACAUUAAGCACAAUAACUUGAUCAAUUAUUGAAUUUUUUUUAUCAUCAUUUUUCAUUAUUCACAUUAAACAAGUUACAUGAAGUGCCUUUGUGACACAAAGAAGCCAUGCUUCCCCAAGGAAUGCAUCAUGGGCUAAACAUUUGCAAUGAUACCUAGAUCUUUGAUCCAAUUGAAAAGAAUAUGAAUUCCAAGCAAAAGCUAAACAUGGAACUAGCAUUCAAGCAAGAGCAAUGCAUAAACAGGUAGCUAGUCAUGGGUGAUAAGCAUUUCAGAAUUCAUUAUUCAAAAUUAACAUUUGAUUCACAAAAGCAUUUAGCUCAACAUGGUUAUAUGACAAUAUCAUCUAGAGCAUAUGCUGCACAUUGCUACAUAAUCACCAACUAAUGCACUAGCUCACAAAUAGCAUAAGAAAAUGCUAAUGAUAUAUAGGGGAAGCUUAUCUAGUGCAAAGUGUACAAGGUGCAAUAUGGUACAAAUGCAAUGCGAUGCUAAAAGAGACGGGGUUCGACUCAAAUCAAGAAGGCUCAUGAGGAGUCAAACCAAUCUAGGAAAAGCUCCGUGGCAAAAGAAGAAUCGUCAAGGAUCCCAAUUGAGUACCAUAGAAAAGAUACCAAUUGAAGGAUCAAAAAUUGAUAUCACUUGAAGAAAAUGAAAUCCAAUUGAAAGAUCAAAUGUGAUACCAAUUAAAAGAUCAAAAGCGGAUAUCAAAAACCAAAACAAUUCCUUGGUCCAAACUCCCCCUCGAAUGAACCCGAACUCCCCCUCAACCAAAGACACCUAACAAAGAAAAGCUAGAAAUAGAAGGGGUAAAAGAAAAGCUCUAACUCCAAUCAAACAGAAGAGAAAAUGCAACCCAAAGACAAGGAAGCCUAAAAGCAAUAUAAAGCUCAAUUCAUGUCAUGCAAUGCAAUGAUGAUACCAAUUAGAGGAAUUAAAGCAUUGCAACAUGAUUCUACAUUUAUGAAUAAAAGAUUGGGCAAGCAAACAUGUCAACAAGGUGCAAAGGAUUAUACAAAGAUACUAAGCUAAAAUGAUACCAAAUGAACAAUAUGUCAUACCCAAUACAAAGACUAAGCUAAAGCAUGGCACGAUGUUCAUGUGGAUUAUCCACCAAUAUAUAUUACAAAGCUAGCAUGACAAGAUAUACAUGAAGAUCACACAUGCUAACAUGAAAAGGUGGCUAGCCCACCAUGGUAUAUUCACAGCAUGAUACAAGUAUAAAACAUGCAAAAGAGUCCACAAGUGAGUAGUAUACACGAAAGGAAAAAAACUCACAAUACAAGUGUACAUCCAAAUGGUGUGGAGAACCAUCAAGUCUUGAUCACUUCAAGCAAAAGAUCAAGUCCCUUCGAGCUCAUGUCCUCCACCCGCAUCCCCGUACCUACACAUGAAGGAACAAUAAAGACCGAGUCUUGGAUCCCAAAGGAUUAGCAAGCAUGUACUUGGGAAUCCAAAACUUAGUCACACAGGUAAAAGAUGCACUCAACUUAUCAUGUGGGUUAGCAUGAUGCGAAUGCCGGUUCAAAUGAGAUGAUUUUGUAAUACCCUUGGAACCAUGCCUCAAAGGAGCCACUCGAGAAGAAGAAUGAGUGCUACCACUAGCAAAAAGACAAUGAUCCCCCGAGGUCUUAAGAGAAGAACCAACACAAGCACCAUGAAAACCAUGUCGUGGACCAACAUAAGAAUAACUAGAAGCAUGUCCACAAGUAUGACCUAACUCACUAGAAAAGGAGUCAUAAAACCCAUUAAUGAAAUGUGGCUUCUUACUAGACUCAUAAGUGCUCAUGCCAUGAGAUGGGCUAUGAACAACCAAAGGCCUAGAAGCACGAGUUCGCCGCAUUUAUCUUGCACGACAAUAACAAAAGCUCUCUUGAUGCCCAUCUUUCUCACAAUAAGAGCAAUGGUACAAAGGCCUUUUUGUAGGCACGGUCCGAGAGAACGAAUCAUCAUUCUCAUUCAAGUGAGAAGUCCCUAGGACUUAGAGCAAGAAGUAUCAACAACACCAUUUAACUUGGUGCCCACAUUAGGUUCACACGUGUCAUGGGAAAGGCUACGUGGCUUCCUAAAAGCUUUGGCACGCACACGUCGCUUGUGCUUGACAUGGCAAAAGCAAAACUCAACGGUAUGCCCAUCUUACUUACAAAAGGUGCAAUGGAACUUCGGUUUGGGAAUAUGAGUUCCAAAAAUGUGAGAAGUACCCUUGCCACUUGAAUUGUCUGGGCACUACCAGAAGAAGCAACAAGGGUGUAGCUAUAAAAGAGCUAUCCAAAGCACUACCACAAGUACUACCAUCCAAAGACUCACGCUCAAUAGAAGAAGCCAACUCCGGUUGAGAAGAAACAAUUUUGAAAACACCAAUAUCGGAGUGACAAGAAUUGCGAGAAUCAAAAUACUUAGUACAAAGACUCUUAUCAAAAGACUUAGUACAAAGACUCUUGCAUUUUGUGGCUAAAACCUCAUUUUCAUGUUUGAGGCGAUCACAAGUACCACAUGGAGCAUUUCUUAAAUUAUCCAUCUCCUUUUUAAUGCACUUAGCAUAUGUGGUACGUAAGAGUUCAUUUUCUUUCUCAAGGUUGGCACUCAUCUCAUUGUGCUCAAGCAACUUGGUACUCAUAUCAUCGUGCAUUUGUUUCAAAGCCAAAACUUCAUUUUUCCAAUUCAAUGCAUGAUAUGCAAAUAAGACCGCAUGAACAAACAUCGUCAUUCACAUCAAGCACGAUAUCAUGAUUAUCACAAGAAGUAAGGCAAGCAUCAUCAUCAAGAACCAAAAUGCACAUGCUACAGGGUAUAGACUUCAUUUCAUAAAUUUCAGCCCUAGCAUUCUCAAGUUGAUCUACACAUGUGGUGUGAGUCAAUUUUAGUUCAUUAAUUUCAGCAAGUAAAGACUCACAUGAAACACAUGGUAAAGAAGCAUUGCACUUUAACAAAACAAUUUCAUCUCUAGCCUUAUCAAUAUCAUUAUUCAAAGCAAUACAGGAAUUACAUGGCAUAGAGGUAUUGGAUUUCAACAUUUCAUUUUCAGAUUUUAAAUUAUCAUAAUCAAUAGAGAGCUCGUCAAGUAAUUUUCUAUGAGAUUCAAGUUGCUUAUCAUCAAGAUAAACAUCUCUUUUUAGUUUCACAUUUUCAAUGUGCAAAACAUCACAAGAUUUGUAUGGUAAAGGUAAGCUAAACUUGCAUGAAGUUGAAGCAUUCACAUUAUCAAGUCUAGAUAUGUCCAAAUUCUUCUUAAGCUCAGCAAUCAUCUCGCCAAGAGCACAAAAGCGAGUGAACAAACCAAUUAUACCUUGGGAGAGUUUACCUCUACUCAUCUUGUAAAACUUGUGUCGGAGAUCAUCUUCUUGAUUCAUCUGUUUCAUCAAAAGGCGCAUCAAAGCCAUCGCUUCAUCAUCCUUGUUAAGCUUACCACACUUCUUUCUCCACUUGUGUUCAUCCCCCGAUGCAAUCACCCUUCCAUCAAAACCUGAGGACAAAGACGCACACAAAGAAGAAGAACUUGGUGCCAUAGAUCAAAGCACCGGUUAGGAUUAGCCGAAAGCAAGCUCAAAUCUGGAAAAUCAAAUCUGCAAGCAAAAUGCUCCUUUAUCUUAUCACCCAAUGGAUCACAAAGCUGAUUAAGGUAGUGUGAUCCUUAAUCAAGCUCUGAUACCAAUUGAAGGACUGGAAAAGCGACCAGAGGGGGAUGAAUGGGAGCCAAUUCAAAUUUUCCCAAAGCACCUUGGCUAAAAUCCCAAACAAAACCACAAAUCUCUCUUCUAGCAAAAUUAAGUCCACUUAGCUAUUCACGAGCUAAUGGACCUAGGAAUGAUGCUACAAACUCAACUUGAGACUAGCGGAAGUAAGAAGGAGCCCAAACAAGUGCCAGAAGAAAAAAUUUGAAAGCCAACACUAAGGUUCGAAAAAUUUCGGAAAAUCCUUCGGAAAAUUCCGAACUUUCUGAAAUUUCCGAAAAAACUUUCGGAGAAUUCCAAAACUUCGGAAAUUUCCGGAAUAUUCCGGAACUCCAAAAACAGCCUUCGUGAGGAAGGUGAAAAAAUCAAAAACUCGAUUAAACGACCUCCAAAAAUCACGAAAUUUGAAUCAUAGACUCACAACAACAUAUCAAAGGUAUUCCCAAAGGCUCAAGUCAAAAAGUUCAAGAAUUGGUCACCAGAUUCAAAGGAUUUGGGAAGGGCAUAAGAAAGGGGAUUUUUGGAAAAUCUCAAAAUUCAAGGUGCUCGUGCAUGGAUUUGCUAGGGGAUCAUCCUAUAUGUUCUUGCACAUAUCCUAGCACCAAUUUUCUCUAAGAAAAAUACCCCAAAUCGCAACCAAUCACGAGAUCCAAAAAUUUACCCAAAAAUGCUUCGAAAUUAGGAAAAAAAAGAUAAAUUUCAGCUCUUGAGAAGGAGAAGCAAUUGAGCAUGAAAUUGAUUCUUGGAUUUCUUCACCAUGUUCGGUUACAAGCAACUCCUAAGCACAAUCCAUGUUAGGAUGGCAAAAAGAUCAACACAAAGAUCCCUCAUCUCUCCCUCUCUCCCUCUACCAAAGGCUCUCACAAAACAAAUGAGAAAACCCCCACCAAAACAACCAAAGGGAUGGCUGCCCCAACGAGCCAUAUCUCAUAUAUAUAGACACCUGGCUAUUUCCCAAGUUGCCCUUACAUGAAACAUACAACUCCAAACCCCCUAGGGAUAAAACCGUCCAACUUUUUCUUCAUACAUCGAACGGACCUGGCGCCUUCAUGACUUCGCUUCGCCUCGACGCAAGCUUCGUGAUGGUGCCACGCAUCCUCCGACUCGACGCCGUCCAGCCGCACCGGACUUGUCCCCCGGUUUUGAGGCCAAACCGGUCAAACCCUCUUGCACACCCCGCAGGCGUGACUCAUCCCCGGUUUUGAGGCCAAACCGGUCAAACCCUCAUGCACGCCGCACCCGACGUCACUCACCAAUGUCGACAUGUGUCUAGUCUCCGCCAAGCCUUCGACACCUCCAAGUCUUUCGCUCCUGGCUCCCAGGCCGCCUGCUCAACUCGCCUCUAUCCCGCUUGGCUCGACCGACGCGGUCUCCAUCACCAUCCGUGUACUCUUACUCUUCCGUGCACCUUGUGGAUCGCCCAUAACUCCGCACUACAUACUUUACGUACCUAAAUCUUCACCAAACAGGAGACUGGAGACGAGAUCAUGCUGCUAGCUCAUACAGCAACAAGACAACAAGCAAGAUACUUAUCGAUCAAUCGAGGGGCAUCUUACUACUUGCAUGCAGAUGAAGUGUUCGUCAGAGGCGACGCUGCUGACCAAACAUGAGGACAAAGCCACCCGCAGAGGUAGCAGCGGCCGCGCCCCAGACGCCUAUCGUGACAGGCCACGGCACGACGCCGGCGACCUUCCACGCGAACAUCGCGGUGAGCAGCGGGCACAGAGCCUAGACCUUGCGCCUGAUCAUUAGCGCCGCGACUUGCCGCUCCAUGGGAUGUCCAGCUCCAGCUCAUGGAGAUGAGAACGCCGCCGUGAGCAGCGUGGUGAGCGGCCACACGGCGCGCCUCGCCCGCUCCUUCUUCGGGGACCCGGGCGGCGCGCGCUCGUAGGCGCGGAGGCAGCGGAAGAGGAGGAGCAGGGCGAGGUACGAGCCGACGACGAAGAGGACGGAGGCGGGGUCGCCCCUAGCGCUGUAGAUGGCGAGGCCGGAGUUGAGCGUGAGGAAGCCGAAGCCGGCCGUGGUGACCCAGGUCGGCGUGAGGUUGCGAUUUUCCGCCAUGGCAGCGCAGAGGUGCUUUAUGGGUGUGGUUUGAGGGCAGCAGACUAGUGGGAAAUGGCCAAAUGGGAAAGGGAAAAUCCCAAGUCCCCGGUCGGGUCAAGUGGAGCACCUCGCCGUUUGUAUAGCCGGCUGCCGGCCGAGCGAGAGGGAGCUCAGAAAGACAGAAAUAAAACGCACUACGCACUGAUACAAUGAUCCCCGCCCCUAAUUUCCGUCCACGCACCGGCAUACAAUGAUACAAAUGGAGACAGGAGGGCUGACACGCUUUAUACUGGGCCACGGCCACGACACGGCAGCCUCUGGGCCGUCUAGCCUUAGCCCUGUGGGCUUCAACGUCAAAAUUUGCUUCUUUGUUGGUACGGGACUAAGACGUUUUUUUCUUUCUUCUUUUUGCUACGGGAUAGCUAGUAUGAAUGCAAGGGAAGAAGAAAAAAACGUGGUGAAAGCAAUGCAAUUCUUAUGCACAAACACACAGUAGCUAGCUGGCUUGCUCACAACAAAUCGAAUCUAUAGAAAGAGGAUAUUCCUACAGAGGCAGAUGCAUACGGCUUCUGAGCUCUAACUGCGAACAAGGGAGGUUCAAUUCAGGAACAAGGCCCAGAACCCCCCGGCGGCCGUGGCGACGGCCAUGAGCCACACAGCCGCGCCCACGAGCGGCGCCACCCUCGACGCGAACAUCGCCGUGAGCAGCGUGGACAGCGCCCACACGGCUCCCUUGAUCCUGCUCCUGCCCCUGCCCGCCGCCCCGCCACGGGCCGCGCGCUCGAGCUCGCGGAGGCAGAGAAAGAGCAGCAGGAGCGUGGCGUCGGCGACGAGCACGAACGCCACGGAGGCCGCGUCGCCCCAGGAGUUGUAGAUGGCGAGCCCCGAGUUGCACGCCAGCACGGCGGAGGCUAUCAACGUUAGCGCCGCCGAACGCUGCUGCCCGUCCAUGAGUAGUAGUAGUGGGACCUGCUGUUGGAAGUUGGAACCAGCUUUGGACAACAAAGAUGUACUUACUAUUACCAGGGUUUCGGAGUACAAAAAUCUCAGAGGAGACACGCGCCACCCGGGCCGAGUUGUUGCAGACUAGCUAGCGCAGGAGUAGCUAUUUGUAGAAUUUUUACGCCGACAUAGCAAGGUCAUUACCGACUGUAACUACAGCAGCUAAUAGAGCCUUGCAAUGUACAGCCUAGCAUUCUCGAUCAACAUAGAAGCUUUUACCGACAUUGAUCAGCCGACAUUGGUGAAGUCUCGAGAGAACAGCAGCGUCAACAACUCGUUGCCGACACGCGCGCGCCUGCACUUCAGUAGUCAGACGGACCUCUGAAGAUCUUUUGGGCGGCGAAACAGCGUUGCAGAGACUCUCGCGUUUCUUCACGGAAGCUUCGCAAUUGGGCCUGCCUCUAACAUUCAGUCGGUAGGCCGAGUUUUAUCUCCAAGCUUACGGGCCUCACUGGCCCACAAAAAUCUGGGCCUUGAAAGCUCAAAUUGCUAGUGAGAUCGAUGGCGCGGUCGCUGUCUCCUCUCCGCGAUAUUAUACACUCGUGCCGUCGUGGGUGCGUGUGACUGUGCCAUCCAUUUAUUUCAUGCAGUAGUUGAGGUUGAGGGAAGUUGCUAAAAGCUUUCCAUGGCCCUAGCUUACCUCAUGUUAGUUAGUUAAGUAGAUCUACUACAUGUUUGAGAAACAAAGAGUGUUGGCGAUGACACGUGUAGGGGCUGGAGGCAGUUCAAACUCACGUGACUUUCUCCCAUACUGACGCACAAGGCGUCCUUAAGUUCGAAACAGCGCCACUGUUCUCGCCAAAUGUUUUGUGAAAUAUUGGUGACAUUUAUAUUUACUCAAGUUGGAUGAGUUGGCAUGUAGUCAUAUAUAUGUGCUUUGAUAUGUUCAUUAUAAUAUGAUAGGAUUGAGGUAUACUACGUAUAUAUUAAGGAUGUGACUAAUUAUACAGCAGGCCGUAUUUUUAUCUGUCGGCCUCCACUUCCAUGCCUCCUCCCCCCUCGACACCACGGCCCUGCUCGCCCUCCGCCUCGCCAGCGCCGUCCCUGGCGCCGGCAAGGCCUGCCGUCAAGCCUCCGCCCCUACCGUCCUCCCUCCUUCAUCCUUCGUCCUCCCUCCUCCUUCUACGCCGAUAGGCCAUCACCCCCGCUUUCGCCGCCGCCCUGCCCAUCUCCGAUGACGGGCCGCCGGAUCCAUCGCCACCGUCUCCACCGCCAGCCGACGAGCCGCCCCGAAACCUUCUCUAAGCCUGCAGGCCACAGGUAAUCCUAACCCUCAACACUAAACUUGGAACCCCGAAUCCUAAGACUCGUCGGUGCUAUUACCGGAGCUAGGGGAGAAGAACGUAUAACACGGGCCGGCCGUUUCAAUCGACCAAAAUACGGCCGGUCCUGUGUAAGUCAUUACCGUAUAUUAAUCAGUGUGCCAAUUAUUCUUGCAAGUAUUGUGCAUUUUAGACAAACUGCCACGGCAGGCGCCACCCUCGACGCGACCAUCGUCGUGAGCAGCCAAGCCGCGGCGCGCGCGGGAUCGCAGGAUCGAGCGGAGGCACACCAAGAGCAUAGCAGGAGCGCCGCGUAGCUGACGGCCGCGAACGAUGCCCGCGGCAACGUCGUCCCCCUAGUCUGGUGGUGUAAUUUCCAAAAGACGACGCCAAUGCAAGGAGACUUGCAUGCCACGUACAUCGUUUUCAAAAAGGAAAAACAAACAAAUGUUGGUACUUUAAUUUGAUACCAUAUCGAAAAGGCUUGCAGUUUUUAUUUUUUUUCAGAAACGCCGUCGGUGUAAAGUGCAUUUGCCAAGGCCGCCGUGACCCGUGAGACGCGUGCAGAUGAUCCAGACCCUGGGUGUGAGACGCUCUAUUUCGGCGCGAAGAAAGCGGCAGGAGGCCGGGGCAGCCGUGGAAGAGACGUACACGUACCCGUUUCCUAUGGCCACCGCUCUAUAGAUCGCCGUCGCUGCAACGCGCAUUUGGCGGGCGGGCGGGUGGGCGCGGUUAGUCAUGGCGUCGUUCGGUGGGCACGUGUCGCCUGGCUCGCCCCGCCACCUGUGGAUAGAUCGGAAGACGAUGGUGAUCCACGGCGACGCAGACUUUAGGAGGAAGAGGAAACACGCGGUUAUACUCAUGUUAGAUUCAUCUCCGUUCCCGUGUGAAUUUGCAGAACUCAUUUCAUGGUAGUAAUUUUAAAUUAUGCGUUCCUUUAAUUUGCUGCAAAUUUUCUUAACGGAAGAAUAGUUUCUUUUCUAAAGAAUUGCCGAAUUUUUAUCAGAAGAAGAGAAAACAGGAUAAAAAAAAUAAGAAACCCCUAAAGAGGGGACGACUACCUGGCGGCAAAAAGAUCACCGACCACUCGCCUCAGCCUAUAUCACGACUCGAAAGAGCGGAAAAACAACUAACCGAGGGAUAAAGAGGGCAACUAAGAUGGGUUGUGGCACCAUCGUCCGCUGCGUUUCUCGCAUGUUUAGUCUCGCGCAUGGUUCUUCUCCUUUUUGUUGGGUGGAUCGCCCUUUCACUGAUUGAGACGUCGUGGCUCGUGAUCGUUACCGGAGGCUCCUAUGAAGGCGACUUUAUGUUCUAGUAGGAUUUUUUCAAUCCAGCUUCCACGCGAACGCCAUGGAGAGUGGGGCGACGGUGAAGCAGCCUCGGUCGCGUUCGUGGAUCCGGACGGGGCGAUGGCCAUUCUCUUCUGGCCAGGCUGGGCCUCGGCGUCUGAAUUGCACCUCCGCUGUGGCCGCGUACACAGGUCAUGUAGGGCACCCCCAGCGCUGCUCCUGCUGAGUCGGCGCUAUCAACGCUGCUCACUGCGAUGUUCCCGUCACGGGCGGCCCCAACCCCACUCAUGCGCCGGUCGUUGGUUUCAUGGUUAUGAUCACGGCAUCGUACUCGUUGUUGAGGGCACACAACACCAUCGGACGAUCGACCUCAGUAAGCUCUUUAGUAUCGAGCGCCUGACCGAUACCGCUCACCAUUUAGUACCGGUCGGUAGUACCAACCGGUACUAAACCGUGAGCCACUUUGCGCUGUUUUGGAAGAUAGUUUAGUACUGGUUGGUUUUACUCACCGGUACUAAAUGGUUGUUCCUUUUCUUCUUUUGUUUUCCUUUCAUUUUAAUUCGUAUUCAUAUUCGUGUACAAUAUUUGUUUGCGUAUAGUAGUCAUAUUAUGCUAAUAUAUAUAUAUAUAUAUAUAUAUAUAUAUAUAUAUAUUAUUGAUCUAGUGAUACAUUAUAUACACUUCAAAAAUUACAAGUAUUCCAAAUAUGCACUAUGCGUCGUCAUCCGAGUCCCUGAUUGGAUGAAGUUGACCCACACUUGUUGCAUCAUAAUAAAAUUCUCCCUUUGGAUUUACGACCUCCUUCGAAAGGAAUCCACAUAGUUGUUCCUGAUUGCCCUGAGUCAUUCUAGGGUGAUAAGUUCGUCUCUCAUUUCAGAAAUCUGUCACGUGCAAAUUAACAUAAUCAUUUUAAAGCAAUAUAUGUGUAGUGAAAAAGUUAUGAAUUGUGUUUACUUACUUUAUAUUCUUGGGCCGUAAUUUUCUUAGGACAUACAAAGCUGUGGAUGAACUCACAACAGUAGUAUCUACAUAAAACCCUUCGGCAACUUAUUGGCCUCUGCCGCUUCGAGAAAAAGUGUUUAGGCCAUUAAUGAACGGCAUGGAGCACCGAUCGUCAUACAUCCAUUGCCGAUCCAUCCGCAGAAAGUUUUUAAUUUACUUCUCCAUUUGUAAAACAACAAAUGUAAAAAAAUACUUUCUAAAAAAUAUUGCUGACCUUUUAUAUAUGCUUUUAUAUGGACCACUUUUGAUGAGCAAAUUAAAUCCCAACAAAUUUGUGGGGAAUUUCAGCAGCAACUCCCUCUGUCCCGAAUCAUUGAGCUCAACUAUGUUAUUUAUGUAAAGCAACAAAAUUAGUUGAUUAUUUUUUUCAACAUUGUACUUAUGUUAUUUAUGUAAAGCAACAAAAGUAAUUAACACAGCACAUAUUUGUCAACAUCCAAUAUGAAUUUCUCAAUAUCGAACAGACGUAAAAAUUCUACAUUCUACAUGCAUGUAUAAAUUCAAAAACUCUCCAUUCAUCCUCUAAAAAAUCACAAAUUUCUCUAUCUAUAAAGCAUAAAACAUAGAAUACUAAUUAUGAGAGGAGGGAGGAUGAAGUUCCUAACUUUUAGAAUAGUUGGAAGAGUGAAAUCCUUUCAAAUCGUGGGAUAAAUGGGCAACACCUCUCCUAGAUCGUCAUGGGAGUGAAGAAGCCCGAGCUCUUGGUCAAAUGGUUGAGCUCGAGCUCGGGGAGGAAGAAGGAGCAUAUUUUAUAGUUUGUACGUUAAUACCGGUUGGUGGCUCUAGCCGGUACUAACUUGUGACACUUAGUACUGGCUGAAGCUAACGGCCAGUACACACGUGCGUGAACACCAUUUAGUAUCGGCUGAAAUUACCAGCCGGUACUAAAUAGCUUCCAGGGGAAUCUAGCCGUUGGCCACCUAGUCCUCAUGUCGCUAUUUAGUACCCGCUGAGGCUCCAAACCGGUACUACAAGGACUCCGAUGGUACUGUGCGUGACGACCGCGUGUUAGUACGGACGAAAAGACAUCUAGUAUUAACACGUUGGAUGAAUGUUCAGUUUUAUAGUAGUUCAGUGUAGGGCAUGAGUUGGGGUCAACAAAAACUCACUCCUCCUGGUCUCGGGUCGGGUCCAAACAAGCAUAACCUUUGUGCUAGGAAUCAGCAGGCACGCGGUUUGUCCUCACGUGCCCAUUUUGCCUCAGGAGGAUUUCGCUUCACGUGCCACCACUUUCACAAGCAUAACGUCUCUGAUCUCUUGCAAAAAAAUAGCACAACUGCCUGGACUCGCGUUUCCAGUGUUUCAACUCGUGACGGCGAUUCAAGGAAGGAGAGAACCACGGAUAUUUUUUAUUCACAAGAACUAUGCUACACAUCUGACACCAUACUUUACUGUGAAUCUGUCGAUUUUCAUACUGUGAAUCUGCCGAAGUUUCAUACGUACCUGUCGAAUUAGGAUUGGGCAUAGGUUGGUGGCUUAAUGAAAAUGAAAUCUAGGUUGCAAUAUAGUGUGAGGGAUGCUUGGAUUAUUGGUGAUCGGAUGAUUGGAUCGCAGUAGACGACACUCAUCUGAUGGAGUCAUGAUGUGACUCACAACUAACUUUUCCUCACACGACAGCGGGAUUCGUCGCCGACAUGAAGAAGUUGACUCGAGUUUCCGCAGCUGCGACGGAGCCGACGAGCUGGCCUUCUUCGUCGUCUUCUCCCACAUCAAUCUGCUGCUCCUCUUCUGGUCCAGCAGCUGAUUCGAGCUCUCGUCGGUCGGGUCGACGGUGCGCGACCGGGCAGGCGUCCACCGUGUCGGCGAGACCGCUGCGCGGUCCCCUUCGUCGGAUUGUCCCACCUCAAUCUGCUGCACCUUUUCGGCGCCAUCGGCCGCUUCGAGGUCUCGCCGGACGGGUCCCCGGCGUGCGGCCGUGCCAGGCUCGCCGUGUGGCUACUGACCACGACCCUCACCGCGGCCUUCACCCUGCAAGAUCGGCGCGCUGCUGCCUAAGAGCAUCGCGAUCGCUGUGUGGGUCAUGGCCGCCGUGACCGUACGUCCUUGGAGGAUUCUACGUGCUAUUCGUCCAUGAUGCUUCGACUCUAUUCGUCCGGGUCGGCGGCGAGCGGCAGGGCCAGGCUCCCCGUGACCCUCACCGCCUCCAGCGUCCCCGGCGUGCGGCCGUGCCAGGCUCGCCGUGUGGAUGCUGACCACGACCCUCACCGCCGCCUUCACCUACAAGAUCGGCACGCUGCUGCCCAUGAGCUUCGCGAUCAUGGUCUGGGUCAUGGGCUCAUGGCCGCCGAGACUGUCCUUCGAGGAUUCUACGUGUGCUGUUCGUCCAUGAUGUUUCGAGCUCGUCGGCGGCGAGCAGCAGGCCCAGGCUCACGAGAAAUGAGAAGAGAGAUGCUUUUUAUAUAUUCAAAUAAAGCAAGCAAACAUGUUUCAGCUUAACAUGCAGAUACACGAGAAAUAAGCAGAGAGUGAAGCGACGGCGGGCCACUUGAACUGAACGCGUUACUAAAGAACAAACCACCCACUCAACCCUAGUCCAGACGAACAGCGUCGACAGCGGUCACACCGCGGCCUUCAUCGUCCUGUCCGUGCCCGACCCCGCGCGCACGGCCUGCGAACGCACGGAGGAAGCGGAAGGUCAGCGCCAGGAGCGCGGCGUACGCGACGAGCACGGCCGCCGCGGAGACCACGUCGCCGCCGC